UUUUCUUUCCACCCAAACUCCAUCUUCGCAAUCAAACAGACCCUAAAUGUUGAUUACAUGAGCACAUUGUCGUUUCAAAAAAUUAAAAACAUGGAAACUCGAAUCUUUCCAGCAGUCUUGGUUUCUACUGGUGAGGUUUGUGGCUAAAUAAUUGACUUAAACUACACAGGUAGAAAGGAAAAAACACAAGUUGGGAUUUGGGAGUCUUAAAUCAUAUGUUGGUAAUUCGAAUUUAUCUAACUGAAUCAUUAAAAAUGUUCCGUCUCUUUCCUAUAUUACUAGCCAGUCCAAGACAUUUACAUUGUUUCAUGGUGUUUGAUUUUCCAUUAACCUUGAAGCCGGAUCAAUUCUAUUACUACAUCUUUUGCGGAAUUCCUGUUCAUUUUCCAGGUUUGUGGUCCUCCUGGAAUGAUGAAACAUAUAUCCGGUGACAAGGCUGAAGAUUAUUCACAAGGAGAGGUUUAUUUUAUAAAUCUUAAAAAAUAAAAUAAAAUAAAAUAUUAUUCUCUAAAUUUUCUCUCCUCUUUCCCUUUCAGUAGUCUUUAAUGAUAUUACACUUUCUCUUCUCUCCCUUGCAGUUGACUGGCUUACUCAAGGAGCUCGGAUAUACAGAAAACAUGGUAUACAAAUUUUAACUCAAUGAAUCAAUGUGUUGCACAGGCACUCAUGCUCCAUUGUUUCUGAGUAAUAAUACUAGUACACGGAGUAAUAAUUUCUGCAGGAAACAUCAUAUUUUGAUACUCACUGUAUGAAUCUAUUAUGACAAAAGUUUACAAUCUGGUUUCCCUACUUUUACUUGAAGGGAAGGGAUAUCUAUUUAAUUUGAUCGAUUGUAUACAGCCCGCGUUAGCAACUGAACCGAGGAAAGUAUAUAGAAAAGAUGGUUCUUUUUCUGACUUUCUGUAAGAAAGCCCAGCUUUUUCCAGCUGUUCAAUGGCAAUUCUUGACCAACUUCACUAGUUAUAUAUGACUCGAGGGACAAAUUAGUUAUUUGACAUAGACAAAGGGGAAAUUGGUAGGUUAUUGUGAAAAAUAUCACUAACGUUAGGGUUCAAAUCAUUGUUUUGGACACACAGUUUAAUUUGGUGCAAAUGGCCUCUAACCUAUGAAGCUUUUGUGCAAAUUGUACAUAAUCUUCUAAUCUUGGCGUAAACGUUCUCAACAUUUCACUUAAUAGGCGUAAUGGGUUCUUUUGAUGGUCUUCAUUCAAUUGACAGUUAAAAAGGUCAAACUUUUUAUGUAAAGAUUAAAAUGUCCCAUCUUGUAGUUAAAUAAAUAAAAUAAAAUAAUUAAAAAUUAUAAGACAAAAAGUAAAGCCAAUUGAUAUUUGAUCCUACCAACUAAUUCUUAAUGAGAGCAUUUCAAAUGCAACCAUGAGUGAGAACUUUUAUAGAAUGGAAAUUAUAAUAAAUUCUAGCAACAAAUUAAAAUCAUUUAAAAGAGGUUCUUCUAAUAUUUCUUGAUUAAAUUAAUAUGUUGUUGGAUUUAGCACCUACGAGUGAAUAUUGAUGAACCUGAAUAUCUUUUACUGUUGAGAUUUAAUGUGAUUUUUAUUUUACGUUUGUUUAUUUAUUUAACUACAAUAAUGGUGAUUUUAGUCUUUAUAUAUCAAAAGUUUGACCUUUUGAUCAAAUACCAAUUGCACCUAUUAAGUGAAAGGUUAACUCCAAGAUUCAAAGGUUAGAGCAUGAAAUUGAUAAAAUUAGGGACCAUUUGCACUAAAAAGAUUAUGCAGGUGCAUAAUUAAUAGUAAAAUUAGACUGAAAGUGUCAAAAAGGAUGAUUUGUGUACUAAGUUGAUAGGUUAGGGAUGACUGCACAAUAACGCAAUAGAUUAGAUACAAACAGAUGCCUUGUCAUAACCUCAACCGCUCCAUUAUUCUUAUUUGUCAUCUGUCGUCAUGGGCAGACCCACAUGGUGUUAUGUGGGGUCAAAUGAUCCCAUAGUUCCUUUUUUUUUUUUUUUUUUUUUUUUUUUUUUUUUUUUUUUUAAAAUUUGUAGUCGUUUACUUCACGGCUUAUUUCGACGCGCGGGUUACGAAAUGUCAAACGAAGUCAAAAUAUUGCAUUAUUAAUACAAUUUCGAGGUGUUCAGAGCCUAACUUUUCACUUAUUGAUGGUGCGUGAAACGGCCAGCAACAACAAAACUACGACUCGUCAAAAUAAGUCAUUCCAAUCUAGUAUUUCGAAAAUUUCGAUUAUAUGUAACUUUAAAAAUUCAUCAACAAUUAUACUCUAGCCUGAUUCACAAACCGCUUACAUCACUUAGAAUAUUGUUUCAAGAACUACAUCAUAUUCAUAUCGAAUGGUCUAAAUGGAUAUCGAAAAUGGUUAAACGUGCGUCAAACAUACAUCUCUAAAAAAGAUGUCUAAUUCUUCUUUCCUUUAAAAAAUUUUAAUUAUUUCAUUAAUGUUUAUUAUCUUUGUACAACAAAUUUCUCAAUAUAAUUUAUAUCGUUUUAUUAGUAAAUUUUACAUGGAGUAUGACGUAAAAAAAUUAGGAUCAUUAUAUAUUAAAUGUAAUUUAAAUUACUAUCGAAUCAAAUUUGAAUUUCAUUUUUUCCAAUUUGAAUUUUAUUUCAAUUAAUUUACUUCAUACAUUUAACUUAAUUUACUCACCGUUGGCUCAGCACUUGUCAACAAAGUGAUACACAAAACUAUACAAGUAGCAAAUUCUAUUUGACAAUAUUAAUAAUGGUAUAAUUAUACGACGUUUUUAAAGUAUCAAGACGCGUAGACUACAAUUGUAGUAGUAUAUUGACUUAUUUUUAUUAUUAUGUUGUCUAAAAAAAUUACAUUUAAUUUAUGACCCCACGGUACAAAAGGUCUGGGUCUGCCCCUGUCUGUUGUGUUUCCAUAUCCACCGCUCCAGUAUUCUUAUUUGUCAUCUGUCGUGUUUCCAUAUCCAUAUAUAUAUGUGGAGAGAGAGAGAAGGGAAAACUGUCCAAAAUUUCCAUUCAGGAUCAGCUAUUGAUCAUAUAAUCUAUUUUUUGAGAGAGAUGAGUGGUUUGCCAAGGUCAGAAAUAUCCUUUAGAAGACAAGGUUCUUCAGGGUUGGUAUGGGAUGACAAGUUAAAUUUGGAGGUGAAGAAGAAACACGAUCCAAAACCUGCGGUCGAACAGAGCCCAAGGGAAUAUGUAUAUCGAUCCAGGACAGUUACACUAGCAGUUGAACCGCCAUCUCCUAAGGUCUCCUGUUGCUGUGGCAAAUUUGGGAAGCCUCCCCAUCGUAAGUUAUAGUUGUUCUGCAUGCUGUUUUUGCUAUGUGAGUGAAAUCAAACAUUUUUAGUUUAUAAAAAUGCUUUGUAUAAUAGUUAUGUGUUGAAUAUGCAAAAAGUUAAAUUGCAUUUAGUUUAACACUUGCACACAAUUCUCCUAAUUUCCAGGCUCGACUCUUUUUUUUUUUUCCUGGUUGAUGGAUUUUGAUGUGUAUAGCAAGAUGAAAAUGAAGUUUUCUAUCAAAGUGAGAAGAAAAUAUGUAAAGAAUCGAGCACGUAUUCAAGCCGUUAACUACGUAACAUAUUUACUGUUUGUUUUGGGAGAGUUCGCACACAUUUUACCCUUCACAACUUUUUAUUGCAUUCUCUAGAUCCGUGACAUCUACGUUUCGAGAGAUUUAAGUUGAAUUUUGGUAACAAUUGAACAAGUUGUGUGAGAAUCAAAUUCUCUCAAAAUUAUCAGUAUGCAUGAGUUAUUGACUCGAACACAAAUUUGAAUCGUUACAAAAUAAAUAUCCACAACACACAUAGUGCUACUAAAAAUUUGCUUGAUAAAUAUUUCCUAUAUUGCUACCAAGACUGGAAAAUUGAUUUUUUUUUUUUUUUUGUCACGACCUGUUGACUGAGAAGCAGGUUGGUCCCCCGAGCUUAAGAAAAUGAGAAAACUCGUUAUAUCCUUUUACCUAUCAAAACAUAUAGGUGGGCGCUGCCACUCAAGAGUUUACAAAUUGACAUUCGAGUCACUAUUGAAAGGCAAAAUAGAUAAAAUAUUAACAGAAAGUGAAACAACACAGGUAAUCUGCAUAUUCGCGGGCAAAUCUAUUUCAUCGAACCUUUCUUCAAGACACUAUCCAAAUCGUUAAGCCUUUCGUGCGAUUCGGAACUUAUCCGACAAGUUAGCCAAUUCUUCGAUCAUCAGUCACCACCUUCCUUGAUCUUUCGGCCUUGGAUAGACGUCAACCCUCAUGCAUGAUCUUAAGACUUUGUGGAGACCUAUUUUUAUGGUAAACAGUCGACUCUGCAACUCCCCACUCUCAACAAAAUACAGCGUUUCUUUCAAUUUUCCACCUAAAACGCCAUCCUUCCAUGGUAUAGGCUAAUCCUGGUCAUGAUGAAGAUUAACUUACUAAUACGUCAAUUAGUGAUUCCUAAAAACAACAAAACAAUUAGUGGUCCAUUAUUUCCCGCAACUUUUGACUAAAAUCGUAGAAUUCAUGAAAUUAAUUAUCAGAUUAGAAGCAAUCAACUUUAUUAAGAUAUAUGGAUAAGAGAUUGAAUAGUUUUCAAUAAAAGAAAAUGGUCGUUUUCAAUGUGACCGAUCAUUCAACAAUUAAACAAUAUUUAGCCAUCUAACCUCAUCUUGAUGUUUGACUAAAUUUAUAACUUAUUUUUUUAAGUUAAUUUUUGUUUGAAUACAUUAUUUUUUUCUCAAGUAAAAAGAGUUAAAGCAAUUUGUUUUACAACUUAGAUCAACAAAAAUAAUACAUUUCUAACUCUUAUUUAAUCAUAAGUAAGUUUUUUUAAAGCUUGGCCAAACAUCUUCUUACAAAUAUUAUAUUAAGAUGAUUAAAUAAAAUGCAUUUCUUGUUUUAAAUUGUUUCUUCAAAGGACGAAAGGACAGACUGAACUUUUUCUUGCAUUCAACGUUCAAAGAUUCUUAUUAUUACACAUCAUCGAGUUGUAUUUUUGCACGAUCAAUGGUUACCUUCAAUAAUUGAAGAAAAAUAGGUGGGAGAAUUGUAUUGAUCCUCAUGUAGGUUUAGUACAAUCUGAUUGAGAUUAAAAUUAAACAGAGUCGACUAUUUUUUUUUAAGUUAUGCAAUUGCAUAAAACCCCUUAAAUAGAUUGGCUUCCAAAUUUUAAAACUAUCAUUAUUUGUAAUUAGUAAUACUAAAAAUAUAAAUAGUCCAAUAAACUCAACAUAAUCUUUUCAACAAAUACAAACUAACAAAAAUGUUUAAAUUAAGUGUUAAUGGAAAAUUAGGGCAAAUUUUGACCAAUUCCAAUUCUCUUUUCCCCUUAUUCACUGCACUAAUCAUUGUUCAUUUCCCUUAUUUUCCAGGUCUUAUAUAUUAUUCUCUCUCUUCCAUAUAUCUUAGAUUAUUUUAGCAUGAAUAUGGAGAGUAAUGUCUGUAGAUGCGGUGACCCUAUGCAGAUGAAGACCUCAUGGACGAACUUAAAUUCAGGAAGAAGAUUUCUCACUUGUCCACGACGUCAGGAUAUCGAUGGAUGUAACUUUUUUGACUAGCUCGACCCUCCAAUGUGUGACAAAUCGAGGAAGAUAAUCCCUAGAUUUCUACCUGUCAAAAGAGAUGGAAGUUGAACUAAACACCUUAUGUAUUAAGAUUUGUCAUCAUUCAACAGUGUUGCCCUAAUUAUCAUUUCUCAUAGUUUCCCCCUCUCCCUGUGAGCAAAUGCUUCAAAACGAAGGGAAAAAUAUGUUCGAAAACAUAUCAUAGAUAGUGCAUUGUUGGUCUCAAACGUUUUCAAUUAGUCAUACACAAACCUUUUAUUAUGUCGCGACAUAGGUUCCAAAUAUUUGUAUUUGAAUGCACGAAAAGUCCCAAACCUUUUAAAUGAGUUACAGAUUAGGUUCUAAACCUUUUGAGGAGUUGAAGCUUAUGUCUCAAUUUGACAAAGGACUCUCUUUCCCUUGCCCUGUGAUUGAGUUGGUUGUGUAUCCUAUUGUGUAUCUGCUUUAGAAUAUGUUCUCUUGUUAUGGCAUGUCCCACCACAUGUUUUACAUGUCAUCAUCAUUCUAGUCCUUGUCAUUUUGGUGCCUGUAGUCUCCCUGCUUGUUUCUUCUUCAUAGGUGGAUUCAAAGAAUGUUUUCCCAGCUUUAACCACAACUCAAGGACCUAACAUUGGUUGGAUGAUUGGGCUAUAGGACCUCAGAUAAGCUUCUUUGAUGUAGCAUUCAUCUACAUACUCAUAUAUGCCAAUAUUUCUCAAUGGCAUACCAGACAUUACAUGCACACAAGGUAUUCCAGUAAGUUGCUAUUUUCUACAUGCACAUUUAUGUUUCAUCAAGUCCAAACUCCAUCUCUUUUCCAUCCCUAUUUCUCACAUCAAAUUUUCACUUCCAGCAUAGUUAGCCUUUAAAAACCUUACAUCUGCCUUUGUUUUCUCUUUAAUUCUCAUAACUUCAGGACCAAAAGCAUGAUCACAUCUUCAUGCAGCUUCCAUUUUAGCAUUCAUCCUUUCCAUAGACUUUUCUCUUGCAAUUAAUAUGAAAGAGUUGAAUGUCUCACACAAGUUAUUAAGUAGGAUGUCGCACUUUAAAUAAUCUUGGAAAUGUGAUCUACUCUACGGUGAUGCUGGUUUCUCAGUGAACCACUUAAACUCUGUUUCGUUCAUAUCUUUUAUCUCAUUCAUUGCACUUCUCUACUCUGGCACUAGUUUACCCUUGUUGCAGCCCAAAAAUAUGCUCUUUAGAGUCGGUCCCUUAUGCACUAAGGUGAAAUUGCUGGAUAAAUGUCUUGCACAAUACCUAUACUCAGCACCCUUACAUAACAAAUUUAUGGAGUCCACUAAGCCCUUCUGUUUAUCAGAAAUAAGGUCCAAGUCCUAGCAUUAUACAUCCCAAUAUCAGCUAUCAAAAGUUCUAAUAACCAUUCCCAAUUUGUUUUGUUCUCCACAUCCCCAGCUAUAGGAAACGUGUAGUUAUCUACAUCAAUACCAAUUGUAGCCAACAACUGCCCAUGUUGUGCACUCUUUAGGAAAUAUCCAUCCAAACCAAUUACAUUUCUACACCCAGCUCUAAGAACUUCUUUGCAAGCCCCUAAACAUAUGUAUAGUCUUUUGAAUGUAUGACCCUGCCCAUUGUACUAUCAGGAUUAGUUCUUUUCAACUUCUUACCAUAGUCCCACAGAAUCUUGUACUAUUCAGCCACAAUUCCAUUAACAACGUCUGCACAUUUAACUCUUAUUCUAUAAAAUUGAUGCUUAGAGAUCUCAUAUAUGCACUCCUCAUUCAUUUUUUCUAUAAAACUAUUCAUAGACAUUUUUGGAUUUGAUUUGACUUCCUUAUAUACUUUUUGCCAAGUAACCAAUAUGCACUCUUCUAUUCUUCCAAACCAUUGUGCAAGUAUGUUCAUCUUUAAAUGUGUUAAUUCUGAAACUUUUGUCUGGUUGCUAGUAAGCAUACAACUUCCAUGGACAAUUCUCUUGGCAUAUGACUCUUACACUUGUUCCUUCAUUCUUUAAAUAUCUAACUUGCCUUGCAUUCUUAACCAAAUACUGUAAACUUCAUCUUUCAAUAUCUUUAUGUUAUCUAACUUCAUGCUUGCAGGAUUAAACUAGUAGUGUCAACGAGCCGAGCCGAGCCGAGCCGAGCCGAGCGAAGCAAGCUCGCNNNNNNNNNNNNNNNNNNNNNNNNNNNNNNNNNNNNNNNNNNNNNNNNNNNNNNNNNNNNNNNNNNNNNNNNNNNNNNNNNNNNNNNNNNNNNNNNNNNNNNNNNNNNNNNNNNNNNNNNNNNNNNNNNNNNNNNNNNNNNNNNNNNNNNNNNNNNNNNNNNNNNNNNNNNNNNNNNNNNNNNNNNNNNNNNNNNNNNNNNNNNNNNNNNNNNNNNNNNNNNNNNNNNNNNNNNNNNNNNNNNNNNNNNNNNNNNNNNNNNNNNNNNNNNNNNNNNNNNNNNNNNNNNNNNNNNNNNNNNNNNNNNNNNNNNNNNNNNNNNNNNNNNNNNNNNNNNNNNNNNNNNNNNNNNNNNNNNNNNNNNNNNNNNNNNNNNNNNNNNNNNNNNNNNNNNNNNNNNNNNNNNNNNNNNNNNNNNNNNNNNNNNNNNNNNNNNNNNNNNNNNNNNNNNNNNNNNNNNNNNNNNNNNNNNNNNNNNNNNNNNNNNNNNNNNNNNNNNNNNNNNNNNNNNNNNNNNNNNNNNNNNNNNNNNNNNNNNNNNNNNNNNNNNNNNNNNNNNNNNNNNNNNNNNNNNNNNNNNNNNNNNNNNNNNNNNNNNNNNNNNNNNNNNNNNNNNNNNNNNNNNNNNNNNNNNNNNNNNNNNNNNNNNNNNNNNNNNNNNNNNNNNNNNNNNNNNNNNNNNNNNNNNNNNNNNNNNNNNNNNNNNNNNNNNNNNNNNNNNNNNNNNNNNNNNNNNNNNNNNNNNNNNNNNNNNNNNNNNNNNNNNNNNNNNNNNNNNNNNNNNNNNNNNNNNNNNNNNNNNNNNNNNNNNNNNNNNNNNNNNNNNNNNNNNNNNNNNNNNNNNNNNNNNNNNNNNNNNNNNNNNNNNNNNNNNNNNNNNNNNNNNNNNNNNNAAAAAAAAAAAAAUCAAUUAUCUUACUGACUUAUAGCCUGUUUGGAAGUCAAUUUGAGAAUUGAUUUUUUGACCGUUAGGAGGGGUCCACCUGUGAGAGAAGAAGUCAAAUAUGACGACUGAAAUAAUAAAAUAACGGUCAAAAAAUCAAUUUUUUGAGACAAAAAAUCGCUCCCAAACAAACUGUUAGUAAGAUCAAGGUCAAGAAAUGAACACGUUAUUCUAUUUAUUCCAUUCCAAUUAUGCUUAUUGAACAUAAUGGAUGAUAGGUACAACAAUUCACCAAAAAAUAGUCAAAAUUAUCAAAUGAGUAGACUGGGUAAGAACAAUAUUUUUCAAUAUUUAGGAGAAAUCUGAGAACUUCAAUGAAAACCACCCUAAUUUUGAUCCUUUCCUCUAAAGUACAGAACAAGAGCACUUCAUGAAUCAUAGUGACAUGUUUGGCAGGAUGGAUUGGAUAGCACUGGACUGUAUUGAAGAAUGGAAUCAUUAAUCUCGAGUUCUAUCCAAUACUAAGUACAUAACAUGCAAUUAAUAUUUAUGGAUGCUUGCAGUUUCAACUUAUCCACAAUUUUUGCUAGGGCAUCAAUAAUCUUGUUAAGAGCAGUGACUAAACCGUUGUGCUGGUCAUUUCACUUCUCACUGUCGACUUGACAGUUCAUAUUUUGAGAUUCAAGUUGGGUAUUCAGCAGACUAGCAUUACUCUGGAGAACUCUGAUCCAGCGAUCGGCUACAUCAAUAUUUUGACAUCCGUUUGCUGAAAAUCUUCUUCUCUUCAUUCCCUCCCGAAACAUAGUAGAUCCUGUCUCAAAAUUUUGCUGAGGCCAUUUCCCAAUUUCUGCACCUGAUAAUUGCAAACGUAUCAUAUCAAUGAGCAUAAUGGAUCACCAAAUACAGAUUUAUGGAGCUUAACUUGAUUUGAAUAUGCCUCAUGGUAUGGUUGAUAUUUCUUCUCUGCCAGUGAUAGAAAACCUUUGUGUCAUAUAUUUCGGGGAGAUAAACACUAGUUGAAAAAGAUGAUUUAGGUAACCUGAUAUUGGCACUGGUGAAGGAUUUGGCUUUGUUCUGUCAACUGUUGCCGCCUCUUCAUUUCCUCAUCUUCGGCCAAAUGCCAUAACCAUUAUUUUCAUCUAGACUUUCUUAAACAAGUGCUAGUCGAUAUUCAUCCCCUGUGAAUGUUUUCAGGUCCAAGACAUCAUAGACUUCUCGAUCAAAGAAAUCGGGAAGUCUCCUAUCCCUUCUCAAACCGCUUCUUAUCGUCCAGAAGGAUUCAUUAACUCUGAGACUCCCACAUUUUUAUCUUCCUGAAAUCACAUACAAGGUUACUCCAUCUUUUUCCGGCAUUGAACUGGUCCUCAUUCACUCCAUGCUGUCUACAGUAUUCAUACUGGUCCGACCCAAAAAUUGAACCGGAUCUUCUACCCUUAGCCCUUGAUCCUCUACGACCUUCCUGCCCUCUAUGAGGAAAAGGGUGGUUUCUCGUCUCGUUCAUUGAGGGUGUCUCACUAUUUUAUUCUUGUCAUCGGUUCUUUCAAUCAACAAUGUCUAUCCAUUUUCAACACUCGUUGAAGAUAUACCUUUUUAAUGAUGCAGCUGGGUUCUGAUGCCACGAAUUCUUCUGCUAAAAGUAUUUUUGAUAGAAAUCAGAUAAUGUACCCACUAUCUCUUACGUUCCUUUGAAAUGUUCUUUGAGGCUUAUAUUCUGUAUGUUUUUUGGGUUUUACAGAAGGCACGCCCUCUCUCUCAGCAAUUAAAUAUAGCCCUUGUUUGAGCCACAUUAUUCCAUAAGAAUGCAUUUUUAAAUAGUGUAUUGAUAGGAAAUGUGUAAUUAAAAAAUAAUAAAAAGGUUUUGAAUUUAUGUUUAAUAUUACUUUAUUGAAAAAUGUGUGAUUAAAAUCAUAUCAAAUCACUGUUUAAGAUUAUAUUUUUUAAAUAGAGCGUGGGUCAAAUAGGCCAUAAUAAAGAGAUAUAUUCUUUAUUUAGGCAUUUGAUUUCUAGAUUUGAGCACGUACCCUUGAGCCACAUUGUCCUAAUCUUGGGAAAUUUGCGUAUUUUGUCGUUUCCGCAAUCUUUUGCCUAUAUAAAUGCUCUUAAUUUAGGCUCUGUUUGAGCCCUAUUAUUUUCUCUUUAAAAUGAAAAAUAUGACCGUUAUCCAUCAUAUCAGCCACCAUAUUUGACUUUUUAUUUCUUGUGUGAGGCCCAUAACGACUAUAUUUUUCAUUUUCAUUUUUAAAAUAAUGUGGCUCAAACGAAGGCUACAUAUGAAAGAGGCAUAAUAAUGCAGAGGUCCCACCAUGAUGUAGUGUAAAAAAAUUGCAUUAUGGGAGAAAAAAUGUGGAUCGAACGGAGGCUUAAAUAAAAAGGAUCACUCUUGGGAUACAUAAUGGACACCAUAAUGGUGUCCAUAAUCCCGAGGUAGCGCCUCCCCAUUGGAGGGGGCGCAUGUGGGCCUGAUGCCUCCAUCAAUGGGGAGGCGCCACCUUGACAUUAUGGACCCCAUUAUGGUGUCCAUUAUGUACACUUAGGAUAUUCCAAAUAAAAAAGAGGUCGCCCAAUUAAAAGAGAAAAAUAAUAAAUAAAUAAAGACGAGCAAUUCUGCAACAUGGCUUGUCUAUAGGUGGCCAUACAAGAUGAGGAUGCUUUAGAGAUGGCAAAAAAAUUGCGAAAAAAACCCCGCCCCCCAACCUGCCCCGUGAAGCAAAAAAAUAUAAUAAUAUUUUUUUAUUUGAAAAAAAAAAUUAAACGGGGCAACAAACGUGCCCCGUCCCGAACUCACCCCAUUGCCAUCCCUAGGAUGCUUGGAUCAACGGGACUAGAGCUGUGAAUGGAUCAAAUAUGGGCCGGAUCUGUCCAAAUACGAUCAGAUCCGUUACGAAUAUUUAUUUGAUUCGAUCCGAUUUGAUAAUCCAAUGAAUAUUUGAUUGUUAAAUCCAUAUCCGGUUUGUUAUAUUAUCGGAUAUUCGAUCUUUCAACCGAAAAAAUGGAAACCGACCUCUAAACCGGUCUGGUCUUCAUAUAUUAACCAAACGAUAUGAACUUUUAUUCUAAAAAAUAUUUUAAUUAUCUUUGAUGUGCUCACCUCUUAAUAUUAUACUAGAAGACUCAAAUAAUUUUUAUCCAAGUAAUGCUCCUUUGAUUAAUUUUUAAAGGAGUCUCCUCUUAGAAUGUUUUAGUGAUCUUCUAAUAUGGGAUAUUAGUUUUUUUGAAGGAUAUACUUUUCCUCCAAUGUUUUAGUGAUAUUUCAAUGUGGAAUACUAGUCAAUUGUCAAUUCUAAGUUUUUACUAGUUUGCUUUAUUUUUUUUACUAAAAAUCAUAGCCUCAACAAGAUUAUAAUCACAAAUAAUAUCAAUUUGAACAAUAUAAAUUAUUUUGGACAUAUUAAUUGUUAGUUUUUGAUGUUGUAAAACAAAUUAUUAUAGUUAUUUUUAUCUUAUUUUAAUUAAUAAAAAAAUUAAAUAUCUUCAAAUAUUUCAAUUAACAAUAUUAUAAUAUUAUUUAUUAUUUGAAAAUUAUGUGUAAAGUAUAAUAUAAGUUUCAAAAUGGAAAAAAAUUAUGCUUAAUAAAUUAUGAUAUAAUAUAUAAAAUAUAUUAUGUUAUUAUAAUAAAUCGGAUCGGAUCGACCUAUAUCCAUAUUUGCUCCAUUUGGUUAACGGAUUAUCGGAUUCGGAUCUUAAUCCAUCAUUGGAUUGAAACCCUAAAUCCAUCUUCCAUUAAUUUUAUCGAAUUCGAAUCGAAAUCCAAUCCAUUGACAGCCUUAAACGAGACCCAUUUUAACAAUGUCACCGACAACAUUGUUCAUAUUUAGCCCCCCUUUGAGCCAUAUUAUUAUAAAAAUGAGAAUGAAAAAUAUAGUUGUUAUGGGCUCCACAAAAAAAAAAAGUCAAAUAUGAUGGCUUGAUGUGAUGGAUAACGAUCAUAUUUUUUAUUUUAAUAAAGAAAUAAUGGGGCUCAAAUAGGAUCUUAAACGUGAGUGCAGGGGUAGUUUUAGUAACACGUAUUGUUGAGGCAUCAUGGCCUUUUUGGUGGGCCCGGGCUAUCUUUUUGCUUUAUGGCCCGUCCCUAUUAUCGGCCUAUUCCAAUUUAAAAUUGUUACAUUUGUACGUUAAUUUUAUUCUUCAAAUAUUUGUCGAGCUUGUGAUGUUUGUGGAUUAGUAUGCUGGAAUUUUUUACACGUAUGGAAAAGCGAAAGAAUUGUAUUACACAACGGGAAAAAUUGUUGAUUUAUCACUUGGGAUGACGUGAAAUGUGUUCAAAUUGUUGAAAAUGAUAUCUCUAAAAAUUAUAUUAAAUAUUGUAUUACCCUAUUGUUGGAAUAUCACCUAGAAAUUAAGCCCCGUUUGAUCCCCAUUUUUACUCAAAAACGUAUUUUUUCCAUCACAUCAAUAUAUGACCUAUACAUUAUUGUAUGUUUUGAUUUGAAUUCAAAAGGCAUAAAAUUUCAAUUUCACCCAUGGUCUCUCGACUUAGGGUCUGUUUGAUUGUAAUAAUGAAAUUGAAUUGAAUUGAAAAAGAAAAACAAGGAAUUGAAUUGUCUAGAAAUUGUUUUCCUGGGAAUUGUAAAUUAUUGUGUUAUAUUGGUAUAAUUUUUCACAUGAAAAAUGUUAAAAUAAAAGUAUUUUUUGGUGUUCGUUUGACUUUGUUUUACAUGAAAAUUGUCAAUUAAAAAAAUAUAUUUUACUGGUAUUGGGAAUGAAAUUUGUUUCCAUUGCCAACAAAAAAAAAAAAAAAAAAAAAAAAAAACAUCUAUCUUUUGGUGUUCAUUUAACUUAUUUUAUAUGAAAAUUGUCAAUUAAAAUGAAAUACUUUUUUACAAUAAUUCUUAGAAUUUGUUUCCAUUGCCAACAAAAAAUUCCAAAAAAAUAAAAACCAUGAUCAGUAGGUUGGAAUAAAAACCAAGAAAAUACAAUUUCUCAAGACAAGCAAGAAAAUGGAAUUCCACGGAAAUUAAAAUGUAUCAAACACAUAAAAUCGAAAAGGUGGAAUUCGAAUUCCAUGGAAAAUGGAAUUCGAACCAAUCAAACACUGCCUUAUGGCCUGUUUGAUUGACCAAGAAUUCCAUGGAAAGUUACGCUUUCUAACUUGAUCCUUGUUUGAUGGCAUGUACUUACCAUGGAAUUGUUAUUUCAUGUUUCCACCCACCCGUCACUUUUCUUUGUUCUCAUGGAGUUCCAAUUCUUAUGGGUAUGGUAAGAAUUGGAAUUCUAGGUAAUUUAUUAUUAUUAUUUUUUUUUUGUCUUUUUUUUCUUUUCCUUUUUUUUUAUUGGCAAUGGAAAUAAAUUCUAAAAAUUAUUGUAAAAAAAUAUUUUUUUAAUUGGUAAUUUCCAUGUAAAAUAAAACCAAACGAACACCAAAAGAUGGAUGAUUUUCUUAAUUAUUUUUUUUUGGUCGUUAACAAUGGAAACAAAUUUCAUCCCCAAUACUAGUAAAAUAUAUUCCUUUAAUUGAUAAUUUUCAUGUAAAACAAAACCAAACGAACCAAAAAAUACUUUUAUUUCAACAUAUUCACGUGAAAAAUUAUACCAAUCAAACGCAAUAAUUUAUAAUUCACAAGAAAAUAAUUUCUAGGCAGUUCAGUUCCCUGAAAUUCGUUUUUUAUCCACCCAAAUUCAUAUUUGCAAUUAAACGGACCCUUAUAUUAAGAGGAAAUUGCAUAGGUUGUCAGUUUUUGCCUUGACAUUGGAAGUCAAACAAUCGACCCACGCAUUUUGGAGGGCCAUCUAUAGACAAGCCAUGUUGCGGAAUUAUUCUCUUCUUCUUUAUUAUUAUUCCAAUUCCAAAAGUUCAUACUUUAGAAUGUUCAAGUCAUCCUUAUGACCUUUGCCUAUAUUAUGUGGCAAUCUGCUUCAUGUACAGCAGUCCAUACAGCAUACCAUAGAGUGCUGAGGUGCAAAUUUAAAAAAAAAAAAAAAAAACCUAAUAAACCGGUUUCUUGCAAGUGAGCCGGGCUGAAACAAACUCACUCUUCCCCAAGACCCCAAAUCAAUUUCCCUCUCCCAUUUGUCUGAAAGUCGUCUUCUGAAAACACUCCAUCGCCAAUUCUCCUGAAAACGAUCCAACCACAAAAUCUCCACUUUCGAUCGACGCUUCAACCGAUAGACAAUACUUCCUCCCUCCCCAUCGGCUAGAGACCACCGAAUACUCGCUCACUUAGGUAAGAGAAAGCGAAGGAAGCAAUGAUGUCAUUUUCUGCCCUUUUUGUAUUAUUUAUGUUAUUCAAGCAAUAAUUUCUUGUUUCGUCGUAUGUUGAGGAUGAAAUACUAGUUUUGGAUCUGCUAUCAACUGUAGUGUAUGCCGAAAAUAGUUUGAUUACUCUGGGCUUGUCAUCUGAGAGUUACUGUGUAAGAACAAAACAUUGGUUCUUUAUGGUUCGUCAAUCUUGUUUCAGUUUUAUGUGUUGGGGAAAAAUUGAGUUUCGAAAACGUAGUUUGACAAUGCUGGGGUCAUUCAAUUCUGCUUUAGAUUUACUGUGUACGAGAAAUAAUUACGAAAUUUUAAUUUGAAAAUUGGAAUAUCCUCAUUCUCGAAAGGGCUCUGUAAAUUAUUGUGGUUCGUCGAUCUUGUUUCAGUUUUAUGUGUUGGGGGAAAAAUUGAGUUUAGAAAAUGUAGUUUGACAAUGCUGGGGUCAUUCAAUUCUACUUCAGAUUUACUGUGUGUGAGAAAUAAUUGCGAAAUUGUAAUUUGAAAACUGGAAUAUCCUCAUUCUGGAAAGGGCUCUAUAAAUUUCUCGUUGAAGGGAAGGUUAAAGCAUUUCAUAGGAUUAUGUAAGUUCUAAUACUAGUUAGUUUAAAAUAGUAUAACACUUUUAACAUGUUUUUGUAUGACUCAGAAUUCAUCCAAGAAUUUUGGUUGAUGUGAGCAGUAGAUGUGCCAACAACUAUCAUUGGUUACAACACACUGGCAUAACCUGAAGGUUUAUUUAUACUUACUUAUAACAAUAUAUUUGAAUAUUGAUUACAACACAUUGGCAUACCCUGAAGGCUUAAGAUUUACUAUAGAUGGUUCCUUAUUCCAAAGGAUUUGAAUAUUUCUUAAUGGCAUUGUAAUCAGAAUAUUUUGAUAUAACAUUUUUGUUUCUGUAUACAUUACACAAUCACGUGGAGGCGUAUUCACAAUUUCUUGUGUUGCCGGACAAAUUACUAUGCUAUAGUGCUGUUUUAAAUUCUAAGAAGGUUGGAAUGUCUGUUUACUGUGGUUCGAAGAAAAUGCAUGUUUUGUGAGAAUGAUAUGUUUUCAUGUUGAUGUGGUUGAAGUAGACUUGGUCGAUGGUAAGCAAGAAUCGGGGAAUAUGUCAUUGUUGUAGACAAAAGGGACAUAUGCUACCAGAAUGCCCGAGAAAGAAAAGCUGUCCAAAUUGUGGUUUGGGUUUCAUCAAAUGGAUGGAGGUUGAAAAGAACAAUGACCAUAAAGGGCUAUUGUUCCAUUGUUGCACUCGCGACUGUAGGUACUUCAAGUGGUGUAACAAAUCCCUUGACGAAAAGUGUCCGCUGCAUGAUGAUGGUGAAUCAAGUGGCAUUAGAAAUGUAGGCGAACAGGUGGAUGAUUUGUCGCACAUGUUAAAGACGCUCGCUAAGCUAACUGACAAAAAAGACUUGAAGAUCUAGCUCAAAAUAAAUAUGCGCAAAUGGAAGCAAGAUUUGGAGAAAGAAAACUGAAUAUGUCGUGUAUUAGGAUGGUGUAUGACGAAAAUGACUCUUGAGAAUCGUUGUUCAAGUGUUUAUGUAUGAUAUGUUGGUAGUUAUAUGUAAUAUGAUUUUGGAGAAAAUUGUAUUGAUGUUCAACGAGCUUCUCAAGGUGUCAACUAUCAUGUAUUUUGUCCGUAAUCUUAAUGAAGUACUUAUCUAUUUCUUCCCGCCAAUUAUGUCAACUCUCAGUGUUCCCAUUUCAGGUUCAUGUAUUAUAUUUAUGGAAUUAAGCCUUCCACAAAAAUUCAAUUGCCGAAUGAGCACAGGUCUUCUGCCAUUGUAAAGUAUAAUGAUUGAUGCAUUUCUCACAAGUUAACCAUUGCUUGAUCACUAGCAGUUUUGAGUUGUACAAAAAAAUCUUAGCCAUUAUUAUGAAAACAAGACCAAUAGCAGUAGUGUACCAAAAAAAUGAUAAGUGAAGUCAAUGUAAAACAUCAUGAGUUUCAAACGAUAUAAUGUAUUAAAAACUAGAAACUAGUUAUUCAUACUUGUAUGCUUACUUCUUAUGGUUCGAGAAACAUGCAUAGCUCACUUUGCUCAAUAUUUCAGGCUCCAUUUUACCAAAGAAAAGCAAGGGAAAGAAUUCUUUUGACCCCAGGGAUCUCCACCUCGAGACUUUAUUUACAGCCUUUUAUAUUAUCAUUGAAUUAACUCUGCUAAAAUUAUUAUUUCAAAACACUGUUUAAUGAACCACUCCACUUCUUUGUUCUCAAGAAGACCUGUAAUUUUCCUGCAAAUAGCAAGUUUAACACAGCCAGUUAUGUUAUCCAGUAUAAAAGUACAGACAAAAAUUAAAUUAUAGUAGAAAUAGAUCUCACGUAAAUCAGAAAAUCCUUUUGUAAAUUUUUAUUUAUUUUUAUUACCAAAUAUAUGUAUCGGAAAGUAAAAAAUAAUAAUAGGAAAUAAAUAAAUAAAUUAGACAUUCCGCACUGCGCGGAGUGUUGAACAGUUACACUCCGCGCAGCGCAGAGUGUCUAUAAGUGAAUUUUUUUUCUUUUGCUUUCCGAGAUGUAUAUUUCAUAAUUUGGCCAUAACUUUAUCAGAAUCACGCUCAUGACCCCAAUUCAAAAAGCUUUUUUCGACGCGCACGUUGUGGCCACCAAUUUCGGUGGGUGGGCAUCAUUUUCGUGGUCAAAAUCCGCUGUUUUCCCUUCUAAAUCCCCAAUUACUUUCUAAUUCUCUUCCUUUUACGGGAUCUUUUAUGAAAACAUACUUUUAUCGUUCUAAAUAUUUAUCCUUCAUAAAAAAAAAAGUAACCACUAAAAAAUGAAGUGAUCACAAUUUAUACAAGCCACAAUGUUAGCAAUCAGGAGAUUUCCUAGCAUCUACGGUUGAAAAUGUAAACAUAAAUGCCCUAAAAUGAUAAAUUACUAUGCACAAAGCAAUUUGAUUGUUUUUCCAUUGUAGUAAAUGAUCCAAUUCCCGUUGCAAAUUUUCAUCACCCCUUCAGCAAAGAGGCUUUUUCAGACUGCGAAUGCAAUCAACAAACAUCCAUACAGCUGCCAAUUCAAUGUUCACGCCUUCUAUUUCUUGAAAUUUCAACUUUGAGGCGCUGAAUUUCUUCCUUUAGUUCUUCCAAUGACCUUCUGUUGGUUAUCAUGUAACUGCUCAUCAAAUUUGAUAGAUGCCUUAAACAUGAGAGAUAUUUAGCUUUUACUUCAGGAUGAUCAGAUAAAUACUUCACAGCUCCAAACUGCAGAAAUGGAAAGUAAUCAGCUUGAUUGGCGGAUCAUGAGUAUUUGAAACUAGAGUUCCUUAAUUGGAAAUAUUGAAAGCACUGUCCUAUUCGGAAGUGAACAAAAUAAAUGAGCACACAAACCAUCCAAAGAAAUGGGGACAACUAUAAAUUUUGCAUAAUUCGAACUCCAAGUACCUCCUUCAAAAUAGAAAUGCACUGUCGAAGUGCAGCAUCGAGUUCUGUUCUUCAAAUUGAUUCGUGGAAUAAGUGCAUACAAAUGCCACUUGUUUUUUUUACUACCACACACAUUGAUAUAUAGAAACAAUUCCAUUAAUUCUUUAUACCUAACACAAAAUUAGAUGAAUAACUAAUUUAAGAGAGUAUUAGUUCCUAUUAGAAAUUUAAGAGAGUAUAUUACUUGUUCAUGUCCUAACUAUAAUUUUCAUCCUUGAUUAUUGGUUGCUCUCUCGUCUACUUAAUGUCAACUUCAGCAUCACUUGUAGGAUCUUGACGAGCCAUUCUUGAACUCAAAUUCUGAACAAGAGUAGAACGACCUCCAGCAAUCGUAGCAUGUGGAAUUGUCUGGGCGGGACUGGACAUCCAAUAUGCUAUGUUGGGUGGUAAAGGCAAUGUCUGAAAUGACGUUUUCCAUGUUGUUAUUGCAAGUACAUUGGAGAAUCAUAUGAAAUUAACUAUUUGUAAGGAGAAAAGUUACACCACUUACACCAUGAAAUCCAAGAUGAAAAACACCCAUUGCGGACGGUGUCAUUCCUAGUUGUAUUCCAACAUUGUACGACAAAUUGGGACAAUAGUAUUGCAUUGUAUUCCCUAACAUGAACAUGAAAAAAUAAGACAUAUGCUAAAUACACAUUUGGGAACGUGUAAAUACACAUCGGAAAGACUAUACUCACCGGGAUAUUUGAACAAAACAUUCGAUGUUGAUGCUGGAAUAAAAUUUGUAGACGGCACUUGUGUUAGUACGUGACUUUCCUCGUCGCCCUGCGUGAAGCAAUAAAACAAAUUACUCUUAAGAUCACUGAAAUUUUGCCAAUGGUUAAUACCUGAAGAAAAAUGAAUUAAAUAAAUAAAUUGGCAGCCAUUCAUUCAUAAUCUACCGACACUGCCCAAAUUAACGUGAUGCAGUAUAUUAAUUCCUUGUUUCACCCAAAUUAAUGUGAGGCAAUAUAUUUAAUUCCCUGUUUCACCCAUUCAUUCAUAUUCUGUCGACAACACAGUUUUUUCCACUUGGAGUGAGAGGUUAUAAUAGAUAAGCUUCUCCAACGAAAUAUGUAGCUGAAGUAUCACAAUGAUUAUUCUGCUUAGGACACUGAAUGGUCUAAUAAUUUGUAAGAAAUAAAAUAUUUAGACUACAUAACAAAAUUAGGAACUCGGUCUACUAAUAAAUACUUACAGCUAUAACUUGUGAAUUUGAGAAUUGUGUCAUCAUGAAUAUUGUACAUGUGGCAAGGACUCAACAAAUGGUGUGUUGAGUCGGAGAUUUCUUUUCGCCGCUCUCGAUCUCUGUCCUUUGCUGGAAGUUGAUGCUUCUUGCAAGACAUGAGAAUAAUUGACAUUUGCACUUCGUUGAAAUGUAUGACACAUGAUAAAAAUGUGUGAAAGAUAAAUAACCUUUAUUUUCUUCGAGAUCGACUCCAAUGAGCUUUUAUGACGAAAUUUCUUCGGUGCACCCUUUCUUUUCGAACAUUUAGGAUCUUGUAUGGUACCGCUGCCAGUGUCAUGUGAUGCUUUAUAUUGCGAACCUAAAUGCAAACUAGGUUGUGAACCUACAUGCAAACUAGGCUGCGAAAUGCUAUUACUUCUCCUAACUUGUCUUCGUGGACAUCAUGUCUUUGGACUACAAUUGAAUCCAAUCUAUUAUUGCACGAGUUCGCUCUUCGUCGUCCACAGCAAUGUCUGCCAAUGUCGCAAAUACUUCAUACAUUCUAUCGUACCUCAACUGACUAGGAGUGGUAAUCAAACCGGCGUAAUUCCAGCAACCCUCGUAUGGGCUCUACUAACAUCCCGUCUCCAUUUCCUCAAUAUGUACCUCUCCGGUAGUGAUGUGACGCCAUUACGCAUCAACACUGAUAUGGCGUGUCUACAUAAAAUGCCACGAAACUCGAAUAAGUGGUAACUGCAAAUAACAUUGCAAUUCUCUGUCCGAAAUGUGACUGCAAACUUUUUCUUUCUAACAUGUUCUUCGUAAAUAACAUCCUCCUCAACCUCAUACAACUUCUUUGAACAUAAGUCAACUGCAAAUAUCACAUCGCAGUAGACAUUCCCAGUUAUCUCAUCUUGAAAUUCCCGAAAUUUGGAAAUGGUAUAAACAGCCUGAAAUUGCUUUUCCAUCUCAUAUUUUGUUGCACAAGGUACCAUAUGUAAGUAAGACUUGAAAUCUGCUUGGAAUUCCUUCUCAACUUUAUUUCGUAAUGCUCGCUAAUAUUGUUCGACAAACUGUUUCAACCAUGUCUUAGAAUGCACAUAACCAUCGAGGAAUGCAUUCAUACUCUCACUGUGCUGAGUUGUCGACAUCCCCGCCCAAAAGGUUGUUUUCAAAUAACAUGGCACCCAGCGACCCCUGUUCUCAAACAACCCCGACAACCAGUCAUUCUCAUGUAAGUCAUAGGUAUCAAGCAUAGCUUUCCACCCUUCUUCAAAUUCCUCAACGACUAGUGUAUCAUACACUAAGCCGUGUAUAGAUGAAAAAAUGGAGCCCUUUUGAACGUGGUACCAGAACUUAUCCGGCGACUUUUUCAAUAAAUGCCACAAACACCAUCUAUGUCUCGUGUUCGGAAAGACUAUCGCAAUUGCAUUUUGCAUAGCCCUAUCUUAAUCGGUAAUAAUUCCAUUUGGUGCUUGACCAUGCAUACACUACAUCCACGUCUUGGAUAGCCAAACGAAUGUAUCUAUAUCUUCAUUUGCCAACAAAUCACAUCCAAGGAGUGUUGAUUGUCUAUGAUGAUUUACUCCAACGAACGGGGCAAAAGGCAUGUCGUAUUUAUUUGUCAGAUAAGUGGUAUCAAACGUCACUACAUCCCCAAACUCUUUAUACGCUUGCCUACACCUCUUAUCUACCCAGAAGAGAUUCCUAAACCGUGACUCUUCAUCUAAAUCCAUACAGAAGUAAAAACCCUGGCACUGUGCUUGAAUUUGUAAAAAGUAUGAUUGUAUUGCCACGACAUCUCCUUCACCGAGUCUCAAUCGCCUCCCUUGUUCAAUGUAAUUUCGACAAUCCUUUUCCACGCAAGUUAUGUUCUCAUACCCCCUCGCGUCAACAACUGCUGAGUUGUAACUCUUGUGCCUCUAUUCCAGCCAUAUCAUUCACUUUAAGCUUGCGUUUGACAUUUGCACUCAAUUCUCGAUUGCAAUGAUAUAAUCUAGAUUUUGAAGGACUAGUUUUAUGAUUGUGUUCGAGAUCAACCAUGCGGAUUUUUCAUAAUCCACGAAUAUCUGAAGAAGCAUUAAGUCUUGCUUUGCAACCUGUCUGAAUUGUUAGCUACGGCUUCAAAGAAGUACCUGCAUUACUACUUCUCCGGCCCUCACAACAACAUGUCAACGUAACGUAAUUCACUACUCCAUCUUGUCCCUUUCUAGAAUUCCUCCUCCUAACCGGAAAACCUACGUCAUAGGCAUACCUCUUAUUAAACUCAUACACCUCUUUCUCAUCUUUGAACUCUAUACCAACUUUAGGCACAAUCACGCCAUCUCCUCCUAAGAUUUCAUUGUCUAAUGGGAUGACAUUGUCUAUAUUGUUGUCGAUAUUCUCCAUAUUGUUGUCAUCAUUGGAUUCUACUAAAACUUCAUCGUCCAAUACUUCCACAACUUCUUUUCCUACAUCAUAUUAAAUGACAAUAUGAAUUUUGAGUAUUGUUCAAAUGUUCAAGGAAAUCUUGCUUCACUAAUAUUAUAAAUGAAACAAGAAAGUUGUCGAGGCAAUGAAAAUACAUAGGUUUCGAAACAAUGCAUCUUCUAAAAAUUACAAUGACAUUACCUUUCUCCAUCAUUCCGUCCAUCCCUAUGCCACCAAGUUGUUUCCAGAUUCUGUACACAUUUUCGAUAAUGGACAGUAAUUUAAAAAAUUAAAUAAUAAUAAUAAUUCCAAUACAAACACAAUAUAUUUUUUACUGUGUUUUGGAUAAAAGAAGAUGUCGAAAUGGGUAAUGUUCCUAAUUUUCAAACCAUUUCAGUGAGACUGCAGCAUUUUGUGUCGAAAUGGGUAAUGUUCCUCAUCAAAAUAAUUACCUAUUACAAGUAAAGUGGCUCAAUCCCCGUCGGAAGAAACUGGUUUCGUUGCGUCGUCUCAGUCAUCUUCAGCCGAUACUAUUAAGUGAAUCGGAAGGUUUCGAUCGAGCUCGGGAUCACGAAGGAAGUAUGUGGACGGAUUUUAUUUUGGUGGAACUUGUUCUUACCUUCAAUCUCCCGCACUUAGUCCUCCGGUUUUUGUCUGAUUUUUGGUAGAAAUUUUCGAAGGGUUUUUCUCUAAUUUUUACCUCUGUGUGCAAGGGACAACAUGAACUCGGUUACCUCUCUGCUAUUUACAAUAUUCAACAGUAAAAGAAAAGUGUGACUUUUUCCCACCAAUUUUAAGUGGUCACGUGACCAAAAAAUUUAAAAAGCUGUGCACAGUAGAUGAUAUUCUUUCUUUUUUCUUUGGUCCUCAUUAAUUUUGAAUUCUUGGAUCGUUGCUCAUUGUUUGCCUGCCAACCCACGUGAUUGACCCAGAGACCAAGACUUUCUUCUUUUCCAAAAUUUGCCCUUGCCCACUAACUUUCCAUCCCAAAACUAAUUGUAUUUACUUUCCAGUUGUCCGUGCAGUUGUCGUCAACCCUCCAAGUAACUGCAAUUAACCACACACCCAAGAAUGGCAGAGAGCGCAGUAUCAUUUCUGUUGAAUCAGCUAGCAACACUUAUCCAAGAAGAGAGACAACUAUUAGGCAGACUUGAUGAAAACGUCCUGGAUAUCCAAAAGCAACUGGAGUUCAUGCGGGCUUUCUUGCGAGUUGCUGAUGCAGAAGAAGAUGGAGAUCCUCAACUCCAAGCAUGGGUUAAGCAAGUGAGGGAGGUUGCUUAUGAUGCUGAAGAUGUCAUCGAAACAUUUAUGCUACAGUUUGUAAAUCUCCGGGCAGAAGAUGGAUUUUGCGGCUGUGUCCGGAAGAUCUAUCUCUCUUUAAAGAAUCUCAGAGUGCGCCAUAAUAUUGCGUCUGAUUUGGAAAACAUCAAGGGAAGGGUCACGAACAUUUCUAAAGGACGUGAGAUGUUCCAAAGAGAUUCUGGUGUGCAGCUGAGAUCUAGAUCUACCUUACUGUUUGGUGGGCGAGUUGAUGCAAUUUUGGUGGACGAAGCUAAGCUUGUAGGAAUUGACAGGCAAAAAGAAUUGCUCAUUAAAGAGCUUCUUGAUGAUGAAACUCGGCUUAAAGCUGUUUCUGUGUGGGGAAUGGGAGGAUCGGGGAAGUCCACAUUGGUUAAACGGAUUUACGAGGAUGAACGAGUGAAAGGGAAAUUCCAGUGCCAUGCUUGGAUCACUGUUUCUCAGUCCUUUGACAUCAUGAAGCUUCUCAAAGACUUGAUUCGAAAGUUUCACCAUGAAAUCAAGGAAUCUAUGCCUCAGGAACUGGAACGCAGUCAAGAAGUUGAAUUGAAAGAAUUUGUCAAGGAAUUCCUCUCUGAACGUCAGUAUAUCAUAGUUUUUGAUGAUGUAUGGAGCACUGGUUCAUGGAAUGCUCUCAAGCAUGCACUGCCCGACAAAAAUAUGAGUAGUCGUGUGGUACUCACUACACGGACACUCGAUGUGGCUAACACAGCCAGUCAGCCCGGAUAUCCGGGCUGUCACGGCUGUGUCCAUGAAAUGGAGGCCUUAUCUUAUGAAGACUCUUGGAAACUACUUUGUAACAAGACUUUUGGAGAUGAAAUCUUCCCCCCACAUCUACAAGACUGUGCAGAUGCCAUAUUGGAUAAAUGUAAGGGCUUGCCUCUUGCCAUUGAUGCUGUUGGUGGCCUAUUGGCUAUGAAGGACAAGAACAGCAUAGAGGACUGGAGUACCGUCUCUAGCUACCUUAACACCAAGCUACAUGGUUAUAGUGAUAACCUUGAAAGAACACGACAGGUACUUCUUCUAAGUUACUAUGAUUUGCCUUACUAUCUCAAGACUUGUCUAUUGUACUUGAGCAUUUUCUCUGAAGAUAGUACUAACUUUGAAAGAAUACGACAGGUACUUCUUCUAAGUUACUAUGAUUUGCCUUACGAUCUCAAGACUUGUGUAUUGUACUUGAGCAUUUUCCCUGAAGAUCAUAUGAUUGACCAUAUGAGAUUGAUUCGGCUAUGGAUAGCUGAAGGAUUUGUGCAAGGGAAAGAAAGGUUGACAAAAGAAGAGGUUGCACUUCAUUAUCUUGAGGCGCUCAUUAAUAGAAGCCUAAUCCAAGUUGCAGAGAGAUAUCCAGAUGGAAGGGUAAAUCUUUGUCGUAUCCAUGAUAUUGUACAUGAAAUUCUUGUUUCUAAGUCAAAUGAGCAGAAUAUAGUGAACACUGAAAUGGGAAGAGAUUCAGAGUUGCCUGAUAAAGUUCGACGGUUUGCAAUACGUUCUUCCAUAGACAGCGGCCACCUAGAAACUAAUAGGUUGAAGUAUCUACGAUCACUGAUAUUAACAGCGUCCGUAGAUUUACGAUUUGAAUCAUUCUUAUCAAAGCUGCUGUCAGGUAGUCGAAAGUUGCUAAAGGUGUUGGACUUAAGAGAUGCUCCACUAGGAAAGAUCUCAAAUGAAGUUUUCAAACAUUAUCAUCUUACGUAUUUGAGUCUGAGGGGGACAGGGGUCAAGGACAUUCCAGAGUCAAUUGGACAGCUUCAAUGCCUAGAGACUUUAGAUCUUAAACACACUAAGGUCAUUUCUUUACCAAUUGAGAUCCUAAAACUCAAAAGACUCCGACAUCUCUUAGUAUAUAAAUAUAAGCCACGGAUAUGUGGUGUGUUUCCCUUUGAUAAUGUUCAAAGCUUUAAGGCUCCAUACCGAAUAGGAUGCUUAUCAUCCCUACAGAAGCUUUGUUGUAUAGAGGCAGACCAAAUGGGUGACACUACGAUAGUGAGAGAGAUAGGGAAGCUAACCCAAUUGAGGAGAUUGUGUAUUAGGAAAUUAAGAAGAGAAGAUGGGAAGGAUUUUUGCUCGUCCCUCAAGAAGUUAACUGAACUACGCUCGUUGGAUGUCGGUUCCAUUAGAAAGGAUGAGACCAUUGAGUUGCAGGAUGAUCUCUAUUUUAAAUUUCUUCGAAACCUAUACCUGGGGGGGAGGUUGGAGAAGGUACCACAAUGGAUACCUUCUCUUCACUCGCUGAGUAAAGUAGUUCUGAGAGAUAAUAUGUUAAGCAACGAUCCAUUAGAAUCCCUUCAAGAUUUGCCUAGACUAGCAUUUCUUGAACUUGAUGGGACAUUUGAAGGUGAGAAAUUGGAGUUUAAGGCUGAAAAAUUUCAACGUCUCAAGAGUUUAGGGAUUUGGAGGUUUAAUGGAUUAAGAAAAAUCGUGGUGGAGAAGUGUACCAUGCCAAAUCUUGAUGUGCUAUUCUUGGGGCAUUGCAAGUUGGUAGAGUUGCCUAUUGAUUUCGAGCAUUUGAACAAGCUUCGAUACUUUCAAAUCAGUUAUAUGGCCAAAAACUUUGUCGAGGCACUAGAAACUCAGAAACGAAGUGAAGGGAGUAAUUGGAAACUAGCUCAUGUCUGCAAUAUUUUAGUAGAUGAUGAACAAGGAUGGGGAUACUUGUAACAGAGAUUCCACUUGUUUGUAGUAUAGUCUUGUAUCAUUUUUUCUUUGUCAUACUGGAUUGAGUUUUGACGCUGCCAAAAGUAGCUUUGGCUUCUAUUUUGUUACCUAUAUUAUUUCCUUGUACGUAUUUGUCUUCUUUCAUGUCUCAUGAGUCAUGCUCGUAUCAUAGUAAAAUAAAUUGAAAGAAGCUCUAAUUAUUCUGUAUUCACUUCUUUAUUGAUUCUAUUAUUUUAAGGGCUUCUAAAGGAAAUAGAGAAGUCAUGCUUAAAAAAAAAAAAAAAAAAAGGUCAAAUGUAUCAUUUAGAGUCUUGAUUUUUGAGCCAAAUGGAUAAAUAUUUGGAGGAUUCAAUUUUCUUUGGUACAAAAAGUCGUUCAAUUGUAGGUAAGAGCAACACAGUCCAAUACUUCUGAACUUUCAGCAUCUCUCUCUCUCUCUCAAAUUUGGUAAUCGUGAAUUGUUAUAAUGUUAUUGUUUUUGGUGUAAAUCUUAUUACUUAUACUCUGAAAAUAGUCUCUCUCUUUUUUUUAAAAAAAAAAUAAAAAAGGGUAAAACAUAAUAUUUAAACUUCCAAAAAAAAAAAAAAAGAGAGGUCAAAGAAUUUAAAUUAAUUAUCAUUUAUUUAUAACUAACAAAAGUAUAAUUUUUCAAGUCAAAAAUUAAGAACGAAGCUUGGUGUACAGAUAGGGGUUCACAGAAACCAUACCGACACCUCAUAAUAGGGUGGGUGAGUUAUUUUCUGGCCAUCUUUUAUUCGGAGGACCACGCUAUGCUACCAGGCCUGUAAGCCUCUCUCACAUUUGGGAUGGGGUGGGUUUUUUAGGGUAUUUUUUUAACCAUGGGGGACCCACUGAGGUGAGAGAAAUGAGAAAGGAGGCCUCUACCAGGCCUCUUAUUUGGAUGGGCUCUAGACUUGUGAGUAUUCUAAAAUUCUUCGAGUUUGCAGUUAGUCAGAGGGUAGUUCAAGUUGCUUAUAAGCUAAUUCUUCCUCCGUCGUGUAACAUUCAUCCCGUGUUUCAUGUAUCCCAACUAUGCAAAGCAGAGGGAGCAGUGCGAGCUGUGAAAGAAGUACCUAACCAAUUGAAUGAGGAGUUGGAGAUGUUGGUUGAGCCAGAGGCAAUACUUGGGGUGCUAUCGGGCCUAGUUAGCAAUAUUCGAAACAUGGAUGUUUUAAUACAAUGAAAGGAACUACCACCAGUUGAAGCCACUUGGGAAUUUUACGACAUGAUUAAGCAACAGUUUCCUUCUUUUCACCUUGAGGACAAGGUGAAACUUAUGGGGGAGGUAAUGAUAGGCCCACAAUCCAUACGACUUACCAAAGGUGCAAAGGCAAUGUGCACAAUUACAGCACAAAUGGAACAAUCACAGCCAUUACAGCAUUAAUGGUACACAAUUACAGCACCAAUUAGGAAGGAAAACCAACUAUAAAUAAGAGAAAGGAUCACGUUACAGGCAGCCAGAAUUUGGGAGAUUCCUUGGGAGAGUGUGGACCUCUCGAAUGUCAAUUUUUCUUUUUAUUUCCAAAUAAAGUAAUCUGCCUUCCUAUAGCAGAUUUAUUUCCAAUUGUAAUCAUUAAUCAUCACCGAUUAGUGAUUAAAUUCUUAUAAUAAAGCUCCACUUCUGCUUGGGAUCUAUCAUUUUGCUGCAUUAAUUUGUCGUCUCUCUAAUAAUUUAAGCUUUUAAAUGAGAUAGGUAGUUAGGUAAACAUUAUAUCAAAACAAAGAGAUCGUGAAUUCAAGUCUUUGCGCCAUCCGUUAGUGGAAAUUCUACAUGUGUUGGACGUUUACUAAAAUAUGAACCUGUCCUCUUGAGAAGUGCAUUAAAGACAAUUAUAAAUGAAUAUAUACUCCAACCAUAUAAGCUUUUAAAUAAGGUGGUGGUAUCUUUUUGGACACUACACGUGCAUACCUUUAUGGCAUGUUUGGGAGGGUAGAUUAUCCGAAUAGAAUUGUAUAAGAAAACGAAGGCAAAAAUGCUUGUUCAUAGUACUGUUCAAUACAAAUCACUUACUGAGUAUGGUAAUGUUCCAAUUCUACCCCUAUCUUUGCAUCUAUAAAUUAACAAAUUUAUGAUAAAAUGAAAGUAAACAAGUUUGGCCAAGUAAGAACACUGCCAGCUUCCUGAUCAUGAAACAAGACAAUCAAAAACAGCAUGGUCGCUAAUUGGCUUGUAAUAAUUGUAUCUUUAAGCAUCAUUAGGAGCUAGAAUUGAAGAAUGCUCUUCGACUUUUCAGAUACAAGACUAGAAACGUGAAAUUUUUUAAUUUCUUUUUUCUGGUAAUGUGACUUUUUUUUUCCCUCUUUCCAGCAUGUCAUGCUUUGGUUUGGAACCAAAAAGUAAGAGGAAAGACUAUAAACAUUGCAGAUUAGGACUAAACAUAAUGGAAGCUUCAGUUAUCUUCACAAACGGAUCAAAAUCUUAGUUUGGCUAUGCAUACAUUGCCGUUGAAAGAGCUCUGAGGAAUAUCCUAAUUAAGAUGUAUAUAAAAAUUUUCAAGAGAACUAAAUAUUUCAACUAAAGCUAAAGCUAAAGGAAAUUAUCCUAUUGUUGAGUGCUAGGAAGCAUGAACAUUUUAAUAGGGCAAACCAUGGUGUAAAAACAAUCAUAUUCUACAGAGGGCCUUUUAUAAUUUGUAGUUAACAUUAUUACAUAUUUGUAGUUAACAUUAGUCACGAAAAUUCAAUUUGCAAAUUAGUGAAAUGGCGUUUACUAGUCCAAAUGGAUUGUAGUUUUCUCGUUGUAUCUUGUUUUCGGGCUCACAGUUUUUACUUGGUUUCUCCUCAGUUGGGCCCAGCAGUAUGCCGUGCCAGUUAAUGGUUGGGUUCUAUGCAUAUGCCAAGUCUUUGGAGAUAGACGUGGAGAAGGAAGAGUUAGAAGGUACUUUUGUUAUACUGAUGGAUCCUAAAUGAACUUUCCGUUUCCACAGUUUUAUUUUUAUACCCCAGCAUGUUUCUCCCCUGCCAGUUUGAUGAAAUGAACUUUCCCUUUCCACAGUUUUAUUUUUAUACCACAGCAAAUUUCUCUCCUGCCAGUUUGAUGAAAAAUUAAUCGACAGAUUAACCAUGCUCAUACUUACACUCUUUGAUGCUCGGACUCUUCGAAAUGGUUGGAGUACCCGUGUCGGACACGACACGACAUGGGUAUGGGUAUGGGUAUGGGUAUGGAUAUGUGUCGGAUCCUCCAAAUUUAAACUGGACACUUCACCCUUUUUUACUUCUUUUGUCUUUUCCUUUUCUUUCCCGUUUCCUAUAAUUGAAAACUAAACCCCAAAAUUUUAUUUUAUUAGUCUUAACAUCUUAUAUAAUACUCAUUUCAUUUUUUGCGAACUAUUGAUUUUGGUCUAUUCAAAAUGACAUAUUGGGUUAAUAAAAAAAAUUGAAAUUUGAAAGACGUACCCACGUACCCGUGUCCGAAAUUUGGAUUCUUUUUAACCAUGUCCCCGUAUCCUACAUUUUAGAAAAUAAAAUAUCCGACACUUAGAUUUACCCGUACCCGAAUCCGAGCAUCAUAGCUUACACUUUCCAUGUGCACAUGCAAAGGGGGUUGUCCACGUGCAUGUCCAAAUUAGUAUCCACCUUCAUUCGCUCAUAGAGACACUUCCUACCUCCGUUGGACGGAUACUUCAACUAGGGUAGCAUGUUUGUGUUCGACACGUGUCAGACACCGACUCUCUUUGAACACUCUACCAUAGCCAUUUUUCUUUUUUAUCUGAAGUAUUAUAUAUUUUUAACUUAAAGGGCUAGUGAUUGUGAGGCUCCAAUUCUUGAUUGGAAGGGACACCAAAUGCUUCUGCCUUUCCAUCCCUUGGAUGGAUAGAGGGGGAGGGCAGAGCUUUUGGUCACGUGUCGGACACCGACACUCCUUGAACACUCUACCACGAUAACUUUCCUAUUUAUAUCUGAAAUAUUACAUAUUUUUAACUUAAAGGUAUUAUUAAAUAACAAAUAGACGUUGAUAUUUAAAAGAUUUCAACAAGAAAAUUAAUAACAAGUAUAAGCUAAAUUUAUAUUAUAUAAAUGAAGAAUUUUAAAGAAUUUAAUCAAUAUGUCGACAUGUUGUGUCAAUACUUUUUUGAAAAAUCGUGUAUUGAUGUAUCGGAUAUGUGUCAUGUCGGACACACGUGUCCAUGUCAAUGCAUUGUAGCUCCCUAUUGUUAAAUCAUGUGGUUAUCUUAACUUUUUUUCCUUUUCUCAGACGCUAAAUGGCACACUCGAGAAGAUGUAAAGAAGGCUCUUACAUUUGCUGUAUACAAGAAGGCACAGAAGACGACAGCAACUAAAGUAGAUCAAAUGUGCAAGGGGGUUGAGAAAGGGCAAAACUUGUUUGCAGAUUACACUGUCGAAAUUGGAGAACUUGCUACUCUGUUUAUCUCGGGACCAUUUGCAAUUACUCAGCAUCUCAUCUCUUCAUGGGCCAAUCAAGUUGAUGAUAAUGGUGAUGGAGCACAGAUGAAACAAGCUGGCAAUUCAUUUUGAAGCUUGUAGUUUCAGAACAAAACGAUUGUCUAUUAUGAAUGUUCCAAAAUUGAACUGUUUUAUGUACGCAUCGACUUGUAAAUCCUAUUAUUCCUUUUCGCAUUGUUGUUUCUUAGAAAAUGUGAUCUUUUACAUUCAAACUUUAAAAUCUCAUCAUUUACAAAAUACAUCAGUUUUAACUUCAUUUUAUAUUAAAAUCUUUUUCUUUACAAGGCAUAGGACUAUAUAGUUCACUUUACCUAGCAAUCCAUUAAAGUUUGUGAUUCAAGUUACAACUUUAAUAUGGUGAUGAAGAUUUUUUUAAGUAGGCAAGGCUGCGUCACACAUACCCCAAAUUCGAGUAGUGACAUCGAAUAUCCUUAAAACCAUCUCCAUGUAUAUGAUUACCUACUCGUUAUAUUAUGUACAAAUUUGCUUAUUAUCUCUAUAGAAGAAUAUGCAAAUAAAGUGAAACUUUGUACAUUUGUAUUUAUACCUUGCUAAGUCCUGUUAAAUUUCUAUGCAUCUUUGCAUUAGAGCAUGCUCAUUUGAUUGCCAAUCGAGCUAAAGAAUCCGUAGGGUUGAAAAAUCCCCUAAGAAGAGGAUCAUCUCGAGGCAGAAUUCCUUGGAACUCUUCCAAACAAAAGAUGAAUUCUAACAAGUCUCUUGUAAUAAAAACUAUCAUAUUGGACAACUUAAUAGAUAAUUUUAAGUCCUUUUUUGCUAUUUAAUCCUCUCUACGGAACAUACAGUGACAUAAUUUCAAGUGUAUGUUGAUUCUUGAUCAUCUUUUAAUAGCUUACCAAAGCGAAGACUAUCAAUAAGAGAACUUGUACACAAGUCCAGCGUCUAGGGUAGUUUAAACAAAAAAUUAUAGAUUGUGACUUGAAUGAAAAAAUAACUGAUAGGAUACCAACUGGAGAGAACAAGACCAGAUUAUGAAUAAGUAGUUAUUUGAUUAAAAAAAGACUACCAAGUUACUUGUUAUUUAAUAUGGUGGAAUGAUCAAUUCCCAUUUUCUGGAUAUUACUUUUUCUUGCUUAGAUAUUUUAUAUAAUAUUGUAUUCUUUUUAAUUCAGGUUUAUUUAGAUCCGCCCAGUGAAGAUACUUCUCCAAAAGUUGGUGGGUUCUCCUCUCCUUUCUACGAUUGUUAAUAAUUUCAAUCUUGAUUCACGUUUAAUUUAUUUCUUGUGGUGAUUGAAUCCAAAUAUAAGCCAAUUACACUGCUGUAACAGUACUUGUACUUGCAACUGGGAUGUAUUGGCUGAAGCAACUAUUGCUCUUUAUACAAAUGCAUUUGGUUAGCAACUCAUAAGAAUGAAGGUAUCUACACUAGCAACAUGGGUUUGCAUAACUCAUCUCACAAGGUGAUGCAGGAGGAUUCGAGUAGAGUGAUGCUCAUUUGUCAGAUAACACAAUGAUGGCGCUAAGAUAUCAUGAGAUGGCAGAUCGACGCAAAGAUGGGAAGUGAAUCGCAAUUAUUUCCUUGAUUGGGGGAAUUUGACACACUUUUGAUAAUUUGGCCAUAACUUUGGCUACGAUUAUCAGAAUCGCGAUCAUGACCCUAAUUUGAAAAGCUCUCUUCGGUGUGCACGACGUGGUGGGCAUCAAUUUCGAGCCCAAAAUUCGCUAUUUUUCUUUUCGAAAUUUAAUUUUUAGUUAUUUUUUACUAUUUAUGGUAAUAUUUCAUGUCCUUUUUUCCAUAUGCUAGAAAACUCGAAUUGAGUCAAAUUUUUGAUAACUUACUUCUUUUAUUUAAUAUUUUAUUUUGGUGUAUUUUCGGGAUUUUGCCAUUUUUGAUAAUUUUCCCAUAAUUUCAUUUUUUUCAGCUAUUUAACCCGACUUGUGUGUUAAUUUUCAUCAUUCUGAAUUAUUAAUAAUAUUAGUUGAGUUUUCAGAGAAUUUUCUUUGGUUUUGAGCGUUUUCUUUCAUGUUGUUCUUACAAAUCAUCUAUUGCAACGAGCCUAUAGGAUAAUCGUUAUCCUACCUGGCGUCAGUUGGUAUCAGAGCGUCAGUAUCUUCUUGGGAGAUAAAUCCCAUCAAUUAUAAUGGUUGGUGGACGUGGACGUGGUCGUCGAGGGCAGGUUUCGAUUGAGGAAGUCCCACACCAUGAUCGUAAUAAUCAGAAUGUGAUGAUUGAAGAUUUGCAUAGACAAGUUACAAAGUUAACCCAAAUUUUGGCGGAGUAGGAGUUCGGUAAUCAUGACGUGGAGCGUCAUAAUUUCAAUACCAGUUUUGAAAACCUGUAUCACAAUCGUGCUCGAGUUUGGGAGCAUCGUGGAUGAGAGGAUCAUCAUGUGGAUCUCGGUUUCAAAGUGGAUCUGCCCGAGUUUUCUGGUAUGUUGCAGGCUGAAGGAUUUAUUGAUUGGCUGAAUGAAGUGGAGCAGAUUUUUGAAUAUAAGGAGGUUCCAAAUCGUGUCAAAGUGAAACUAGUCGCCAUCAAGCUCAAAGGUAGAGCAUCCGCAUGGUGGGAACAGUUGAAGCAUUUAAGGGAGCGACAGGGAAAAUCCAAAAUUACUGACUGGGAGAAGAUGAAGAAAAAGAUGAAAGGGCACUUCCUCUCGGCUACACUCAAACCUUGUUUCAGAGGCUCCAUUCACUGAGGUAAGGUGCAAGAUCAAUCAAUGAUUAUAUUGAGGAAUUCUAUCAGCUGGUGGCUCGAAAUGAUUUAUAUGAGACGAGGAGCAUAUGGUAGCAUGGUAUUUGGGGGGAUUAAGGCAGCCCCUGUAGGAUGUUCUAAGCCUUCAUUCAUUGUAGACGGUUUCUGAGGCAUAUCAGCGGGCACUUGCAGUGGAGAAACAGCAGAGUAGGAGGCCAGUAGUAGGGGAUGAAGGUAGUCAGCCAGUUCGCCCUCAAGAAUCUCGUCCUGCUUAUCGGCCACAAUGGGAUAAUUCCAGCUCAAGUAUUAAGUGUUUCAGAUGUGGUGAACAGGAGCGUAGGGCGACUGAUUGCAGGAAGCCUACUGGUCAGAAGAAUAAAAAACUUCUGAUUGAUGAGGAUAUGAUAAAGGAGUUCGAGGAGGUUUGGGAGCCUGUGUAUGAUGAUGGUGAAGAUGAGGACGUGCUAUAUGGAGAUGGCCAGGAGACUCUGGUCGUUCGAAAGAGCCUGCUAACUCCCAAGGGAGAUUCUGGGGACAAUUGGUUGAGGACCAACGUUUUUCACACAACUUGCACAGUUGCUGAUGAAGUCUGCAAGCUGAUAAUUGAUAAUGGCAUUUGUGAGAAUGUAGUAUCUGAGGAGGCUAUCAAGAAACUGCAACUGAAGAUGGAUUGUCAUCCCAAACCAUACAAAUUGUCUUGACUGAAUAAAGGUAGUGAGGUAACGGUAGAAAAACGGUGCUUAGUGUCUUUUUCGAUUGGAAAAAAAUAUUUUGAUAAUGCUUGGUGUGAUGUGGUAUCAAUGGAUACGUGUCAUGUUUUGUUGGGACGACCUUGGCAGUAUGAUCGUAGCGUUAUCCAUGAUGGGCUAAAGAAUUCUUAUUCUCUUAGCAUCAAAGCGAAGAAAAUUGUUUUGGUGCCUCGUAGGGAAGAAAACAUCCCUGCCUCGAUAGUUAAUAACAUCAAUCUACUUUCUAUGUCCAAGUUCUUGGUUGAGAUCGGGCGUGAAAAAAUAGUUUAUGUUUUAAUGCCUCGUGAAAAUAGUGCAGCGAAUGUGGAUUCGGAAUUACCAGCAGAAGUGCAGCAACUACUGAUGGAGUUUUCUGACUUGAUGCCAAAGGAUCUUCCUCCAGGAUUACCACCUAUGAGGGACAUUCAACAUCGGAUCGACCUUAUUCCAGGGUCGAGUCUACCAAACCGACUAGCAUAUCACCUCAGUCCCAAGAAAGCUAAAGAGUUACAGCGACAGGUGGUAGGAUUAUUGGAGAGGGGCUACAUUCGUGAGAGUACAAGUCCUUGUGCAGUUCCUGCUCUACUAGUGCCGAAGAAAGAUGGGUCGUGGCGUAUGUGUGUUGACAGCAGGGCAAUUAACAGGAUUACAGUGAAGUACAGGUUUCCAAUUCUCUUCCUGGACGACAUGUUGGAUCAAUUGUUCGGUUCUAAGGUCUUCUCAAAAAUUGACUUUAAAAGCAGAUAUCACCAGAUCAGAAUCAGGCCUCGAGAUAAGUGGAAGACAGUGUUCAAGACACAGCAUGGAUUGUACAAGUGGAUGGUCAUGCUCUUUGAACUAUCCAAUGCACCCAGCACUUUUAUGAGGUUUAUGCAUCCGAUUUUACGGCCUUUCAUGGGGAAGUUUGUGGUAAUCUAUUUUGACGACAUACUUAUUUAUAGUCUAACAUGGGACUUACAUUUUAAUCAUCUUCGUGUUGUCUUUGAUGUAAUGAGGAUGGAGCGCUUAUUCAUCAAUCAGAAUAAGUGUUCUUUCUUCACAACUUCUAUAACUUUUUUGGGAUUUUUUGUGCCUACUGAUGGUGUUUAUGCAGAUCAAUCCAAAUUUGAGGCAAUUUUGAAUUGGCCCAAGCCAAAAACUUUGCACGAUGUCAGGAGUUUCCAUAGAUUGACAUCUCUCUAUUGUGAAUUGGCCCAAGCCAAAAACUUUGCACGAUGUCAGGAGUUUCCAUAGAUUGACAUCCCUCUAUUGUCGGUUCAUCAGAAACUUCAGUACCUUAAUUGCUCCUACCACAGAGUGCCUUAAAGGGCGUGAUUUUUGGAGGACCGAGGAGGCAAAGGCUAGCUUUCAGUUGGUUAAGCAGAAGAUGAUGGAGGCCCCAGUCUUGGUACUUCCGGACGUUGAGAAGUUGUUCGAGGUAAACUAUGAUGCGUCUGGAGUUGGUAUUGGUGGUGUUCUGAGUCAGGAGGGGCAUCCAGUAGCCUUUUUUAGUGAGAAACUAUCGGGAUCGAAGAAAAAUUAUUCCACUUAUCACCUGGAGUUCUAUACCAUAGUUUAGGCUCUGAAGUAUUGUCGUCAUUACCUGGUACAGAGGGAGUUCAUCCUUGUCAAUGAUCAUGAGGCCUUGAAGUACAUCAAUGGUCCGCACAAUCUAGUUCAUAGCAGAAACAUCCUGAGACAUGGUAAUUAGUAGGGGAAGUAGUGGCUUUUUGGGCAAAGAAGAUUUCUUAAUUUAUUUUUCAUUAUUAAAGUAGCACAUCUCCUUCUUGAUUGGCUAACCUGCGAAGGUAAUUGAUGGAUUUUCGUUUGCCAUCUCUCUCUCUUGGACCAUUCCAGUGACUGCAAGGAAAAAAUUUCUUCUGGUUUCUCUUGUCAAUUGUGUUUAUUAUGCAUCCUUUUAGUAGCAUCAUACCGAAAACUUUGUGUGAUCUAUUAAAACACAUAGUAUCUGGGAUUCUUGCCAUAUUCUGUUGAACUUAUUAAUUGAAAUUUGUAAAAUCUUGGUAUGGGAUCUGCAGCAUCUGCUAUAAUACUUAAUCAAAUGCAAUAUUUUUACAGAUGUUGAUGCAAAAGAGAUUAUUAUCUGAUAUCUUUGCUCUAUCAAAAUGUAAGUAUAUAUAAUAAUUCUUUUGUUCUAAUAGUCCAAGUUCUCAUUUGAUCCCACUGCAAAGUUAGGUCUUGAUGUUGUAUCCUGCACUAUUACGAGGUACAUUCGGCUACAAUUGAGAAUUUUAAGUAUGAAUAUGUUCUACAAGCCUUGGCAAGGCUAUGUAUUUUUUAAGUAUGACAACUGAAUAAAUCUCAACAAAUGGGGUAGCAUUCUUUGAACCCAUAAAAACCAGUAAGGAAGCUAGUGACUAAGGUCUUCAUCAACAUAGUGAACCCGUCAGAUGUACGAAUCAAUUAGUCGAUGGCCUUAGGUUCUAUUAGACCUUUCUUUGCUUUCUGUUGACCUACAAGUUUGACUUCCUACUAAGGUCAAAUGAGGGCCUUUCACCUGGAGUAAAGUUUUGCUCAGGUAAUUGACUUCUAAGAUAGAUAAUUUCAGGAGAAAAAGAGGCAUUUAUCCAUUACACAUAUGGUGUGCUUCCAUUCCUUUUCUAUGUAUUUCAUUUGUCUCGAUAUAAAGAGAGAUGUGAUUCAAGAAAAUAAAUCCAUGCUUGUGAAGUUUCAGUAAUAGAAAGCAUCAAGUCUAAAUUAGAAGAAGAAUUUGAAUGUUCUCGUUCUCUCUGGUCACAAGAGUGUUUUCAUGCACAAUAAUUCCGUUGUUGAGCAAAAAUUUACCAAUUUAUGAAGACAUCAUCCAUUAUGGUAAUGAAUUCAUGAAACUCUAAUCAUUUUCUUAAAAUCCUUCUUUGGGAGAGCUCUAUUUUAGCAAUGAUGGAGUUGAAAGGACAACAGAGAAUAUAAGGUUGACCCAGCACUUGUAGGCAUCUAUGAUGCUCGGACUCGGGUACAGGUAUCGGAUACGGGUACAUAUCUAGGAGUCGGAUCUUCCUCAUUAUAAAAAUUAAGAUACGGGAAUAUGGUUAAAAGAAUCUGAAUUUUGGAUAUGAGUGCUGGGAUACUUCUUACAAUUUUUUUUUUUUUUAAGAUGAUAGAACAAUGCCAAAUGACAAAGAGAAAAAUGGUUCAAUUAAAGCAAAUUGCCACAAUAUUAAAUUAAAUUGUAAACAAAUUAACUGAUAUUGAUUAUUAAAAAAUGAACUCGUAAUUUAUUUACUUUAUCAACUCCUUUGAUAAAAUCAAUUUAAAAAAUGGAUUAUAAUUUGAAAUCAAUUUAAAUUUUGAGUAAAAAAAAUUCUUUUUCAAAAAAUUAAGCAAAAAAAAUCAAUUUCAAUGUCUUAUAUAAUUUUUUAAAAAAAUUAUAGAAAUAAAUUUAGAUUUAAUACCAAAAAAGAUAUAUCACUAAAUCAUUUUAAUUACAACAUAAAAUGUUCACAACGAUAAAAUAUUAGAAAUAAAAAAAAUUAAACAAAAAUAAACUCAAAUUAAAUUAAAUACAAAAAUAAACUAAUUAACUAAAUCCAUUGGACUUCAAAAUAGCCCAUUUAACUCCCUCAUUAAUUUUGUCCAUUGGACUUCCCAACAGCCCAUUUAACCCUUCCAAACGUAUUGUCUUCCCUAAUUCACUUUCUUCCCCAACUCCUCUAUCUCUCUACAAUUUCUUCUGCCGAAAACUAAGAAGCAAGACACCUGCCAUCUUUUCCCUUUGCUGCCGUGGCCGAGUAUAAAAUAAAGGAUCUGAUCCAUAUCUCGUGUCAUGUCGUGUCGACACGGAUACUUCUCCACUUUUGGAGAGUCCGAGCAACACAAGUAGGCAUGAUCAAUUCCUACAAAUGGAACCAAAUUGAUGUAGGGAGAACAUAGGACCGAGCGUGAGACACCUAAGGACAUAGAGCAAUUUGAUUAUUGAAAGAGAGAAUCAGAAGAUGACAGGGAUAUACAUGAGGCAUUUGACCAGUUGUAUGUAGAGAGCAUUAAGUUAAAGAAGAUUAAUAGUUCUACCUAGUGAUGUCAACGGGGUGGGGAAGGGUGGCGGGUAUGGAUCGGGCACCCUUCCCUACCCCCACCCCCAUUGGAUAGUUUCCCAACACAUACCCGUUUAAGUUGGGGACGAGUCAGGAGCAGGGUGGGUCAAGUCUCCUGUCCUAUUUAUCACCCCAUUUAUUUAUUUACUUAUUGCUUUUAUUUUUUUAUUUCCUUAGUUAAUAAAUAUUUUUACUUUUUCACCAAUAUGUUAAAAACAACUUAUGUUCUAUUUGAAAAUGAUGAUAAAUCUAUUAUUUUUGUUUGAUAAAAACUUAUAUUUGAAAUUAAUAUUAAAUGGGGCGGGUAAUGGGUCGGGGACUAUGUUUCCCGUACCCAUCCCAUACCCGUUUCGGGGUAAUGACCCUCACCCCAUACCCAUCCCAUGAACCCGAUCAGACAAGUAUUCCUCGUCCCGAAGGGGCAGGGCCCCACGGGUAUCGGGUUAAACGGGCUUUUUUGCUAUCCCUAGUUCUUCCUCUAAGAAAUUACAUGAAUUGGAAUUAGAAAAAGAGAGCUUAGAAGUUAAACUUGAAGAUCAACUAGAAGAUUGAAUGAGUUAGGAGUUAAGAAAGAGUCCUUAGAAAUUAAGGUUAAGACUCUUAUGAGUAAUCUUGAGAAAUCUAGUGCCCAACUUCAGUUAUUCUCUAGUUGAUCUAAAAAGUUUGACGCCACGUUAGGUUUGAAUAAACUUGCUAGGGAUAGGAGAGGUUUAGGUUAUAAAGAAAGAAGCUUUCAUAACACUAAGGUGUAGCUCGGUGUUUAGGCCUUGAGUUUGCUCCCCAAUGGUCAUCAGUUUGAGUACCCUCGGGGCCAUUGAGGUGAGUACCCGACUGUAAACUUUAGGGCCUCGUGGGAAUAGUCGAGGUGUGCGAAAGCUGGUCGGAACACCUACGGUCAUUAAAAAAAAAACUUUCGUACCACUACCCCAUCUACAACCAAGUUUGUGAUGUCUUUGACAACACAAAGAGUGUAGGAGUCUUGAGACAAAGAUCUUUUGUGUAACAUAUGUUUCCCAACCUAGGGAUCAAAACUUGAGACAUAGAAUUACUCCUAGUUUCAUUCUCUCUUGUUGCAAUUAUGGUGAGUUAGGUCACAUAAAGCCUAGGUGUCGUAAGCCCUUGGUUAGCAACAACAAACAAGAUCUCAUUACUCAUGUUAAACUCUUGGCUAAUCAAGUGAGUCACUUAACUGAUAUGAUAAGUUAUUUGACUAAGAUGAUAUCUUCUUCUAAAAAGAUUUGGGUUAGAAAGAAUGAACUCUCUAGUCAAAGACUUAUGUUCUAUUUGAAAAUAAUGAUAAAUCUAUUAUUUUUGUUUGAUAAAAACUUAUAUUUGAAAUUAAUAUUAAACGGGGUGGGUAACGGGUCGGGGACUAUGUUUCCUGUACCCAUCCCAUACCCGUUUCGGGGCAAUGACCCUCACCCCGUACCCAUCCCAUGAACCCGAUCAGGCAAGUAUUCCUCGUCCCGAAGGGAUAGGGCCCCACGGGUAUCGGGUUGAACGAGUUUUUUUGCCAUCCCUAGUUCUUCCUCUAAGAAAUUUCAUGAAUUGAAAUUAGAAAAAGAGAGCUUAGAAGUCAAACUUGAAGAUCAACUAGAAGAUUGAAUGAGUUGGGAGUUAAGAAAGAGUCCUUAGAAAUUAAGGUUAAGACUCUUACGAGUAAUCUUAAGAAAUCUAGUGCCCAACUUCAGUUAUUUUCUAGUUGAUCUAAAAAGUUUGACGACACGUUAGGUUUGAAUAAACUAGCCAGGGAUAGGAGAGGUUUAGGUUAUAAAGAAAGAAGCUUUCAUAAUCCUAAGGUGUAGUUUGGUGGUCAGGCCUUAGGUUUGCUUCCCAAUGAUCAUCAGUUUGAGUACCCUCGGAGCCAUUGAGGUGAGUACCCGACUGUAAACUUUAGGAUCUUGUGGGAAUAGUUGAGGUGUGCGAAAGCUGGUCCGGACACCUAUGGUCAUUAAAAAAAAAGCUUUCGUGCCACUACUCCAUCUAAAACCAAGUUUGUGAUGUCUUUGACAAAACAAAGAGUGUAGGAGUCCUGAGACAAAGAUCUUUUGAGUAACAUAUGUUUCCCAACCUAGGGAUCAAAACUUGAGACAUAUAAUUACUCCUAGUUUCAUUCUCUCUUGUUGCAAUUAUGGUGAGUUAGGUCAUAUAAAGCCUAGGUGCCGUAAGCCCUUGGUUAGCAACAACAAACAAGAUCUCAUUACUCAUGUUAAACUCUUGGCUAAUCAAGUGAGUCACUUAACUGAUAUGAUAAGUUAUUUGACUAAGAUGACGUCUUCUUCUAAAAAGAUUUGGGUUAGAAAGAAUGAACUCUCUAGUCAAAGUAAUGUUAUAAAUUGUUGUGUAGCUCUAAAAGGUAAGAGCACUUGUGUUCCUCAUUGAGUAAGUCUUUAGGUGCAUGCAUCUGCAUUGUUCAUGUAAUCUGCAUAUUAAUGCAUGUACUCUAAAUUUUUUCUUUUCUCAUAUGUUUUGUAUUGUUUGUUUUAUAAAUUUAAAAAAAAAAAAAAGGAAGAAGGAUUUUUAAGACAUAUCACUUUUAAGUGAUAUCCGUGCACAUGUUAUUUUGUGAUCGAGUACUAGUAAAAUUAAUGAAUGGUGAAUAAAAUUUCUAUAAACUUUGUUUAGGCUUGUUUCGAAUGCUUGGUAUAUGUUACUUUAUGUAUCAUCUACCCUACACAUAUUAAGCUCUUGCUAGUGAGUUUUAACCACGUAUGUGAGAUUUAGGAUGGUAGUUAUUGGUGUGGUGAGGUGACCAAGAAUAUGGAAUGACCUUUAACUAAUUGACUUAAGCUCUUGUAGAUUCCCAUAAAAGAAAAUUGCAGUAUUGAGCUUUUUAUUUUAAAUGUGCUAGUAGCACUAGGUUAGACUUUAUUAAUUUGAGGAAUAUAUUUAUUCACCUGUGAUUGAUUUGCGUGUCCUCUCUUACUAAUGUAAGAUUUUGAGACUUGCUUACAGGAGAUUACUCACUUUCUGCACAUGGGUUGUUUAUACAAUUUGCUCCAUAUAGAUUAUAGAUUCAAAAUGAGGUAUGAGGGAAAAGUUCACUAUUUUUCUAUUAUGCUCGUAUAAGUAAGCAAAUAUCUGUUUAUGUGAUUUUUAGCUUUAUUUGAUGUUAUAUUUAAAAAUCCAUGAAAAAGAAUUAUCUUAAUAAAAAAUAAAAAUUCUCCCAACACAUGUUUGCAUAAUUUUGCAUAGUUUGUCCAUGUGUAUAUUUUUUCACUCGUUCCUCUUUGCGUUAUUCAUAAUUAUAUUGCUUAAUUUUUCUUUAUAAUUCGUGAUAAAAAUGAGGAGGGAAGUAUUUAUUUCAGGGGAGUUGAGUAAUAUAUGAGUUAGGAGGAGAAGUCGAUACAUUGUUGAGCUUGCUUUUAAUAUUUGACUUAAGGAGAGUCAUUGAUAUUUUUUAUGAUUGAUGAUUAUUUUUUCAUAUUUGUCUUAGUGGGAGUCGUAGAUAUUUUUUAUGAUUGAUGAUUAUACAACCAACAACCCUAGGCGGAACCCAGCAUUAGCGGUUCCAUGCCUCCGACAUAGGUAGUUCCUUCGAAGCCAAACGUUAGGCUGGGUCUUCUUUUAUGAAACCUCCCAAAAAGCACGGAUGGAAAAAGUUUGUUCGAGCAUCAAAUACAACUUGAUGAACAUUUGAUGAAAAACCCUUUAACGAGGGGAAAAGGCUAUAAAGAUCACUAAGUACUUGAUGGGACUUAAUGAUUGUGAAGGUUUCAUCGAAAAAGCUCAAAAAGCAUCGGCAUCAACGGUUGUAGUUACCCAAUAGGGGGCAGGCCAUGUCAUCAAGGAAUGAACCCCAAACUCGAGAGUGAAAGGGGGAGAAGGUAUGUUAGAAGAGAGCAAUAGAAAUUAGGAAAGCGCAGGUCAGGGACAGUACAUCAACGAAGUUCUCAAAUUACCUUUUCCUGUUUUCUAUUUAGGAUGCAUUAUUUUUUGGACUAUCUACUGGAAAUUUGAAAAUCCAUGAUCGAGUUACAGUUACAACGAAUGAGCGAAGGAAUUAUAAUGUUUCUGACACUUGUACCUUUUUUGACUUAGGGGAAGUCAUAGAUAAUUUUUAUGAUUGAUGAUCUUACUAGCAUAAUGUGUUAUUUUGCCUUAUUGAUAUUAAGGUCUUUUUUUUUUUUUUUUUUUUUUUUUUUUUUUUUUUUUUUUUUUUUUUUUUUUUUUUGUAUUGCUAGUUUAGCUGUUGUGAUGAUAUAUCUCAAAUUGUCAUGUUUAAUUUUUAAGUUAUUGAUACACGUAGUAUUAUACGCUUUAGUAUUACACGUAUUUUGCUUGCAUAGUUUAUGUAACUUAGUUAUGUGCUUCAUUGUUAGUUUCCUCUUACUUUUACACGUGGUAUUAUUAAUUUCAUGUGUUUCAAAAAACAUGUAUUACAAGCUAAUGAGUUAAGUUUGUGAAUUGAGUCUUUGGAUUAAUAGUGUUAGGUUCUGUUGAUUUUAAUUGUUCGUCCCAAAUAUUUCUGGUAAUCAGCUGAUCAAUUAUUCAUUUCAUUUAAAGAAUAUCCUUUGAAAGAAAUUUGAACGUCAAUGUCAUCAUUGUUUUGAAACUCAUUUGUAUGAAAGAAAUUUGGAGAAAUAUAUUUCGUCCUAUCACUUUUGAUACAGCCUCCUUUGAGUUGUGUAAUAUAAGCUGCAUUGUCUUCAUGCAAAAUUAUUGGACUAUCAUUUGUUGAAGUUAACCCGCAUGAUGCUUGAAUAUGAUGGGUCAUGUUCCUCAACCAUACACAUUCUCGACCUGCUUCAUGAAUUGCAAUAAUUUCAGAAUGAUUUGAGGAAGUUUCUAUCAAGUAUUGUUUCACAGAUCUCCAUGAUAUAUCUGUUCCUCCCGUAUAAAGGCGUACUAACUCAAAAUGUGUUGGUCGCCUACAAUUUUAAUCUAUGCUUUACGUUCGUGUUCGCGGGCACAACCGGGAAUACCCAUGAUGCUCGAAUACUUGGUUGAGCAAUACACAGUCCAGAAAUACAUUUUUCCCUGCCAGCAUCAAGUAAGUAUUAUUUAGCGAACUUUGGUUUUGCUCAUCGGCUCAGAUAAUGUCCCCUUACAAAGGCUCCGAUAUAUUGUACCAUUCCAACAAUUUUGGGAUGAACGAACUGGUCAUCGUUGUAGGUUUCGAAAUGCUCGUGAGAGAUUUAACUUCAGACACUGUUCAUGCCGAAACGUCAUCGAACACGCCUUCGACAUGUGGAAACAGAGAUGGAAAAUCCUCAACCGUAUGCCCAUCUACAACUUUCUGACACAAGUGGUUGUCGUCAUGAUGACGAUGGGUAUUCAUAAUUUACUAUGUCGUUCUGGAGUUGUGGACGAGAAAUUCAUGAGAGUGGACAUAGAUGAUGAUGCAGCCGAGGUGGAGCUGUCUGACGCGGAUGACGAAAUUCAUGUCGAAAUAAACGCACCUGAAAUGCAAAGAAAUGAAUGGGACCAACUUCGCAACUAUUUGGUGUAGUAGUUGUAACGAAAUCUUGUUUUAGGAACAUUUUAUUGCGCACGCGAGGAAUGUUACGUUUGUAUGUUAAUUUUAUUCUUCAUAUAUUUGUCGAGCCUGUGAUGUUCAUGGAUUAGUAUGCUGAGAUACUUUACGUGUAUCGAAAAGCGAAAGAAUUGUAUUACACAAUGGGAAAAAUGUUGAUUUAUUACUUAGGACGAUGUGAAAUGCGUUCAAAUUGUUCAACGUCGAUUUUGCUCGAAUUAAACUAUUCGCGGGCUCUUUUCCUCAGAUAUAAUGGGAAAGGUUGUUUCAUAUAUCACAUAUGAAAGAGGCAUAAUAAUGCAGAGGUCCCACCAUAUGUGGUGUAAAAAAAUGCAUUAUGGGAGAAAAAAUGUGGAUGGAAUGGAGGCUUUAAUUAAAAAAGAGCCAGCCUAAUUAAAAGAAAAAAAUAAUUAAAAAAAAGACGAGAACAAUUCCGUAACAUGGCACAUCUAUAGGUGGCCAUACAAGACAAGGAUGCUUUAGAGAUGGCAAAAAAAAAUUUUCCAUCCUGUCCCGAAUGGGGCAAAAAAAAAACACUCGGCGGGGCAGGGCGGGGAGGGGAUGACCCCGGAACCUGCCCCAUGAAGCAAAAAAUAAAAAUAAAAAUAAAAAUAAAAAUAAUAUAUAUAUAUAUAUAUAUANNNNNNNNNNNNNNNNNNAUUUGAAAAUGUAAACAAAAUAAAAAAAUAAACGGGGCAAAAAACCCGCCCCGCCCCAAACCCGCCCCAUUGUCAUCCCUAGGAUGCUUGGACCAACAGGACUAGAGCUGUCAAUGGAUCGGAUCUGUCCAAAUUCGAUCUGAUCCGUUAAGAAUAAUUAUCUGAUCCAAUCCGAUCCGAUAAUCCAACGAAUAUUCGAUUGUUAAAUUAUAUCCGGUUUGUUAUGUUAUCGAAUAUUUGAUCCGAUUACUCGAUCCUUCAAUCGAAAAAUGGGAACCGACCUCUAAUCAUGUUCGGUCUUCGUUUGUAAGUUAAUUUUAUUCUUCAAUAUUUGUCAAGCCUGUGAUGUUCGUGGAUUAGUAUGCUGAAAUUUUUUAUGUGUAUCGAAAAGCAAAAGAAUUGUACUACACAACGGGAAAAAAUGUUGAUUUAUCGCUUGGGACGACGUGAAAUGCGUUCAAAUUGUUUAACGCCGGUUAUGCUCGAAUAAAAUUAUUCGCGGGCUUUUUUCCUUGGUUAAUUAUUAUCAUUAUUAUUAUUUUCUUCCCGGUAACGAUGGUUGUAUGUGAUUCAGUGUGUUGUAGCUCUGACAUCAAUUAGGGAAAUGGUAGCCUUCGACUAUUCAAACAAUUUCACAAGGGUUAGCUUGUGGUUCACUAUAAAAUGACAAAAGGAUAUGAUGGGAAAGGUUGUUUCAUACAUAACAUAUGAAAGAGGCAUAAUAAUGCAGACGUCCCACAGUGAUUUGGUGUAAAAAAAUGCAUUAUGGGAGAAAAAUGUAGAUCGAACGAAGGCUUAAAUAAAAAAGAGCCUGCCCAAUUAAAAGAAAAUAAUAAUAAUAAUAAUAAUAAUAAUAAUAAUAAUAAUAAUAAUAAUAAUAAUAAUAAAAAGAUGAGUACAAUCUACAACAUGGCUUGUCUAUAGGUGCCCAUACAAUACGAGGAUGUUUGGACCAACAGGACUAGAGCUGUCAAUGGAUUGGAUAUGAUCGAAUCUGUCCAAAUUCGAUCCGAUUUGUUAAGAAUAAUUAUCUGAUCCAAUCCGAUAAUUCAACGAAUAUUUGAUUGUUAAAUUCAUAUCCAAUUUGUUAUGUUAUCGAAUAUUCGAUCCGAUUACCCGAUCCUUCAACCGAAAAAAUGGGAACCGACCUUUAAUCCGGUCUGGUCUUCAUAUAUUAACCGAACGAUAUGAACUUUUUUUUUCCAAAACAUAUUUUAACUAUUUUGAUGGGCUCACCUUUUUAUACUAGAAGACUCAAAUAAUUCUUAUCCAAGUGAUGCUCUUUUAGCUCAUUUUUAAAGGAGUCUCCUCUUAGAAUGUUUUAGUAAUCUUCCAAUGUGGGAUAUUAGUUUUUUAAAGGAUAUACUUUUCCUCCAAUGUUUUAGUGAUCUUUCAAUGUAGGAUACUAGUAAAUUAUCAAUUCUAAGUGUUUACUAGUUUACUUUAUUGUUUUCAUUAAAAUUCAUAGCCUCAACAAGAUUAUAAUUACAAAUAAUAACAAUUUGAACAAUGUAGAUUAUUUAGGACAUAUUCAUUGUUAGUUUUUGAUGUUAUAAAACAAAUAAUUAUAGUUAUUUUUAUCUUAUUUUAAUUAUUAAAAAAAUUAAAUAUCUUCAAAUAUUUCAAUUAACAAUAUUAUAAUAUUAUAUAAUAUAUUUUUUUAUUUGAAAAUUAUGUGUAAAGUAUAAUAUAAGUUUCAAAAUGGAAAAAAUUAUGUUUAAUAAAUUAUGAUAUAAUAUAUAAAAUAUAUUAUGUUAUUAUAAUAAAUCGAAUCGGAUUGUUAUUGGAUCGAAUCGAUCUAUAUCUAAAUUUUCUCCAUUUAGUUAACGGAUUAUCGGAUUCGAAUCUUAAUCGGAUUAUCGAAUUGAGACCCUAAAUCUAUCUCCCACUAAUUUUAUUAGAUUCGGAUCGAAUUCAGAUUAAAAUCAAAUCCAUUGACAGCCCCUAAACGGAACCCGUUUUAACAAUAUCACCGACAGCAUUGUUAAUAUUUAAACAUGAGCACAGGGGUAGUUUUAGUAACAAGUAUUGUUGAGGCAUCGUCACCUUUUUGGUGGGCCCAAGCUAUCUUUUUGCUUUAUGGCCCGUCCCUAUUAUCGGCCUAUUUCAAUUUAAAACUAUUACGUUUGUACAUUAAUUUUAUUCUUCAUAUAUUUGUUGAGCCUGUGAUGUUCAUAGAUUAGUAUGCUGAAAUUUUUUACUUGUAUCGAAAAGUAAAAGAAUUGUAUUACACAACGGGAAAAAAUGUUGAUUUAUCACUUGGGACGAUGUGAAAUGCGUUCAAAUUGUUCAAAAUGAUAUUCAUGUCACACUCUAAAAAUUAUAUUAAGGCUAUGUUUGAUAGCCAUUUAUUUUCCAUUGAACUUGGAAAAUCAAUUCCAUCUUCCACUUUUCCAUUGUUUGAUAGCAUUUUUUUCCUAAAAUUCAUUUUCCAACUUUCUUGCCACAUUAGCCAAUUUCCAACUUUUCUUUGAAUUGGAAUUCCAAUUCCUCGGUUACUGUAGCCUCUUUUUUUUUCAUAAUGGAAACAAAUUUUAAGAAUUAUUGUAAAAAAAAUAUUUCCCUUUAAUUGACAAUUUUCAUGAAAAACAAAGCCAAACAAACACCAAAAGAUAAAUGAUUUUCUUGAAUUUUUUUUUUUUUUGCAAUGGAAAUAAAUUUCAUCCCCAAUAUCAAUAAAUUAUAUCCCUUUAAUUGACAAUUUUCAUGUAAAACAAAGCCAAACGAACACAAAAAAAAAUUAUAUUUCAACAUUUUUCACGUGAAAAAUUAUAGCAAUUAAAUACAAUAAAUUGACAAUUCUCACUAAAACAAUUUCUAGACUAUUCAAUUCCCUGUAAUUCGUUUUCUUUCUCCCCAAAUUUCAUCUUUGCAAUUAAACGGACCCUAAAUAUAUUCAAUCAAUCAGACAAAAUGAUUGUAGUACCCUAUUGUUAGAAUAUCACCUAGAAAUUAAAAGAAAAAAGAAAGAACAUCAUCUAUAGGCAAAGUUGAUAAGGACAACUUGAACAUUUUAAAGUAUGAACUUUUGGAAUUGGAAUAAUAAUAAAGAAGACGAGAAUAAUUCCGAGACAUGUCUUGUCUGUAGGUGGCCCUACAAAACGCGUGGGUUGAUUAUUUAACCUCCAAUGUCAAGGCAAAAAUUGACAAGCUAUUCAAUUUCCUCUUAAUCUUAAUUGUAUUUGCUUUCCAAUUGUCCGUUCAGUCGUCAUCAACCCUCCUAGAAACUGCAGUUAACUCAGAAGAGAGACAACUAUUAGGAAGACUUAAUGAAAACGUCCAGCAUAUCCAAAGUCAGCUGAAGCUCAUGCAAGCUUCCUUGCGAGUUGCUGAUGCAAAAGAAGAUGGCGAUCCACAACUCCAAGCGUGGGUUAAGGAAGUGAGGGAGGUUGCUUAUGAUGCUGAAAAUGUCAUCGAAACCGGGAAAUACGUGGAAAUGACCCAAACAAAGAGGCCAUUUUUCCAAAAUAGCCUUUGACUAAUUUUGGUGCCUAAAAUACCCCUCUUUUUAAAUAUUACAUAACAGGAGGCUGUUUGGGAGUGAUUUUGAGAAUUGAUUUUUUGACCGUUAGGAAAAAAGUGGGGUCCACCUGUGAGAGAAGAAGUCAAAUAUAACGGCUGGAAUAGUGAAAUAACGGUCAAAAAAUCAAUUUUUUUGGUGAAAAAAUCUGGCCCAAACAGGCCACCAAGUAAAUAUAAUAUAGAAAUCUUCCAUUUUAGUCCUCAAAAAUUAAAUACUACUUGAAUUUUAAUAGAUUACCAAUUUAUUUAAUUUUUGUUCACUCUAAGUAGCACCCCCUUUUUAUUGGUAUCAGAGCCAUAGAGAUCUAUGAGAAACUCAUAAUAAAUAAAUUACCUAAACAAGUAAAAAUCUUUAGAUAUAGGUUAACACUUCUUCUAUUUUAUUUAAACUUAAUAAAUAAUAAAUUACGUGUUAGGCAUCUAAAAGAAUAUUUAGACUACACAUCUUUAAAAAAGCCAUAAAAAUCAUGGAAACUAAAAUAAGAAAAAUAGAUAAUUAUUAUAAAUUAGAAGAAGGAAGAGGAAGUUAUAUAUUUUUAAAACCUAUUUCUAAUAAAUUAAAAAUUAUGACAUUAAGAAUAAUUAAAGAAUUACCCAAAGAAAUAAAAGAACAAAUAUUAGAAAAAUUAAUAAUAGGAUUGAUAUAAAUAUAUAUAUAUAUAUAUAUAUAUAUAUAUAUAUAUAUAUAUAUAUAUGUGUGUGUGUGUGUGUGUGUGUGUGUGUGUGUGUGUGUGUGAAAAAAUUAUUAAAGAAUAUGAAGAUGAAGAGAUUAAUUUAUACUAUAAAGAGAAGUAUGAGUAUAAGUGAUAAUACACAUUUAAAAUUAAAUAAAUUACUCAUAAAAAUGGAAAAAAUACAAGAUAAAAUACAAGAUAUAAUGUUAAUACCAAAAGGAAUAAGGGUAUCAAAUAAAAGACAAUUAACAAAAUUAAAUUGUGAAAGAUUAAGACUUGAAAGUUAAUAUUUCAGUAUAGUAAAAGAAGAAUUAAUAGAUCCAGAUAUAGCCAACAGAAAUUAUGAAAUAAUAAUAGAUAAAAAGAAGAUAAAAAAUGCAAAUUGACUUAUAUGUUAGAAAGAUGACCAGAAAAAUUUAAUACGUCAAUAAGUAAAUAUAUGGAAGAAUUAAAGUCACUAAUAAAAAUAUUAAUAAAUGAUAUACAAGAUUUAAGAAAUGAAGUAAGAGAAACAAGAAACGAUAUAAAUAUAUUAAAAAUUGAAAUUAGAGAAUUAAAAGAAAGUAAUAAAAAUAAUGAAAAGAAAAUAGAUAAAAAAAAACUAAUAGAAAAAGAAAUGACUCGAAUAGGAAAGAUACAUAUUGAGAAAGCGAAUAUAGUAAUAGAAACAGGAAUAAUGAAUGAUGAAUUUAGAAAUAAUAUAUUACCUCAAAAUUUUAGAAGAAGAAGGAUCUAGAGAAAAAAUGUUAGGAAAAUUAAAAAUAGAAGAAAACCAAGAAAAUAAAGAUGAAUGAAGAAUUAGACUUACUUAUAGAAUAUUUUGAUCAAUUAAGUUUAAGCGAUAUAAGUGAAUACCAAAUUUUAAUGAAUACUGGAGGAGGGCCAUAUCUAGCAGGAACCUCUAAACAAGAAUUACAAAAAUUAGAUGAAAGUUAUGCACCUAUAUAUAAUAAACCAUAUAAACAAUUUUAUGAUGAAGUAAGAGAUAGACAACCACCUAAAGGAAAUAAAUAUAGAGACAGAUUUGAAUUAAAUGAUAAUUAUGAUAAAUCAAUUAAUCAUGGAGGAACAAAAUUAGAUUUAAAUUGCAAAAUAGAUGCUAAAAAAGCCUUAUUAAUUUGGGCAGAUUCAAUGAAAUUUUUUUUAUAUAAUAAAGAUGACACAUGGGAAAAUAUUGAAAGAAGAAUAGACUUUUUAAUAACAUCCUUUGAAGGAGAUGUUAGAAAUUGGUGGGAAGAAAUAAGCAAUGAUACAAAGACAUUAAUAAAAAGAAAUGUACAAAUAGAAAUAAUAAAAUCAGAUAGACAAGGUAUAAAAAGUUAGUAUAAUAUAUUUCAGAUGAAUUUUUAGGAGAAAAUUGGAUAAAAAAUGCUAAAGGAGAAGCAAUAAGAGAAAAAGAUAGUGCUAGGAUUAAAUUAAUAAAUCUAACAAUAUGUGACAUGUGUAAAAUUAAAGAAUAUACUUGUGAAUUUAGAAAUUAUUAUUAUAUUCAAUUUUAUAGCAAUGAAAAUCAAGAAAUAUACCAAAGUAUGUAUUAUAAUAAAUUAACAGGUUCAUAGGGAAUAUAUUUUAAAAUAGAAUUUAAAAAAUAUGUUAGAGACAAUAUUGAAAUACCAAGAACUUUAGGUUCAAGAAUAAAAUUUUUAUUUGAAAGACUUGCAUAUAGAUGUCAACAACGACAAUUAAUAAAAAAAUCAGGAAAACUAACUAAAAUAUGUUGUGUCUAUAUGAAAAAUUCGAUACAUUGGGGAUGUAAUCCUGAGAAAAGUGUUAAUAAAAGAAAAUAUAAAAAUAAAAAGUUUUAAAAUUUUAAAAUUUUAAUAAAAAAUAUAUAAAACCUAGAAGAAGAAGAUAUUAUAAAAGAAAAAAUUAUCUCAUAUGGUCAACAGAAAAAUAAAAGUCAAUAUAAAUGUUGGAAUUGUGAAGAAAUAUAUUAUAUAAGUCCUGAUUGUAACAAAAAGAAAGUUAAAAUAUUACAAAAAGAAUUUUAUAAAUAAAAGAUGAAUUAAGUGAAAUAUCAGGUAAUGAACAAUAUUAUAAUCAAGAAGUAUAUAUAAGUAAAACAGAUAGUGAUGAAUCAGGAUCUGAAUAAAGAAUUAGAAAAAAUAGAAAAUAAUAAUAUAAGUAUAAAAGAAUAAGAAGGAAUAGAAGGUUAUGGAUUAAAAGUCACUUUUGAUAAUAAUAAAUUUAGGAAAAUGCAAAAAUUAUCUUUGGACUUAAAAAUAGAAAAAUGGGAAGUCUUAGAUAGAAUCUGGAAAAAAAAGAAUAACAAUAAAUAAAUAUCAUAAAAUUGAAAAAACUAUAUAUGUAAGAACAACUUAUGGAAAUCAUAAAUUAAAUCUUUUAACAAAAAAUACAGUUGAUGAAUUAUUAACAAAGAUUAAUAAAAAACAAAGUGAAAAAAUCCAAUAUGUUUAUUUAGCAGGAACACAAAUAAUAUUUAAAUCAUUAUUCAGAAAAAGGAUAGACUCACCCUUAACUAUAACCUUACAUGAUAGAAUAAUAAUAAAUUUAAAAGAUAGUCAUUUAGGAACAAUAAAAAGAAAUUUAGCAUAUCAAAAAAUAAUGUUUACGUGCUACCCAAAAUAUUGUGUAUCAUUAAAGGAUGGAAAUUUUAAUGAAGUUUUAAGAUUGCAUUUAAGUUACAUGGAGACGAUAUUAUGCAACCAGAUGAUCAAAUUAUGACUAUAAAAUAUGAAGCCUUAUAUACAUUUACUAAUUAUAAUUAUGGAAAUAUUUAUUCAGAUAAACCUUAUAUUGAAGUACAUAAGGAAUGUAAGGAUAUCGGUAAAAUAAUUGAACCAAAUAAACAAAUAAGCUUAAUUCCAGAAGAAUGUGAAUUUAGUAUAACUAAAAAUAAACCAGAAAUAACAGAAUUAGAUGAAGGAAAAUGUUCUAAUAAUAUAAUAUUUAAAGAUCGAAAAUUAAUCAAAUGAUCAAAAAGUAUAAAAAUACCUAAUAAAAAAUAAGUCAGAAGAGUUUAAUAAUAUAAAAUAAGUAAAAUUAUAUAGGAAUGCAGGAAAUAUGAAAAUUGAAGGGGAAUAUUAUAAUAGAAGAGAACAUAUAAAUGGACCAAAUAUUUUAAUAGAUACAGGAGCUAGUGAAUGUCAUAUAGUUUCAAUCAGAAAUAAAGGAUUAUUAAUUCAUAAAACUGAACCAUAUAGGUACGUAAAUUUUGAUGGACAAAUACAUUUUACAGAUUUAGAAGUUAAAGUACCCAUAAAAAUAGGAGGAAUAAAUCUUUUAAUACCAUUUCAUAUAGAUAAAAGUAUGGAUAUAAACCCUCAUAUACUUUUAGGAACGAGUUUUCUAAAUGGAUUACAAUAUUAUAGUAUAAAAAGAGAAUGAUUAUACAUAGGACAUAAUGGAGAAAUUAUAUUACGCAAAAAGAAUUAAAUGAAUAAUCAGAUAAGUUUUUGAUUAAGUGUAUAUAUACAAAUUACUAUUUUAGAUACGAACAUAACAAUUUUUGUUUUAAUAGACACAGGAAGUGAUAUAACAAUAUUUAAAAAAUUUCCAAUAACAUCAUGGAAUAAUAGUAGUAAUAUAAAAAUAAUUGGAGUUACAUGAGAAAUUACUCAGAUAAUAAAUAAUGCUGAUAAAGUUAGUAUAAUUCUUGGAAGUAAACAAGUUAUAAUAAAUAAAAUUUAUAAAUAUGAUAAAUUAAAAUGUGAUAUAUUAUUAGGAAAUGAUUUUAUACAACAAUUUCAAUAUUAUAAACAAAAUAUUUAUAUGAUAAUGCUACAAACACCUUGUGGACAUUUAUUAAAAAUUUCAAGAGAAUUUAGACUUUAUAAAGUUCAGUCAGCCCAGCGUGGUGAUAAAUGAGAGGAAAAACUAAUAAUAUUUAAUGAAAUAAAAAAUAAAAGAAUAUUAUAUAAAAGUCUUGAAAAUGGGAAUAAAAAUAAGUAUAGAAAAAAUUAUUGAACAAUUAGAAAAAGUUUAUGGAGAAAAUCCAUUGUUAUUUUGCAAACCAUACCAUCCUAAAGCCAAAAUAUAAUUAACAGAAAAUAUUAUAAUAAGAGUCAGACCAAUGAUGUAUAUUAUAGAAGAUACACAAGAAUUUAAAAAGCAGAUAAAAGAAUUGUUAGAACAGAAACUUAUUAGACCUAGUAAUGGAUCUCAUAAUAGUCCAGCCUUUAUGGUAAUGAAACAUUCUGAGCAGAUUAGAGGAAAAACUAGAAUUGUUAUAAAUUAUAAAGAAUUAAAUAAAUAUACUAAAUUUGAUGGAUAUUUUCUACCAAAUAAAGAAGUUUUAAUAAACCUUGGAAAAGGAAAACAAUAUUAUUCUAAAUUUGAUUGUAAAUCAGGAUUUUGGCAAAUAAAAAUGGAAGAAGAUAGUAUACAAUAUACUGCAUUUAGUACCCCUUAAGGAAAAUAUGAAUGGUUAGUAAUAUGAUUUGAAUUAAAAAAUGCACCACAAAUAUAUCAAAGAAAAAAUGGAUAAUAUAUUCAAAAAGUUUAAUGAAUUUCUAAUUGUUUAUAUAGAUGAUAUAUUAAUAUGUUCUAAUAGUAAAAAUGAACAUAGAAAUCAUUUAAUACAAUUUAUAAAUAAAUGUAAAGAAGAAUGAAUUGUACUUUCUAAAAAGAAAUAUAUAGUAGAAAAAUAAGAAAUAGACUUUCUUGUAUUAUCAAUAGAUAAGAAAUGAAUAAAAUUAUAUAUUCAUAUAUCUAAAAAGAUAGAAAGCUUUCCAGAUAAAUUAGAAUCUGAGAAACAAAUAUAAAUUUUUUUUAGGAUGUUUAAAUUAUGCGGAAGGAUUUAUUGAAAAUCUUUCUAAGAAAAUGCAUAAAAUACAAAUUUUAUUCAGAAAAAUAAAUACUAAAUGAUGGAAUGAAGAAUAUACAGAAAUUGUAAGAUCAUUGAAAGAAGAAUGUAGAAAUUUACUAGAAAUUGUCAGAUCAUUGAAAGAAGAAUGUAGAAAUUUACCAAAAUUAAGAUUACCAGAUGAAAAAGAUAAUGUAAUUGUUAAUACUGACGCCUCAGAUAAAUAUUGGGCAGCAAUAUUAAAAACAGAUUUAAAUGAGAAUUGUAGAUAUUCAAGUGGAGCUUUUAAUCAAGCAGAAAUAAAUUAUAUCACUCAUGAAAAAGAAUUACUAACAAUUAUUAGAGGAAUGAAAAAGUUUUCAUUAUUCUUGUUAUCCAAGAAAUUUAUUGUUGAGACCGAUAAUUCUCAAGUUGCAGGAUUAGUCUGGAAUAAACUACCAUCAGAACCUCAAUACAGAAGGCUUUAUAGUAAUUUGAUAUAGUUCAUAUUAAAGGAGUUAAUAAUUUUCUUGCAGAUUUUCUCAGCAGAAACAUAGAAUUUGCUGGUGGAUAAAGUUAGGGUCAUAGAGUUAUACCAAUCUAUCCAACAUAUACAAAAAAGGAUAGAUUUUCUUAAAGAAAAAUCUGAAAACAUAGAUUCGGGAGCAACACAGAUAUCAGGAAUUUUCAACUCAAAUAUAAAAAUUUUGUUGAAUAUUAUUACUGCUCAUCAUAAAGAAACCAUAGAACUAAAAAAUUAAGUUGAUGCUAGUGCAGCACAACUAAAAGAUAUACUGUCUGAGACAGAUAUGCUAAAGAGCUCAGAAAUGAGUUUUUCAAUUCAAUACCAAACAGGGACAGCUGGAAGCAGCAGUGGACCCAGACGAGACAAUAUACCAAUUGAUAAAAAAAGGAGAUGCUGUUUUUGUAUCAUCAACCAAAAAAGUGGUGAUACAUGAAGAUAAAAAAGAUUCCAAAACAAUCAGCAUCAUAGACCAAGAAGAUAAAAUCCUUUUAGAUCCAAAAGAAGAAAAAUAUGCCGAAAUAGUCAGAAUUGCUUACGAAAUAAAAAUGAGUGAUUCAUAUUUUAUUUCUCCAAAAAAUAAUGUUUAUCACAAAAUAAAAACCAUGGAAGGAGGAGACCCUUCAUUUAUAAAAAAUUUGGUAGAUUAUGGAUUCAUGGAUUUGAUAUAUCCAAGAAAAGAUUUGAUAGAAAUUUCAAAAUUUGAUAAUAUAUUCAUAAAAGAAGUAUCAAGAUUUGCCAAGGGACUAAGAAUAUAUUUGAAAUUGUAUUCAAUAAGUCCUGAAUAUGGUAGAGUUGUCUACUAUCCAGUUGAACACAUAUUUCAAUUGGAUACGUUGCAACCAAUUUCCAAAUAGAUGUGGUGGAAAAUGAUAGAAAAAUUCCAACAGUGACAAAAUCAUGUAUCAGACAUAGAAAAGCACUUGGAAUUAAAGUCAUAUACAACAUUUCCAGAAAUUUAUUUGACAAAAAAUUCUCAUGCCUAUGCCAAUAUGAAAAUUAGAUGCUGGUAUCAAAUCAAGGACAUGAAAAAUCUGAAAUUUUGAAGGACUAUAUUACAAGAUUCGAAAUACAUCAAUUUCCAGGAUAUCCUACCACAAUAAAAGAAUCCUGCCAGUUAAGGGAGUGCCCCAGCUGCAUGUGAAGACAUAAAAGAUAAAGAGCAAUAACAGAAAAAGAUGCUCUUUGAAUAAAAAAAAGUUGAAAAAGCAUGUGAAGACAUAGAAAAAUGAGGACAAUAAUAGAAGCUCCUUUGAUAAAAAAUAAAGAUGUAGGUCCAAAAAAGGACAAUAAUAGAAAUGCAAGUAUGCCUUUGCUGAUAUAUUGAAUGAUGUAAUAGAUCAAUAAUAGAGUCUCAUGUAUUUGUAUAAAUAGAGGCAUUGUAAUAGAGAAGAGCAUCUUGAAACCAAAGUAUCUUCUCUCAAAUUGUAAGCACAAUUUGUAGUGGAAAUCAAUAUUUCUAAACUCAGUUUUUCUGAAAAUCCCUUUGUACCAAAUAAAAGUUUUGUAUAAAUUUGAAUAUAAAUAAAAUUUCCAAAUUUUUUAUAUCAAUAUGAGUUUCUAAUUCUUUAUUCCCAUAUUUUCUUGAAAAAUCUAAUAGAAAGUUUCCUUCUUAUUUUAGUAAAAAGAGAGUUUUUCUUUAUAGAAGUCUAGAAUUUUAUUCUUUAAAAUUGAUACAGUGAGAGCAAGAAACUGAAAUAAUAAAGAUUCCGUGAAUGCAUGAGGCCGUUGAAGGAAGCAGUUUACACAUUUAAAGCUUAAAGGUCACUCAGUUCAAAGAAUAAAGAUCCAGAUCGAACCUAAGGUAAAACUAUUGAACUUUUGCUAAAAUUUGAAUGAAUCUUUUUAGAUAUUAAAGAAUCGAAGGGAUUUAUGGUAUGAUUUCAUGAUUAUUUGUAUUAAUGUCAGGAUAUACAGUUAAAGGAUUAGAUAAUUUAUUAGAAAGAAUGUUAGAAGAAAUAAAAAAAUAUGUAUUCUCAAUUAGAAAAUAUGAAUGCAUCUUCUGAAGAAUAUAAUAUACUAUAUAAUAAAUGUGAACAAUAUGCUACAGAUUAUUCCAAUUUAUUAGAUCAUAGAAUGAAAUUAUAUUCAAAUAUUCAAAAUAAAAAAUAAAAUAUUUAAAAGAUUAUGAUAUAAGUAGCAUUAUAGAAAGAAUCAUUUCAUUAAGGGUAAUAUAGACUUUUUCAUGAAGAGGAAUAGUGAUAGGCCAAAUAGAAAAAUCUCUCAUCGAAACAUUUAUGCUACAAUCUGCAAAUCUCCGUGCAGAAGAUGUAUUUUGCUGCAGUGUCCAGGAGAUCUAUAUCUUUUUAAAGAAUCUCGGAGUGCACCAUAAUAUUGCGUCUGAUUUGGAAAACAUCAAGGGAAGGAUCACGAAUAUUUUUAAAGCACGUGAGACAUUCCGAAUAGAAUCUGGUGUGCAGCCGAGACCUGGCUCUACCUUAUUGUUUGAUGGGCGAGUUGAUGCAAUUUUUAUAGCCGAAGCUAAGCUUGUAGGAAUUGACAGGCCAAAAGAAUUGCUCAUUAAAGAGCUUCUUGAUGAUGAAACUCGACUUAAAGCUGUUUCUGUGUGGGCAAUGGGAGGAUUGGGGAAGUCCACAUUGGUUAAACGAAUUUACGAGGAUGAACAAGUGAAAGGGAAAUUUCAGUGCCAUGCUUGGAUCACUGUUUCUCAGUCCUUUGACAUCAUGAAGCUUCUCAAAGACUUGAUUCGAAAGUUGUACCGUGAAAUCAAGGAACCUAUGCCUCAGGAACUGAAACGUAGUCAAGAAUUUGCUGAAUUGAAAGAAUCUGUCGAGCAAUUCCUCUCUGAGCGUCAGUAUAUUAUAGUUUUUGAUGAUGUAUGGAUCACUGAUUCAUGGGAUGCUCUCAAGCAUGCACUGCCUGACAAAAAUAUGAGUAGUCGUGUAGUGCUCACUACACGGACACUCGACGUGGCUAACUUAGCCAGUCGGACGGAAUAUCUGAGCUGUGUCCAUGAAAUGGAGGCCUUAUCGUAUGAAGACUCUUCAAAACUACUUUGUAACAAGACUUUUGGAGACAAAACCUUGCCCCCACAUCUAAAGACUGUGCAGAUGGCAUAUUGGAUCAAUGUAAGGUCUUGCCUCUUGCCGUUGAUGCUGUUGGUGGUCUAUUGGCUAUGAAGGACAAGAACAAUAUAGAGGAGUGGAGUACAGUUUUUAGCUACCUUAACACCAAGCUACAUGGUUGUCGUGAUAAUCGUAAAAGAAUACGACAGGUACUUCUUCGAUAAAUUCCAAGAACCAGAUGAAUACGAAUAGUGUUAUUGAAGUUUCUGAAGACAAAAAAGCCAGCUGCCAGUAUACUUCCAUGCGUGAAGGAUUUGCAGUUGCACAAAUCCUUCAGCUAUCCAUAAUCGAAUCAAUAUCGUAUGGUCAAUCACAUGAUCUUCAGGGGAAAUUCUCAAGUACAAUAGACAAGUCUGGAGAUAGUAAGGCAAAUCAUAGUAACUUAGAAGAAGUACCUGUCAUAUUCUUUCAAAGUUAGUACUAUCUUCAGGGAAAAUGCUCAAGUACAAUAGAUAAGUCUUAAGGUACUAAGGUAAAUCAUGAGUUAAUUUAAUCACCAAUCACCAACAUUUGUCGAUGGUUACUACUUGCUCACUCAAGAAAAAUGGUUACUCAUUGCUCAUCCACUUUAAAAAAGAAUUACUCAUCCAUCAUUCAUUACACUUCCAUCUAUCCAACAAGGUUAAAAUGUCCAUGUGGCAGACGGAUUUCAUAUGUGGUAACUAACACCGUUAAAAUUUGACAAGUUGGGUAUUAUUCUUACGCACAAACAUAUAUAUAUUACAUAAUCUUGGCUGGAGGUGAGGGUUUUAUUCCUUAUUCCUCGUAUCCUUACAUUAUUGAAAAAGGAAAAUAAAAUUACAUAAUGAGAUCCAGAUCAAACCUAAAUUUUAACUUCACGAAAAUAAAAUGUGUAAAAAAUAGAGUUGGUCCACAAAUUCCAGAUCGCACACAAUAUGGGGAGAACCCAUUCAUCAUUUUCACUCACACCAUUAUCCCCAAAUCAGAGAGAACCCUUGGAGGCGAAAAUUGGUUCGAAGUCCAGCACUCCAUCUCAGUCGGAGUAAGAAGCUAGCGAUUAAUUUAUCAAUCUUCUCCAUGCUUGGGUUUUCCAGCCUAGGUUAAGCUCGCGGUUGCCUUUUUUUUCUUUUUAGCCGUAAGACGAGAGCUCCACCAUAUGCAAAUCGAUCGUCUCUAACGCCAUCCAGCGCCUCCGACGGAAUCUAGCAGCACAUAUUAUGUAAGGAUGAUAUAUUUGGCAUCCAUUUUCCUCGAUUUUAUUGUUUUCGAAUUCAAAGAUUUUACAAUUAUCUGUGCUUGUAGUUUACUGUAGCAUAAUAUAUGGGUCAUUUGUGUGCAGUAGCCAAGAAAGAACACUGGACUAUGUCAUAGCUUCGACAGAAGGGUCACUUCUUUGCGGAUUGCAUGAAAAAAAGGGCAACCCCCCCCCACCGGUGUAAAAUUGGCUUUGAGGUCGAGAGGGAGACGAAGAAUUAGGGAAAAUUGUUCAAUUGAUAUAGUGCUAAUUGUAAAUAUUGGGAAUUGGUCGACAAUGGAGGAUCAAGUAGCAUUACUGUGAAUGAGAAAAAUCAUGUGGCUGUUGAGGAAUUUGAACACUUCUCCCACUUGUUCCAAUCUUUUUUUGGAGUAACGGAAGAAAAAUUUAUUGAAAAGAUUGAACAUGACAAUACGCAAGGCCAACGAAAGUGCAGAGGUGGAUAAGAAAUGGAAGGGACCAGCAUGAUUAAUAGUUAUGUUGUCAUAAGUUUCAUUCCGUACCACUUUUGAUGUGUGGUAUGUGUUCUUUCUAGUAUAGCUGGUGAACUGUAAGAAAGUUGGUAUUUAUUUGGGUGACUGUAUGUUGGUGUUCUGUCUAGUGUAGUUGGUGAACUGUCUAGUGUAGUAUGUGUUCUGUCUAGUGUUUGGCAAGUUGUUGUAAUUUUCAAUCAUUCCAUCUUAGUAAUGUUAAUUUGUGUUCUUCACUCUAGUGUUUGGAAGUUGCUGUAAUUUUCUAUCAUUCCAUCUCAAUAAUUUGUUCUCUCUUACUGUGAACUCGAUUAAUCAUAUAGGGUUUGAGCAUGAAAACUUUUAGCUGUCUGAUGGUAUGAGCAUCAAUGAAAUUGCAAUGCUAACUGCAGGUAUUGAGCAUAAAAACUUGUAGCUGCCAUUCAUAAAUCUAAAAGAAAAUGAGGAUUGUAAAUGUACAUGAACAUUGUUUAAGAGUGGCUUUUUCCCCCACUCUGAUGGGAGCACUAUUGAGAAUUUGUUCAAAAUCAAUAUAGUGUUGAAGUGUGGAAUGUUAAAACUAAAUGGUGGAAGUGGAAUAUUAAAACUAAACGGUGGAUAGAACCAAACAGUUGGAUGAAAACGGUGGAAUAAUACAAUAAAAAACCAAACGGUGGCCCAAGUUCUUGGCUCAUGCGACCGCAUGAGCCAUGUAGCCAUGCGGUUGCAUGGCCACUUACCGAAAAUUGGAGGGGCUGCAUGGACUAAUACCAUGCGGUCGCAUGGGUAAGAAAUCCGACCGUUACAAUAUUGUUUCUUAUCGUUGAAGGUUCAAAUUUUGGUGGCUUUUCAUUAUGUUUGGCACCACUUCGAGCAGCUAUCAUCCAUGGCUAUAUAUAGGUGAUUUGUGAUCAUUUCAAGGGUGUGAAAAAAAAAAUCGUUACAAACAUGAGAGAAACACCUUUUGAUCCAAAUAUUAUUCCACAUAAAAUCAAACCAUUGAUUCCUUAUUCAUAUUCAAAUCUUCCUUGUGUUCUUAAAGUUUUGGAGGAUCGUGCUUAUGUUUUAGCGCUAGAUCCUUUACAAGGCUUGAUAUAAUCCUACAAACCAUUUGCCAAAAUCUUUAAGCACCUCAAACAAUCCCGAGGGGAGGUAAAUAUAAUUUGAGGACAACAAUUACGUGUUCGAGCCUUCAUUUCAUUAUGUUCUUCAUCUUCUUCAUUUCAUCUUCUUGAUUUUUUGGUUAUUGGUUCUUCUCCAAUUUCCUCGGUGAUGCAAAUUUCCCAAUAAUCUCAAACUAUAUUUUGGCGAUGGAGAAUGAAACCACUUUGGUGACAAUCAAGUUAAUGGAUUGAGAUCUUGUUCGUGGGGACUGUUUGAUGGCUCGACUUGUAGGAGAAUUUGAAUCCAGAUUUUGUGUAAGUCGAAAUGGCUCUCCAAAUUCGGUAAGUGAAAUUACAUUUGUUUAUUGAAUUCUGAAAAAUUCAAUGUGCAUUAAUAAAAUAUGAUUCAUGUUGGAUCUUCGAUCUAAUGAAACGGUGCCGACAAUUAAAUGGACAUCAUGAAAGAAAUCUUUUGAUUUUUUGCACCGCCUUUAUGGAAAUAGAUGAAUCAGUCUCUGCAUGUAUUCAUGAUAUUCUGAAAAAGGAUUUAAUGAUAACUAUUGUCACAUGCAUGAUAAGUAUACUAAGAUACUGCCAUACUGGUUCUUUAUUUGGCAUAUCUAAAGAAAGUGAGGAAGGCAAUGGACUUAAAUGUCAGAAGCAUAUUCAUUUCAUUAAAUGGCACAUUUCGAAUUUGUUUUAUCGGACGGUGAUGGUCAGAUGAUCAUGAAUUUCCAUUAUUCUGAUUAAAUUUCCACUUGCAUUCUUAAACUAAAGAAUUUGUCGUAUUAAUAUGUUAUUGAGAGAAUGCAUGAAUUUAGCCUUUGAAUGGCAGUAUGCUUCUUUGGUCUGAAAUGCCGACAAUCAUGUUCCUUUAUGAUAAAAACCACACCUUAAACUCUGUUUAAAUAUUUGACCGACCAGCCGCCAAUGGAGAAAAAUGCAUGUAAGUUUAUACGUGUUGGCAUGAUUCAAUAAUCGGCAGAGAAUGGUACUGCUAUUGGUUGAACAUGCAUGGCUGCCUGUAAUGAGUCAUGGACCAUGAAAAGGUGUAUAUGGUUCAAAUGGAUUAAAUGGUGACUUUUCAAUUUUGCAAUUUAAAACCAUUUGUGAAGUUGACAGCUUUGUUUAUUGGGGUUAAUUUACUGGCAUGUUUUGGUAAUAAAAUUUUGAAAAACGACCUUCAUAUAAAAUCCUCUAUGUUUCAUGAAUAGUCUGAAUGAAUCUCUACUGAUUGUCUUCUCCCAAUCAAAACCUCGCGAAAACAUUUGUCAGCCAUGGAAGGGAUAAAUGGAACCCAAUUGUGUGGUUCCUAGUAAGGCUUCUUUGGGAUAUUAUGAACACGUUCAUGGCUGACUGGUGGUAGGCGGUGGAGGAAGUUGCUCAACCGCCGACUUAUUAUAAUAGGAAGUAAGUAAAAUGGGUGUGGUGCAUUAAUAUCAACCAAUAAAAGAUUCAUGAAGAUAGGAUAGGAUCACAACAUUUGAUCAUACAAGUUGGCAUAUUUUCUGGACAAGUGCAUGUGAUUCAGAUUACUAAAUGGUGACUCCUAAUCUUUGGUGACUAAUUUUCGAAUGUAAAAAUUGUGUUUGCAUGGUAUAUGGUCAUGAUAGCAAUAUUAGAAUUCUGUGAAAGAAAUUCUAAAACUUCAAACAUUGAAUCCAUAAAUCUAUUUGGAAUUGAUCUAGUCACCAAAUAGGUAAAAUAUUCUUUAGAAUUUAUUCAUGUAUUGAAAAACCACAAGGGCAGUAGCAGAAGGAGGCUGCCAUAUAUUUCAAAAUGGGUAAGCACUUUCAUUGGAAGAGUACUAAUUGUUUUUCGGAAUUGCAUGAUGCUAAGCUGCAUAAUUAUAAAUUUUCUACGUGAUAUAUUUGACAUAGAAUAAAGCAUGUGCGUGAUCUUGCUUUGUUAUGAAAAUUUGAUUUUAUAUAUGGAAUAUUAUGAAAUAUUCUAGGACCAAUUUAGAUGGAAAAUAUGUGAUUUUACAAAGUAUGGCUAAUUGCAUUUUGAUAAAUGUUACUGCAUGUGGAAAUGAAAUAAAUUGAUUAGUCUCACUUCAUUGUGACAUUUGGAAAUUGUUCACAUACAUGGGAUUAUAAUAUUGGAAGAAUGCAUUUGUUGAAAAUGUUUGAAUUUCCAUUUCUUUGUUGAAGUGUACGGGAACGGGAAAAUUCUAAAGUGUUAGAAUUUUAUGAUAGAAAUUAUGUGAACUUUCAUGUCCAAUUCCUUUACUAGAAAAUGGAAAAUUACAUAUGGAUUACUUCAUCUCACUUUGUUGUAACAAUUGGAAUGGUUCAUAUGCAUGAAUGUUAAAGAAUGCAAUUUAAAUCAAUUGUAGUGGCUGAAGAUCUAUUUGACCAUGGUUGUUAUUCAGUGAUUAAUUUCAAUAUAUGGGCUAUCACAUUUUCUUGGAUGAUAUAUCCACUUGAAUUGCCCACAUGUUUCCAUAGGGCACCAUUUACUGUACAGUGCAUUUGUCAUUAUGUUGGCUUAUGGACUUCAAGGUGCAAGUAAAGUACAUCCAUAUUUGUGUUUUGAGACCAGCCUAUUAAUAUUUAAUUGGUCUAAAGGAUGUGCAUAAAUGUGGAAGGAUGCCUACUAUUUGUUGAAAGCUCAUGAAAUUUCAUGACUACUUAUUCUAUUGGAAUACGAGAAUCACUUGAUAAACUUGAUGGUUGAUUUCAUGUUCUAUUAAAAUGAUGAUAGCCACAAAAUUAAGUGAGAUGAUCUUAUACAAAGUCGUGUUUGUAUAUAAAUGUGACAAAAUAUGAUUUUGUCCAAAUGUGAAUAAGGUGAACAUAUGUCUUAUUGUUUGAUAUGAUAUAAUCUUGUAGAAGUGACAAAGUGCAAUUCUUGUUAAACAAGAAAGUCUUAUUCGAAAAACCAGUUGAGUUGGUUUAUGCUUGGAAAGACAUUAUUGGUCUAUGAGAUGACCUUGAUCAAAUUGUGCGAUCAAAAUUAAAGAUAGUUGGAUUAAAGUAUGUUGUGACUUAACAACCACUAUCUGAAAGUAACUAAACUUUCACGAGUAUUAUCAAAGUGAUAAGAAAAACUAUAAAAGAGUUAAUGAACUUUAAGUUCAAUAUCAAUCCCAAAUGUGGGGGUCGACAUAUUGAGGAACUCUAUGUUCGAGUAUAACCCAAAAUGUGGGGGUUAACAUUAAUCUUAUGAACUUAAUGUUGCAUCCAUAUAUCUUUGAACUUCUCAUAUAAGUUAGUUUAAAAAGUUACCGUAUCUUUUACCUUUUAAUCAUUGCAAUACAUCUAUGAUGGAGAAAAGUAUUGAAGGCCUUGUAAAAAUGAAACACACUAAGUCUAAAGUGGAUUAAAUGGGUAAAGGCUGAUUGUGGUGCUUGGAAAACCAAUGGAAUAUUUAAAAAAUAUUCAUUGAAGAUCAUUAUAAUGAUUCAAUGAUGAUAAGUAAAUACCCAAGUAUUAAAAUCCACAAAUAGAAGUGAUUGGCUACUGUAAUGAAUUAAUGGAAAUCAUCCAACGGUGUUUUAAAAAUCUGUAAGGCUUUAAAUGAAACGAAUGAAAAGCAUGUGGCUUCUUGGUGGUGACAAUUUGUAUCUAUCAAAUGAAUCGAUCAUUGGCUAGCUAUAUUUUGAUAAGAUACUAAGUCACAUAAAAUGAGAAAUAAAGACAUAUAAGUCUUAGAAGUGACGUCACAAGGAAUUAUCGAAGGUGGAAUAAUUUUCGAAGAGAAUUUAGUGGAUCCUUUAACUAGACCACUAAAUAAAACUUUAGUGGCAUCUACUUUGAGUAGGAUGGGGUUGAAACUCCUAAUCUAUAAAGGUCCAUCAAUGACGGCAACCCUACCUGUUAUUACUCAAAAAGGUAAUCUAUGGGUUCAAAGGGUAAAAACAAGUCAUUCGAUUUGUGGGAUGGUUGCAGCAUUAUUGAAAUCCGCAUAGACUCUAUCCUCAGUAAAAUAACGCUGGUUGUUACUGAAGUGAGGGUUGAGCAUUAAAUCUCUUAAUGAAGUUCAGUGCUAAAAACACAAGUAUUUCUAAAAGUAACAAAGGUACUAGAAGAAACUUCACCUAAACAAACUUCGAGGUGGUGCCGCCUCAAUUGAGAGUUGGAGUUUCUCUCUUAAAAGUUUGUUGAAUAGGAUGAGAGCAAGACCAUAAUAGCGCUAAGCGAUUUUUGAGGAACUUGAGAACACGUGGUAUUCAUGUGGGUGUUCGAACCGGUAUUAUCACAUGGAAUAAUUGGUUCAAAGCUAUGGCUACCUUUGAUUCCGACUAUAUUGUUUGGAUUACACUAUGGCUAGAUUCAAAUCGAAAGAUAUCUAAUCCUUAUGCAUGAGUAUCGUAUGAUUUGGAUAUGAGACUUGAUUGAAUUUUAAACAAGUGGAGGAUUGUUGAGAAUUUGUUCAAAAUCAAUAUAGUGUUGAAGUGUGAAAUGUUAAAACUAAAUGGUGGAAGUGGAAUAUUAAAACUAAAUGGUGGAUGGAACCAAACGGUGGGAUGAAAAUGGUGGAAUAAAACAAUAAAAAACCAAAUGGUAGCCCAAGUUCUUGGCUCAUGCUGUCGCAUGGCCACUUACCGAAAAUUGGAGAGGCUGCAUGUGAUGUUCCAUGCGAAAUCCAUGCGGUCGCAUAGGUAAGAAAUUCGAACGUUGCGGAUGCAAACCCGGAUAGCAACGAAAACUAUCGAACCCACACAAGAGUAACAUCAAUCCCAAGAAUGCUAAUUUGAUUCGAAGUUUACAGAUUUAAUUCAUAAACGAUAAAUUAGGCAACCAACGAUAUAUUAAAUCGAAGACCUCAUAAUUACACAAUUUAAGAACCUCGCCCAAGGUUGUGAACACCACAAGAAAUCCCAACCAGAUCCCUUGAUAAGUUCAAAGUCCCGAAAAACAAAGGUUUGAAAGCAAAUUGCAUCUCUAAAUUAAUUCUCAAAUCAAAGUCUGUUCCUUAAUGAAAGAUAGAAAAUAAUUUAUACUACCUUAGGAAACAAGGAAACCACAAAAUUCUAGAGUCCUAAAAUAAUGAAACUUGCCAAAAAUAAGAAAUUGAAUCAAAUUAAAAUUCUAGCAAAAAUUGGAAAUUCGCAUCUUCAGUUUUGCUCAUGCGACCGCAUGGUAGAACUUGGUGCGGUCGCAUGGUUGAAGAUGUUGCCGCCUUUCGAGUUUGGUAGCCACCUGUGCAACCGCAUGCCUGCAACACGGUGUGAUCGCAUGGAGUUAUGAUUUUGUCCCUUCUUUGCUGCUUGAACCGCGUUGUUCGUAGGCUUCCGGACUUCGACCCCAACAUGAAAGUUGUCACUUAGCUCAUGGACUUCAACAUAGUAUGCUCCGUGCCUCGAUCCAUCAAUUGUGCCACCCUAUUAGCUUCCCGAAGACCCGAACUUGGUUUAGGUUUCUUCCAAUCAAACUCCAAUGCUUUGGUUCGUUUUGGCGAAACCCGUAUCACAUCUACCCCUCCCUCUUCGAGAGGAUUCGACCUCGAAUCUUUACCUGGUUCAAAUACUUGUCCCGUGUCCACUCCUUGAUUGAUAUUUUUGAACCCCGACGUUCAAACCUGUCUCCUCUAUUCCUCAUUUCACCCAAUUCAACUCCAUUGAACCCAACGUCAUCCACAUCACCACCAUAACCAAAUUCACCAUGCAAUUCCACCCUCGGUUCCCGUCGUCCCGAUCUCCUAGCAUUAGGUACCUCAACUCGUUCCAUAUGCAAAUUGGUAACCGAUGUGUCAAUCCUUUCUAUCCUAUCACCCAUAUCCUUCAACAUUCGCUCAAACCUACAUAUCACAUCCUCCAGCAUAUUUGUUCGAGUACCAACCAGACUUGAGUUUGACCCUUCGCUGCAAGACAUCCUAAAUACUAAAUUUUACAUGCCUCAUUUUUUAUAUUGCUUGGAAAUCACUCAAUUUAAGCUUUUUCCCUCAAAUAAUCUCACCACUCAGCCUUUUACCUCUCAAUUGCUUCCAAUCAGUGUUCUUGAGAACAAUAGGUGGCUUUGAACUCGUGGAAUAAUAGUUAAUUGUUCAAGACUCAAUAAUCAGGAAGUUAAAGAACUAAGACAAUAAAUAAAAUUUUUGGAGGGACUAAAAAAAAAUUUUUGACACGUGAACAGUGACGAUGAUAUGGAUGUGAAUAGUACGACGAACAGUAAAUUUUUUUUUGUAGACUCUUACGAAGGGAAAACGAUUAGGACACUAACACAAUAAACGGAAUUGAAUUUGGACUCUAUAUGAACCUGAAAAACAACUUUAAAUUUUUAUUUUUAUUUUUUAUUUUUUUUUUGGUAUUUUGAUGGAUCUAAAAUAAGACUCUAACGAAGAACGACGAAGAACACAAGAACGAAAGGAAAACAACGAAACUGACUCAACAAGACAAAUUGAAAGAUAUAACUUCGAACUUGGAGCCUAAGCUCUGAUAUCACCUGAUGCGAACCCAGAUAGCAACGAACACUAUUGAACCCACAUGAGAGUAACACCAAUCCCAAGAACGCCAAUUUGAUUUGAAGUUUACGGAUUUAAUUCCUAAACGAUGAAUUAGGUAACCAACGAUAUAUUAAAUCGAAGACCUCAUAAUUACAUAAUUUAAGAAACUCACCCAAGGUUGCGAACGCCACAAGAAAUCCCAACCGGAUCCCUUGAUAAGUUCAAAGUCCCGAAGAACAAAGGUUUGAAAGCAAAUCACAUCUCUGAAUUAAUUUUCAAAUCAAAGUCUGUUCCAUAAUGAAAGAUAAAAAAUAAUUUAUAUUACCCUAAGAAACAAGGAAACCACGAAAUUCUAGAGUCCUAAAAUAAUGAAACUUGCCAAAAAUAAGAAAUUGAAUCAAAUCAAAAUUCUCGCAAAAAUUGAAAAUUUGCGUCUUCAGUUUUGCCCAUGCGACUGCAUGGUAGAACUUCAUGCGGUCGCAUGGUUGAAGAUGUUGCCACCUCUCGAGUUUCAGUAGCCACCUGUGCGACCACAUGCCUAUGACACGGUGCGGUCGCAUGGAGUUAUGGUUUGGCCCCUUCUUCGGCUGCUUGAAUCACGUUGUUUCAUAAGCUUCCAAUCAAACUCCAAUGCUUUGGUUCGUUUUGGCGAAACCCGUAUCACAUCAGUUGCAAUAUUGUUUCUUGCCGUUGAAGGUUCAAAUUUUGGUGGCUUUUCAUUAUGUUUGGCACCACUUCGAUCAGCUAUCAUCCAUGGCUAUAUAUAGGUGAUUUGUCAUCAUUUCAAGGGUAUGAAAAAAAAUCAUUACAAACAUGAGAGAAACACCUUUUGAUCCAAAUAUUAUUCCACAUAAAAUCAAACCAUUGAUUCCUUAUUCAUAUUCAAAUCUUUCUUGUGUUCUUAAAGUUUUGGAGGAUCGCGCUUAUGUUUUAGCGCUAGACCCUUUACAAGGCUUGAGAUAAUCCUACAAACCAUUUGCCAAAAUCUUUAAGCAUCUCAAACAAUCUCGAGAGGAAGGAAAUAUAGUUUGAGGACAGUGAUUACGCGUUCGAGCCUUCAUUUCAUUAUGAUCUUCAUCUUCUUCAUUUCAUCUUCUUGAUUUUUUGGUGAUUGGUUCUUCUCCAAUUUGCUCAGUGAUGCAAAUUUCCCAACAAGCACAUACCAGUAAACCAAUCAAGCCAUGUACAACAAAAGGUAAAAAAAGCAAUCAAGCCAUGUGUUUAUCACGGAGUAAUGUCCAGACUGCCAAUGUAAACCAGUAGACAAUAAGUGUAACUGUACAAACUCUAAGAUGAUUAAAUUAUCAAUUCCAUUGUCCAUGUAUUCCAUCAUCUAGUUAAACUAAAUUCAUACAAAAUGACCAAAAAUAAGGCAAUUCAUCCUCUUAGGCAAGAUUAUUCAAUAAUUAUUUGUUAACUGGAUUUUCUUUACUAAGUCACUUGGAACAAUACCAUCAGCACAAUAAAAUGCACAAAGGAGCAGUAAAAUCCAAAAGUGUGAUUUGAAUUAUGAAUUUGUUUUUCAUAACAAAUCAAAGGGAUGAUCUUCUCUCAAAAAACUUAGAAAAGUUUAGCUACAAACCAACAAUGAGGGUCUUAGAGAACCUCAAGCUACUAGACAAACUACUUGUGAAGAGCACAAGAAUAGUUAUCUGUACCGACAUCUUCUGCAAGGCAUGGAUUACGUUACAACAUAAUAUUCCCAAAAUAAGUAAAUCAAAAAAACAGAGUCAUUGGCAUAAUAUUCCCAAACAUUUAAGCUUUCCCAAACGACAAAUGGGAUUACGUUACAACAUAGUAUUCCCAAAAUAUUAUAGUAAUAACUGAGAUUACUGUAAUAAGUAAAUAAAAAUAAUAAAAAGAAUAUAAAAAAUUCAUAAUACAAGUGAGUGAAAAUGGGUUGACAGAUUUCCUUGCAAAACAAAGUGGUCGAAAAAGGGACUACGUUACAGCAUAGCAGCAAUUUAGGUUUGUUCACAUCUCAAACAAACUUUUUCUACCGUAGUCUACUGUAACCAUUGAUUUCGGCAUUUAUACAUCUCAAACAAGCUUUUUCUACCUUUGUCUGUCAUCGAAGAUGGCGAUAGAUUGAAGCUGGAACAGCUCUUUUUUACACCGUCGAAUCUAUGAAGACGGCGAUAGCUUGAAGUCGGAACAGCUCUUUACCUUCAAACCGGAGACGACAGCUUCUUGUACAUGCGGUAGGUUUCAAGAAUUGGGGCCAGAAAAAGAGAAAGCGCGGACAAUAUGCUGAGCAGAUUUGAAUUACCCAGUCUUUUCUUAUGAGUGGGUAUUGUUGCCCGCUCCAUUAGUCUCAAUUGUAAAACCCGGCCCAACAAUGAAUACGGCAAAAUUUGUUAUUUAUUGAAAAUUCAAAAUAUGCUCCCUUUCCACGUCAUAGUGUCAUCCAGCAGGUAAAGACAAGGGUACAAACAGCAUUAUCCAAACUCAAAAAAGAAAAGAAAAAUAAAGCACAAAUUGCAAUCAUACUCCCAAACGUUUUGAAAAAAAAUGUAAAUUGGUCCAAUAAAUUAUUAAAAUAUUAAAAAUUAAAAAAAAAAAUUAUAAUGGUACAAAUGAAACAUUGUCAAUAAUACUUCAUUUUUUUAGAGCAAUUUCAAUACUACGGCAUUAACUUUCCUCUCCUCCUCUCUCUCUAAUGCAAAAUUUUUCUGUUUAAUUUCUUCACACAAGCACAACAAACAAAAGUAGUGAACAAUUGAGGGAUUCCUACAAUUCCCCCACCUGCCGAUUGAAUUCUGGGAUCUCAAAUACCAAUUUACCAAAGACAAUGCUUUCUCAAAAAAUCCAUAUUCAAGAUUACAGAAAAAUAUGGGUGAUGAUGACAACCUACUUGCUAGCAAUGACGAAAGUAUUUCUCCUGGAGGUCGGAACCUGCCUGUUGGAGGCAGCGGCGAUGGGAGUCAGUUUGAAAUGAACCAUCUCUUAGAUUAUUUUAAGAUCGUAGGGACAACUUCGGCACCAAAAGGUGCUCGGGUUAUUUAUUUGUGCAUAGACAUUACUGCUUCAUAUGCUCUUUCUCGGUGAGCUUCUCACUACUGGGCCAGAAAUAUGGGCAAGCUCUGAAGGUAAAGUCGAUGCAUUUGUUGCUGGAAUUGGGAUGGGAGGAACAGUGAUUGGUGUAGGGAAGUUCCUCAAGUAGAAGAAUCCAAAGAUAAAGGUCAACAGAGAUCCUGAGAUAUCCUUCUCUUAUUCUUCACUUUAUAUUUACAUUUCCAAUCUUGAUUUCUCAUUUUUAUUUGAUCUCUGUUAAAAUUCAAGAGAAUGUAUUUGGGAAUGAAGAAUUCUUUCAUUGAUUUUGAUGGACGUGUUGUAGUUCAUUUAUAAAACAAUGAAUAUUGCAAAAUGGGUAUAUUCCUAUUCUAGAAAUGGAAAAUCAAUCACUUGCAACUAAACAAGGAAAAUAAAUAUUGCUAAACUAGACAAGGAAAAUAAAUCUUGGUAAUUAUCAAUUAUUCAAUACUCCCCCUCAAGUUGGAGCAUGAAGACCUGGAAUGUCCAACUUGUGAGCGAAAUGACAAAAAUAAUCUUUGCCGGGAGCCUUUGGGAAAAUAUCCUCCAAAUUGAUGUGGAAUGCCCAACUUCCAAUUUUAUUUAUUUAUUAUUAUUAUUAUUAUUUAAAACAUAAGAAAACCCCUAGGUUGUUUAAGGGGCACGGGGAAAGCCGGUAAAAUUCAAGAAACCGACCCUCCAAAGUUUUUUUGUUUUUAAAGUCCUCUAGUUUGUUUAAGAGGUAGGGGGAUAGCCAAUAAAAUUUAAGGUACCGACCCUCCAAUUUUUAUUUUUUUUUUAAAUCUCUAGAAUGGACUCAUUUUGGCAUGGGCUAAAAAAAUUUUCAGUAGCCCAAAUCUAAAAAAAAAAAAAAAAAUUCAGUAGCUCAGGAGGAUCUAACAAAUGGAAGGCCCAAACAUUAAUUAACCGACCCAAUUAGUACAAAAUCCGUUUCAACUUCUUCCCAAAGAAUCAUCACUAUGGCAGAAGUCAAUAACCCAUUUGAAAGAGGCAGCACCAAUUAGAGCUUCCAUAGCUACCGCCUUCAUCAAAUCAGGAAGAGGUAAAAAAGCUCCAUCACCAUAAGAUUUAAAAUUUGAGUCGUGGGCAGCAUAUUCAGAAGCUUGAGGAACUAUGACAGAAAAUUGGGAAGAAUUUUAUUUCUGGAUUAUUUUCACCCAAUAAAAAACUUUAGCUCGAAGAAUCAUAUUCAAACAAGUUCUAGUUUUGGUUGCGUAUGAGAAAGAGAUGGUAAAGAUAAGGCUGCAGCAGAGGCUGUAGUAAAUGAGAAAGUGGGGAUAGAUAAGGCCCCAGUAGAGGAAUUAAUAACAUUUGUGAAGAAUGAUUCUUUGUUGCAACAGGUCAAUAGCUUGAGGGAGGAACUGCAACUAUUGGCAUCAAGUAGAUCUGUUACAGUUGUUACGUCAAAAACUUCAGGAUCCAGCAGAGACGGUAAAAGCUUGAUUAAAAUUUGAAAAAAAAAAAAAAAAAUUGGCUGGUUUUAUUUCGCCGGGCAAGCGACCUUGUACCACUCGCCGGAAAUGCAAUUCGAAGGUUCGUUUAGGCUCGAACCCGCUCUGAUACCAUGUUAAAAUUCAAGAGAAUGUAUUUGGGAAUGAAGAAUUCUUUCACUGAUUUUAAUGGACGUGUUGCAGUUCAUUUAUAAUACAAUGAAUAUUGCAAAAUAGGUAUAUUCCUAUUCUAGAAAUGGAAAAUCAAUCAUUUACAACUAAACAAGGAAAAUAAAUAUUGCUAAACUAAACAAGGAAACUAAAUCUUGCUAAAUAUCAAUUAUUCAAUAAUCUCCAUCCAUUUCUUUUAUUUUCCCCGUUUUCUAUUGCGUCACUAACAGGUAUAUGGUAUAGAACCUGCCGAAAGUGCAAUUUUAAGUGGAGGAAAACUAGGUAAUUCAAAUAUUUCAGCACGAUCAUUUAUCGGUACGUAGGUCUGGCGCCCAAGGUGGCUGGAGGGCGGAGUUUUGGUGGUGGAGGAAGAGGGAGGAGGAGGGGGAGAAAGAGGGAGGAGAUGAUUUUUUUAGUUUUUAAUAUUUUAAUAAUUUAUUGGACCAAUUUACAUUUUUUUUCAAAAUGUUUGUGAGUAUAAUUGCAAUUUAUGCUUUAUUUUUCUUUUUUUAAUUGAUUUUUUGUUUUAAAUAAAAGGGUAUAAUAGUCAUUUUACGUUCAACAACAGUGAAAAUGACGUUUUGCUCAACAAAAUGUCGAAAUAAGGGCAAAAAUGUCAAAAAAUGAAAGGUAGAGAGGUUUCUCACAAUAGACUUGAAAGGUAUCCACGUUUUGUGUCAAUUACCCAAGAGUCUUUUAAGGUAUAAUAAAAUAAGGAUAAGGAUAAGGAUAAGAUUCACAAAGUACAAUCUAUAGUCCCAUUGAAGACGGUCUUCUCUUCAUAGAAAAUUCUGAAGUACCAAAAAAUCCUUGCCAGAAGGUCUGACCACCUCUCACAAUGGCUGUGGGUCCCGCGUGAAUAAAAAUUGCCGGCCUCCAUGUGCUUAUGUGUGUUCUGUCAGGGCCUUUGUUGGUGUAGCACGACCCUCUCUUCAUUACUAAUUGUACUUGCCACCUGUAUAACAAUGCAAAUUCUAGAUUCUCUUACUUUUCGUUCCAAUUUUAUUUAAACUAAGAAGUGGAAUUUAUACAAAUAUGAAAAAUGUGUGCAAAAAUAAGACAGGCCAUUGCCAAUCCAAACAAUUAGCUAGCCAUGGCUGAAUAAUGGUGGUGGAGUCAGGAUAUAUUUUUUGGAUAGGCAAAAAUAAUUGUAAGUAAUAUUAUUAUAAUUAUUCUGACCUAUUUUCAUAAUGCUACACAAUCUAGAUGCUUGACAAUAACCUUAAAAAAAAAAAAAAAAAAAAAACGCACGUUUCAUUUUACAAAAGAAGAAAAAAUCAUGGACAUUUAUAUAGUUCUUGCCGACAUUGUCCCAAAUCUAAAAAAGAUGUAGAAUUAAUUAAGGGUGAUUAGCACAAAACGUCCCCACCUUUCAAGAUUUUUGUGAAAAACGUUCCUAUCUUUCGUUUUUUGGCAAUUUCACCCUCACCUUUGCCUUUUAUUAAGGAAAACGUCCUUCCGUCCACUUAUCGUUAAAAUAUUCCGUUAAAUCAAAUAAAAUGAUAUUUUUCUUUUCAAAAGGUAAGGGUAACAUUGUCCAAAUCAAUUUUUCUUUGCUUCCCAAAUUACAAUGACUUAUUUAAAAUUACUUAUUUCUACUUUUUUUCUCCUUGUAGAUACAAGAUGUUUGCCAGUUUGGGAUAUUAGACUUUGUAAGAAUAUGCAGAAAUAUAUCCUUUAAAUUUUGUGUUAUACUUUGCUUAAAUGUGUGGUUGUUCAUCUUCAUUUUGUGCUUAUGAAGGGUGUAAAUAAAGGGUAAAAUGACAAGACCAAUUAAAAUGUAAUUUUGUAAAUGGACAAUGCAUAUGAACGUAGAAGAUGAUGAACAUGAACGGGUCUUCUUUCCAUUUUAGCACAAAAUUGAACUUAUGGUAACAGUCCCUACCUUUACAUUGUCUUUGUACAAAACAUCCACUGUGGCGAAACCUUGUAUUUUUCUGAGUAACGCUAUGUAUCUACAUUAGAGAUGAUCAUCGUAUAAUUUGUAGUUUCAUUAAAUGGUAAGACCAGUAAAGUAGGUCUUAUAUAUCCGUAUAUUUAAUUGCUAAUAUAAUUUCAUGCACAUUGUGUGUCAUAUAGAUCGGUGAUAAUCUCUAAUGAAAAUAAAUAUAACUAUUCUAUUUUUAUGUUGGCUAGAAUAAUGUUAUGCAAUACCAUCAAUCUAUAUAGCAUUAUUCUCUUUAGCUGGCUAUCUUUUUUUUUCUUUUUCUUUUUUUAUGACGGGAGAACCUACAACCGUCACCCUUUGGGUGCACACUGAGUAAACCCUCAGACUAAUGCAAAUAGUCUACAAAUCACGCGCAGUCAGGUAAAUCGCACUAGACAAGCCCGAUGUGAUAAGCUCAACCAAAAAAGUGUUGGUAGGAGGAAUCGAACUCAUGAUCAAAGGUCUCCGCGCUCACCUACUCCACCAACUCGGCCACCCCAUGAGGGGCGCUGGUUGUCUUUUGAAUGGUUGAGUUUUACAUAUGUUAGACUAUAUCUAUAUGUCUCCCUUCUAAACUUGUACUUUGCUUUAUUUUUGUGCGUCAAUAAAAACUGUGUCAUUGAAGUGGCUUGAUUAAAGAAAGGCCAAUAAUGAAUCUUCUGCCAUUAAAUGCUGACAAGUGAACUGCUAGCUAAUAAUUAGCUAGAUUGACAGCAUAUUAACUAACCAUUAAUAUAUGUGUACAAAAUAAUUUACUAAAAGUUUGACAAGGCCGCCAAAUGUCAAGUUUGUCAAACUUGUUGUAGUUGGUUUUGUACUUCUAGCAUGGUCCAUUAACCAAUUAGUUGAAUCAAAGUUGAAAGGCAAAUAAAUAAAUUUUAUUUCUUCUUAAUUCCAUAAAUGGCAAUCCACCCGGCUGGCCAGGGAUGUGUUUUCUUGUGUCUAUGCUCUGGGUAGUCUGUGUCUUGUGAGGGUGAAGUUAAGAUUUGCAUGGCUUUGAAGUUAUAUAUAUGAAGGGAGCGAGUCGACAAAGAGAGUUUGCUGUGCUCCUAUUUGACCUACAAUUUUUAUCAGCUUUUCAACUACACACUCUAUCAACUUUUAUCAAAAUUUACUAACAACCUGAUUUCAGCCAAACCAGAUAGAACAAUAUGUAGAAAAAAAAAAAAUUGCUGGUUCCCAUGAGUGUCAAAAGUCUAUCUACUAUUUACUUGGGAGGAAAUGGAGUCACGUCUCUUAAGCCCAUAAGAUAAUGACAAAAGGCAUGGAAUGCUCAUUCUUGGGUACAGAAGUUAUUUGAUUAAACCCUAGAGGCUGGAGAACACUUUUAAUUCGGGAUUCAAACAUUUCUUGCUUGGCCUCUCAAACCCUACUAUAAAAUAAUGAAAAGAAAUAAACUAACAGAGAGGGAAUUCUUAUAGGGUGUGGAUAAUAUUAAGAUUAAAAAAAAAAAAAAAAACCUGUCGCUAAUUGCCCAUAGGAAUCUAGAGGCUCGGGUUGGUCAACCGAACUGGACUAGACUGUCGAUCUUCUGAAGUAGCCUAAGCAUGGGAAAGAGACCGUAAUUGGCGUCGAGAAUAAACUUCAAGGGUCGACACAGGUUCUGCAAAAGAAUCAAAUGUAGUUCAUUCAAGGUUCAUGAUAGAAUUAAUGGGAAGCGUUAUUGAAAGGCUCACCGCUAGAUCGGAGGCAGAAGCACUUUUAGGAUUGGCUAGUAACUCAAAAAAAUGCUACUAGUUUUUGAAAUUGGGAAAUCAUAUAAGAAUAUUUUGUGUAAAAAAUCUAGGUUGUGCGAAAACAUUUUAAAUUUUAUUGUUUUUGUUUCCGACACUAGAACUAUAUGUUCAUGAAUUCUUGAAACUUAUUUGAAACUUCAGUUUCUUUAUAUUUUUAAUACUAUUCAGAAACUUAAAGAAAACUUUUUAACCAAAUAUCGGAAAGUGUAAUUAAAAAUUUUCACUUUGUUGUGGCUUAUGGGUUUCAACUAGAAAUUAAGCUUCUGUUUAGACACAAACUUAUAAGUAAUUUAUAAAUUCAGUCAAAAUAAAAGUCACAAAUUAAUUUCAACCAUACAUUAUGAUUACUAUUCACUAUUAUUCAUGCAUUUCAUGGCACAUUACUAUUCCUCCUUAUACAUCAUUUAUAAAUUUGCCAAGUGGUAAGAAUAAUUUUCCCUUUCUUACAGAUCGUGAAAUGAAGAGACACUAUUUUGCUUGCUUUCAACCUACACUAUUGUCAGCUAGCACUCGUUGAAAAUGUACCAGCUAAUCUAGCUAAGUGGCAACCGUUAAAAUGUAUAAUUUAAUCUGAGCGAGAUUUAGGAUCUGUUUCACAUUGGCAUAGUUGGGAAUAUAGGUCAUGAAUAAAAUCAGGAAGAUUUGAUUAAUUAUUACAUAAUAAACUGUUAAAUACGGGUCAAAAAAUUAAGAACAACAUGUGAUUGAGUAUUUUCUCAAAUAGUGUUAAUUUGUCCGUGGCUUUUGUUUGCGUCCUACAAGGUAGUUGUAGCCCUAGGAAGAUGUAUUCAAUGCAUGAGGAAUUUGAAUGCAUUAUAUCGAUUAUGCAUCAUUAUUUAAUCCCUUAAAAAUAUGUUCAAUGAUGUUGCACUGAUCGAAAAUACCUGACAAAAGUCGUGACUGAACACUCGCAAUAGGAGGUGGAAGCCACUUUUUUGGAAUUUUUUAUUCACACGGGGUCUCACAUGCAUGUGAGAGGAUAUCGAGGCUUGAAUCCGGUAUUUUCGAUCAACUCAGUUUAAUUGAAAUACAUUUGAUAUGCACUUCUUGUUACACCUCAAAUUUGCAUGGGUCAGGUAAGCAUCAUCAUGAAAGAGAAGUUCACAUAGGCCUAUAACGACACGCCACAUGGAAACUCAACGUGUUCCUGCACUUUUCGCCUAGUUGGAAUGAGUCUGGUGGACCAAUGAACCCGUCCUCAAUAGUAUUGUGUCGUCCUUUAUGGUCUUUGCAUAUAUAGUCCCCAUGGUGAAGCCUUGCCCCUUAGCAGGGCCAGUCCUGUGAUUGUCAGGGUCCGAUGUGAAAUUCAUAAAUUGGGCCCCUGGCGAAAUCAACGUAAAUGCAAAAUUCAACGGUGUAGUAUGCGAUUUAUUACUAACUUAAAACUAACAUUAGAACAAUAAUAAUAUAAGCCGUCCAAACUGCAAUUGUAUAAACAAACAAUGCUUCAAACAUUUUCAAUCUCUUCAAUAACAAGUUAGGCAAGCCAUUGCUUACUUGAGAAGUGGAUUUUCGACGAAAAUUGUGGAAUUACAGCUUUGAGAACUCACGAGCCUGAAAUAAAAAUUUAAAUAAAAUGAAAGACUUUAAUCAUAGAGUGAAGGCGGGUUGGAUGGGAUAUGUUAAUUAAAUUAAUUUUAUAAUAAUAUUAUUAAUAUUUAGAAUUUUAAUUAUGUCUAAUUUUUUAAAGAAAAACUCAUAACUCUUAAUUAUGAGUUGAGAAUUGACAUAUUGAAAACACAUAGUCCAAUAUCUUUGAAAUUUGCUUUACAAGUUAAAAAUAGGGAAGUACUACAUAUACAUAAUUGUCUACAUAAUGGUGUCCAUAAUUACAUGUGGCACUAGAUUUAACCUUUAAUUCAAAUCUCACACUUGCACAUCAACAAUCGGAUGAUUGCCACAUCACAUUAUGGACACCAUUAUGUACAAUAAUUAUGUACAAGUAGAAUUUUCCUUAAAAAUAUAUAUUGCAUCAAAAAAGAAAUAUCCAAUCACCAGAAAUAGAUUAAUUCCCAUUUUGCAGUAAGUUUAGCAACAAUUCAAAUUGCAAAAUUAAAAAUAAAAAUAUGAAAAAGAUUGAAAGCGAUCUCCUGAAUCAAAGCAAAGAAUUUUCAUUUACUACUAAAAAUAGUGUAUAUCUCCUUCCAACGUCAGUGAAAAUUGCUUUACAAAUAAGAAAAUGAAAUUCUACAAAUCUAACAAAAAAUCUAACAAUUUGGGCAAGUCUACAAAUCUGGACCUGGCAUUGUUUUGAAACAACCAAAAAAAAAAAUUAAUAAUAAUAAUAAUAAUCUGGGCAAAAUAGGCCCAAGAACAAAAAAAUCUAACAAUUUGGGCAAAUCUACAAAUCUGGGCCUGGCAUUGUUAUGGAAAAAAAUAAAUAAAUAAAUAAAUAGGCCCUUUUCAUUCUUGCUCAGUCUUUUGAAAAAAAACUGCCAUUUUUUUUAUCUGUUUCAGUGAAAUCGGUCUUUUGUGAGGGAUUUCAGAUUCUUCAAAGUCCACCGUUACUGAGAGGAUUUGCGAAUAAGAGGAACCUGAAUUUUGGAGCAAUGGCAGUAAAAGGCCUCAACAAAUUGGGCCUUACUCGUCUGCUAGCUGGCCCGGCCCAACCAAUGUUUUGUGCCAGACCAUGUCGGGCCCAAUUCGUUUUAUUAAUCCAGGGCAUGUCUUGGCAAAUAGAGUCGAUCACUAUGUGGGCUGGGACAAGAUCAGCCCGUUUGACGUGACUUUUGCUUUUAGCUUUGCUUCCUACAAAAGAGUUUUUGGAGGUAGUUAUUUUAAUUUUUAUUUGAAAACUAAUUUUUUAAAAAGUUAUCUAUUCUGGAAGUACUUUUAGAGGACGUCACAAUGAAUCAGCCUCCUCUAAAAGCUCUUUUAACGUGAAGAAACACUUUCAUAAAAUUAAUCAAACGAUUUAAAAGCAACUUUUGAACCUUAUAAAUUUAUUUUGACUUUUCAAAAAUCAUGUCAAACAAGCACUAUAUAUGUUGUCACUACUAUGGUUGGAGUAAUUAGCGAAUGUAGGUCUAAAACUAGUUGCAAGAAAAUUGCGACGCUCUGCGAAAUCUCCUUCUAAAUCCCACAAGAAUAUCGUCAUUUUCCUAUACUCGAGAGAUUCAUUCCCAAGUCCUAUGCAAAGAUGUUAUUUUUUUCGUUCAAGUCACAAUCUAGAAUCUUUUGUUUAAACUACCCUAGACGCUAGGACAAACUUGUUUACCAGUUCUCUUAUUGAUUGUGCUCACUUUGGUAAGCUGAUAAAAGAUGAUCAAGAAUCAACAAACACUUGAAAUUACAUCACUAUAUGUUCCAUAGGGAGGAUUAAAUAGCAAAAGAGGACUUAAAAUCGUAUCUAUUAAGUUGUCCAAUAUGAUAGUUAUUAUUACAAGAGACUUGUUAGAAUAUGUUUAUCUUUUGUUUGGAAGAGAUCCAAGGACUUCUACCUCGAGAUGAUCCUCUUCUCAAGGGAUGUCUCGACCCUAUGCAUUCUUUAGCUCGGUCGACAAUCAAAUGAACAUGCUUUGAUGCAAACAUGCAUAGAAAUUUAACAGGACUUAGCAUGGUAUAAAUACUAAUGUACAAAGUUUCACCUUUUUUGCGUAUUCUUCUAUAGAGAUAGUAAGCAAAUUUGUACAUAAUAUAAUGAGUAGGUAAGCAUACACAUGGAGAUGGUAAAGUAUAUUCAAUAGUCACUACUAGACUUUGGGGUAUGUGUGACACAGCCUUGCCUACUUAAAAAAUCUUCGUCAACCACAUAUAAAAGUAGAAACUUGAAUAUCAAACUUUAAUGGCUUGCUUUGUAAAGUGAACUAUAUCGUCAUGUAGUCCUAUGCCUUGUAAAGAAAAAGAUUUUAAUAUAAAAUGAAUUUAAUACUGUAUUUAGAAAAUGAUGAGAUUUUAAAGUUUGAAUGUAAAAGAUACACAUUCUAUCGGAAAAACAUUGAGAAAAAGAAUAAUAGGAUUUACAAGUCAAUGCAUGCGUAAAACAGUACAAUUUUGGAACAUCAUAAUAGACAAUUUGUUCUAAAACUACAAGCACCAAAAACCUGUAGUCGAUCUUUAUAUCCCACAAGUGUGCGGAUCAUUACAAGUAAUAAUGUGAACUUAUAAGUCCAGAUAUCAUUUUCACAAGGAUUACUAUUUAGCAAUUGGUUCAAUUAUUUCUAACAUGAAUUUGAUCGAAAACAAGUAAAAUAGUAAUUUUUCUUUUUGUAAUUUUAUAUUUUAAAUAUACUAAAACAAAUAAAAGUGAUUUUUUUAAUAUGAUGGUUUAAGUAUUAGGAUUCAUGAUUUUACCAUGGUUAUCCCCUUAAUCUCAAUUACCAAGUUUUAUAUAAUUGAUUAUGUUUACCUGAUCGAAUUCUUCUAAUGUAUUCAAUUUACCCCUCUCGAGUUCUCUUUGAGUCUAUUUACCUAAUUUAAUUCCAUAUCCAUAUGUGAAUCAAUCUUAGUUAAACACAAUUAUGUUCUAAAAAUUCAUGUAAUGAUCGCAAUAACUAGCAUAAGUAUCUCUACGUUUUAUUCUAAUUACCGACUUUUAUUAUGUGGUCUAAACAAACAAUUCGCAUCUCUACGUAAUUAUUGUUCAUGAAAUCAAUGAAUUAGUGACUAAUUAAUCUAAGUAUUAAGAUUAGAAGCAAAAAACAAUUCACAAAAUCAAUUGAAGAUUUAAAACUUUUUAAUUAAAAUUAAAGUUCAAAACUAGAUUACAAUCAUUCAUCCUAACUAAAUACUUAGUUCCUGUUUGUUUUUCAUUUUUAUAGUAAGAAUGCAUUUUGGAAUAAUAGUUGAUGGAGGAUGUGUGAUUAAAAAUUAAGGAAAAUUUUUUUAUUUACGUGUAAUAUUAUUUUAUUGAAAAAUUGGUGGUUGAAAAGAAGAGAGAGAGAAAUAUAUUUUGGAAAAAAUGAGUAUCAAACAAGGGCUUAAUUGAAAAAUAUAUUUUGGAAAAAAUGGGUAUCAAGCAAGGGUUUAAUUACACAUCAUGUAAUAAGAAUAAAAAUAUAAGAAUGAAUUAAAGUACAUUAUUAAAGAAAAACGAGAAAAAGAUGAAGAUCUUGCACCAAGAUUAUGCCUCUUCUUGUAAAAUCCUUGAAACCAUAGUUUUUUUAGUUUUUAAUUAAAAUUAAAGUUCAAAACUAGGUUGCAAGUAUUCAUCCUAACUAAAUACUUAAUUACACAUCAAGGAAGAGAAUAAAAAUACAAGAAUGAAUUAAAGUACAUCACCGGGUAUUAAAGAAAAACAAGAAAAAGAUAAAGAUCUUCCAUCAAGAUUACGCUUCUUCUUGUAAAAUCCUUGAAACCCUAGUUCUUUGAUUGAUUUUUUGACAUUUUUUCUCCUUUUAGCUUGAAUAAUAUAUGUACAAUGAUCCCCAAGCCUUGCCUUGAAUAUAUGUGUGUGUGUGUAAUAAAACUCCGCAAGCCCCCCUGAAUUGUUGGUAUGUAUUUAUAGAAACAAAUUAUGCUAAAUCCUUGUUCAACUUGAAUUCCACCAAAGAGUUUAAAUUGGUUUCUACUAAAGAGUUUAAAAAAUAAAAGGAAAUAAAUUCAUUUUUCAAUUGAACUUCCUUUUUUCUUGUAACUUUAUUCAUCCAUCUUCUUUUAUUUUGCAAUUAAAUCAUCUUUAUUCAAAAAUCAUAAUAGUUGAUUCGAGACAAGUUUCAAAAUUUACAAUUUAAUCCUCAAACUUUUCAAGUGUUGAAUUUAAAUCCCGAAACUUAUGAAUUUUUUUUUAUCGAAUACUUCAAUAAUACUUCCAAUUGAUCUCUUGUAAUUCGAUUAAUCUUCAAUUUCUUUAAAUUGACUUCAAUUAAGCUCCAAAUAGCCUCUUUUCAUAUAAAUUGUAUUGUAUGAAGUUGGAAUUAACAUGAUUUAUAUAAAAUAAGUAGAUACUCACUCAAUUUAUAUAUCAUUGAAUAAGAAUAGAAGCCCGAAUAAACACAUAAAAUGCACUUAUUAGAUAUCUCCAAACUUAAACUCUUAUUCGUCCCGAGCAAGACUAUCUACUAAGAUACAAAAAUAAUAAUAAUAAUAAUAAAUAAAUAAAUAAUCUAAAUGUAUUAGAUAACUUUGUUGAACUCACGUUAAGUAUUGAAAUCGUUUGAUACUUUACAAAAAGUAUAUACGUAAUACAACUAAAACUAAUUCUUUACGUGCUAAAAAUUAUUUCCAUAUGUAUUGAAAUUACGAGAACCAUUUUGAAUAAAAUUUACUUGUUCAUCUAAAGAAGUAAGCAUCCAGCAAUUUUCGACAGCGUGAUUUCUCCUACAAUUCUUACAUGUUGAACUAACCAUCAUUGCAUUUGCUCCAUGUGUUUGCAAUUUUAGAAGUAACUCUACCUGCUUUGUUAAAGCAGCAAUCUAUGCAUUAGCAGAUGUUGUGCUGUCUAGUUCAUAUAUUCCAGCUGCUUUCGGUGGUACCACACUUUCUUAUGCCAAUAUUGAUGGGACAUUUGUAAUGAGUAUAAUGUCAAAGUCUUGUCAGUUUAAGUUGUAGGAUACUGCGCCCUGCUGAAGAGUAAAUGCGCGACAGGCUAGUGAGUUUAAAUUAAUGACUACAAUGGAUACUUUGGUUCAAGAGAUGAAGCCAGCAUAUAUUUAUCCAAUGGGACACUAUUUCAUAUGUAACACUAUAAAUACCCAUUCCUUGUAUCGUUUGAAGGCUAAUGCAACUCAAUACACUUAAAGCUACAUUGUGUCUUCUCUCAUUUACUCUCAUUUGUUGGAGUUUAUAUUAUCUUGCUUUAGUCUAGUUGUUGGUAAUUGAUUAUUAUUAUGCAAUCGCCCCUAAAUAUAUUGUCGGUGUCUGAACAUUAUUAUCUCGUGUUAUAGAGCAUCUCUCACGUCUAUUACAAUAAUCUCUCCAAUCAAAAUGUGUUGAAAUUUGUUUGCGUGGAUGCAAGUGAACCCGACAUCUGUUGUCUAUGUUACCACUUACUAUUAUAAAAAACGAGGUCAACAAUUAUAACUUUAUCUCAUAUUUUCAAUUGAAGUCCUCUUAAUUUUUUUUAAGAGGCAACGAACCUACAAAAUUAAUCAAACUGCAAUAGAUGAGAAAUCAUUAAUUUUUGGCCUGACAAAUUAUACUUUCUUUAGCUAUAAAUAAAUGAUAAUUGAUUUAAAUUCUUUAACCUAUAUUUUUUUUAAGUCUAAUCUUUAUGUUUUCCCCUUUUUAUUAAAAAAAGAAAAAGAAAAAAAGUAUUACUCAGAGUAUAAGUAAUAAGAUUUAGACCAAAAACAAUAUUAUAACAAUUCUCGAUUACCAAAUGUCACACACACACACACACACACACUAGUCUUCGUCUCGUGCAUUGCAUGAAUUUUGUAUUUAUUUUGUUGUUAUUAGUGUAGAAAUUGUAGAUUUUGCAAAUAGUAUUUGCUAAAAAACAUUUUGCUGUAACAAAUAACUAUUUAAAUCACAUUAUUUUUCUUUAUGCUACCUUGAUUAUAGUUUGAGUAGCUUCGACUGGUUUGAGUCUAGCAGAUUCACCGGUCUUUAAUUCUAACUUCGCCCUUUCCUCAUACUGGUGAUACCUUUGUGGCUUAGCAUUCUACUUUACUGAACCCAAACUCGACCGCUCUUAUUCCUUUUUCAUUAAUGAAAUUUCCAUCACACUUUUGUCCUAAUAAAUUAUCUGUUUAACUUUCUAUAUUUAUUCCCACGAAGCAUAUAAUAACGCAAAUAGAUUUAGCACUUUACAGUUUUGAAGGAAAAUCUCCCCAUUUCUACUGCAUUAUCAACAGACAAAACAUAAAUUCCAACUUCAAUCGAGAAACGGAAAUUUAUGUACAAUUAGUUCAGCAGUCAAUCGGAAGACAUAAUCACCAAUGGUUCGCAACUUCGAUGAGCUCCGAUUGAAAACGGCAAAGAAGACAAACAUCAACAACCCUCCUUUUGAAGUAACACCACCAAAAUCACUAACCUUCAUCUUUUUAAAAAGUUCAUAUAUCCCGUUAUAUCCCUGACAUUGAACAACAUGUCAUUGGCCAAGCCAUCUUGGUGGUUGUGCUGCUUUAGCAACUUUGAAGAUAAUGCAAAUGACUAAACAUGUGGUGGAGUAUUGUAAAGGAGUGAGUAGCCUUACUUCCACGAUCCACUGAGCCUAAGCCCUUUGUCACUCCAAAUAGUUAGGUCUCAACUAAAAUUACUUACUUCAGGCAGCAUUGCCUACUCCAUCGCACCAUGUUAACAAAAUUGUAAGUUUCAACUUAAAGGUCCACUUUAAUACUUAAGACAGAAAAUUGGAUCAAAUUAAUAGCACCAUCUAACAAAAUUACAAGUUUUAACUAAAAUGGGUACUAUAAUACUUUAUACAAUAGAAAAUAGGAUCAAAAUUAAGGUUACGUUUUUGAAUGAAGGUUUUCUGGAAUUUUUUGAAUCCAAGAUCCAAAAAACCAGCGAAAUUUCUAUGACACAAUUGAAUUUCUAAAAUCUUCAUGACGACUAAUUUCAAGCUUCAAUACAACAACCAAUUUAUUGCUUCUGACACCAAAGAAAUUUCGAUAAACUAUGCAUCAACACAUCCCGUUAAAAAAAUGCAGUAAUUCAAUAGAGGAGAAGAAUACAUCUAAAUUAAAAUUUUAGCAAAUUCAAACACUCUCAAAGUGAGAAAUUACCAAUAAUGAAGAGAAGUGUGGUGAACAAGACAACUCUAAUUGCGGCAUAAAGCUGAAUUGGUGGAACUUGCUAAAUAAAUUCUUGGGAUUCGUUCAACCGUUUAUGCAUUUGAAUUUUCAAUUCCUCAAUUUUCACCUUAUCCAUUUUGGUCAGAAACCUUGAAAAACAAAAAUUGGAACUUCAGAAUUUGAAAAAAGUAAACGAAGGGGACAAAGGUAAAACAACGUCGAUUUACGAGAUCGGAACAGGCUAUUCUUGCCGGAGAAAUUGUACUUGGAUUUCUCGAAAUGAAUUUGACAGGAAAUGGAUCUAUAUCUCAUUUAUAUUUGUCCACAGGUCUCAAACUUCCUAAAAUUAAUGUACUCCUCUCCUUUAGGAAGGAGCUUAAAGAUAUGUGCCUUUCAUCUCUGUUUUAUUCCUUCUCUCUUCUCAAAGCACUAAUAUAAGUUCAAUCUCAUUUUUUUCUCAGCAAAGUUUGACGGAAAAGUCCAAGUGAAUGACAUUAUCAUCAAAGCUGCUGCUAUUGUAUUAAGAAAUGUACCAGAAGCAAAUGGUAAGAUGCAUUGUUUUCGACAUACUGGACCAAAUAUUGAUCAACUGUAAAAUGCUUGGCCACAUGAAACUUACUAUAUUUAGUUGUGUUUUAAUAUAUUUUCUGUGGUGAGACAUUCUCAUAAUGGAAAAGCAUAAAACAAGAUAACAAAUAUUCAGUGAAGCUGAUAGCUCCAAUCAAAAUCACUUUUCAAACAGGAAGUGAACACAACACGGCAAAAAAAUGCGUCAUGAAAAAUAAAAUGGAGGGAGACAGAGCUUACUUGUAGUUGUGGCUGAGAUGUUCAAACACUAUACUCAGAGCUUCCAUAAAUGCCACAGAAAGUGUAAACGUCGAUGCAACAUGCGAAGGAUAAACUUCCUAUAAUCCAAAUGACAAAGGAAACCGAAUUGCAGUGAAGAUCAUAUUUUGACAAGUGUGAUACUGAUAAACUCAGAAAUGGUAUAACAAAGUCAAAUUAGAUCUCAACUUCAAUGUGUAGUGAAGAUCAAAACAUUAGUAACUACAUGCUUUUCUUCUCUUCUAUUUUGUUUUCUCCCUCUACAUGUAAGAAAAGGGAAAGGAAGUGAAUGAUGAUCCUGCCAUUGAAGUAAAAUAGCAUAACAAAAAUGUUGAAUUAAAUAAAUAUGUUUUCUAUUGGAUAAAAUUUUCUCCCUCUACAUGUAAGAAAAGGGAAAGGAAGUGAAUGAUGAUCCUGCCAUUGAAGUAAAAUAGCAUAACAAAAAUGUUGAAUUAAAUAAAUAAGUUCUCUAUUGGAUAAAAUUUGUUCAUAGGGACCAAAGGAGGGAGGAAUCUUAAGCAUCAAAAGUCAUAAAAUAGACGUGCAGUUUAGAAUAAUGCUAUUUGCAGUCGCUCAUUGCGACAGUCGCCCUAUGUGGCAUACACAUGGCAGGUGAUUAUUUGAUACAUUAAUGAAUAAAAAAACUACCACAUUAUUUGCUUUCCCCCAUGACCCCAACUUGGAUCAACACCAGAAAACUCAGUUUCAACUCCUUUUUUAACCUUCAGAAUUUCCUCAGAGAUGUUGACCACCUACAAAAGAUCAGCCAUAUCAGACUCCAGCAAAUCAAUUAAUGGCACUGUCAAAGAAUGCAUACGAUAGUCAAUAAAUUCCGAAGAUACUGAAAAACACAAUAUAACUACAUGCACACGCAAAAGGUUGUAUAAAAUAAAAGUGGCAGGUCUAAGGGAUGCUGUAUGGGACAGUUGAAAGGAUUACUCAAUGAAAGAACAAUGUAACUACAACAAAAUGCAUCAUUCUCCAUCCCUGAAGAAAAAUGACCCAUGAGCAAAUAAGAAUAAAAGAAUUGGCCUCAACUAAUGCCUAGCGGUAUAUGUAGGAACAAAUUACACGGACAUAGUAAUAAAUAAUUAAAAGGGAGUUUCUUUCAUAAAAUCAACGUGUUAAAGAUAAUAUUUAUAUACUAUAUCAAGAGAGAGGUCUUAAAAUUCACAAUAUAAGAAAAAUGAAAGCCAAAAAUAGCUGAUUCAAUAAAAGGUAAGAAUAAAAAAGACGAAAAGAAAACAUACAAAAUCAUGAGAUUUUUCGGAAUAAACGAGAACCAGAUUGACUUGACAGGGCCUUUCCCUCCAUAAGCCGAUUCUAAUGCAUCUUUUGCCUGCAACACUACCUCCAUCCGCUACGUACAAAAAAUUAUAAUGUAUCAAAUGGAUAGUCUAGAACUUGAAUACAUAAUUAGCAAUUUUAGCCUCAUUGCCCAUGUUAUUCCAGAGCCAAUCUUAAAUUUAGAUUAAGUUCAUAGCUUAAAAGGCAUUACGUGGCUCGAGAUCUUAUUCAACGAGCCAAAAAACAAAUUACAGUAAAAUCAGCUAAACAAUUACCUCUCUAGCCGUAUCAGUAUUAUCCAAGGAAAAACUUAUAGUUUCUUUAAUAUGGGUUCUUUCUAAAGUCAACACAUGUAGCACGUCCUCAAAUUCAUCUCUUUGGUCAUCAAUCAAUGUUCACUCCACUUAUACUCGUUGCAAAAAGCAUCGAAUGCAAUUCUUAUAAUGAACAUGCCGAAUUAUGCAUAAUAAGCAAUCAUUCAAGAUAAAAUAUAGGACCAUACUCCAAUGAAAAGCAUACAAACUGGAAAAGUACUUUACAACCCGAUAAGACAUCAAAAAGAGAACUUGAACCAGGAGGAACAUGCAUAAUAUGAUUGCUAUCAUUAGUUUCCUAAUGAGUUCCUAUAUUUUUGCUUUAUUAGAACUUGUAAAACAUGUCCAGCUUCUAGGUGUAAAUCAUUUAUAGAUAGCAGAACUAAGAUGGUAUACAUAGAAUAAUAUUUAAUCAUUACGUCUAGACUUAAGGUUCUAUAACUGUUGCAAAUUUACUUUCAUUUCUACCAUUCCAUUGGAGGAUUAAUGCUUAUAAAAUAACACAUAUUUUAUACAUUACACUCUUUAAAACAGGAUCUUCUUUACUAAAGUAUUUGUACUAUAGUUAAAACAACCCCAAAAAUCCUUAAAAGUUUUAAGCUAUGAAAAAACUCGCCCAAAAAAUCGAUAGCAGUAAAAGUGGCUGAAAAGGGGUAAUAUUAACAAGCUCAUACACAUCAGUAAGCCAAGGUAUAGGCCUUACACAUGGCUGUCAAUAAGCGAACUUUGAGGCUUUUAGUUGAAGCUUUGCAUAAGGUGGAGCUGAAUAAGUAAGCCUUACAUGCUUUUGGAAACACUGAUAAAUAUUGUCUACUUUCCCUCCUACAUGUUGGUCUACAAGUACUAUGAUCCAAUUUAUUUGAAGAUGGGAAAAUUGGUAUUCAUGAUCAAGCUUGCGUCAGACAGGAAUAGAAAACCAAGUAAGCUCACUUCAAUUUAAUAAUUCACAUAAAUUACAUAAUGACAAGAAACCAAGUCAUGUGUGAAAGCUAGUGCUGCCUAAUAAAAAAAUCUAGAAUGUUACUGUGAGCAAAAGGUAAGGAUUGUCAAUAAUCACCACCAUCACAAGUAUAAUGGAUAAUCAUACAUUGUAAGACUUGGCAUUAAGGGUGGUUUAUCAAAUCUUCCUAUUGGAUUCAUGGCAUAUUGCAGUUAAAUAAAACACGAUUGAUUUCAUAACUGCACUUAUGUCUCGUAUUGUCUUACACAUCACACUGAUGGGAAGGUAGCAUAUCAACUCACUGUUUAACCUCAUUACAGAAAGUUCCAACAAGCAUCAUAUCUAUCCACAAAAACAAAUAAUUUUACCACGUUCACCCCUCAGAAACUGAAUAAAAAACAAUCCUUGUACUUGCUCAUUCUGGCUGAUAUACAAAAGUUAGCAAAUGCCAUGGCUAAAAUACUCAUUCCAGUAUAUGAAAAACCGAACUUCAAGAGCUCAAAUUCAUACUGGACCAUAACUACAUUCCACUCUUAAAACUCAGCCUUCGACAACAACAGAUAUCAUGAAGCAGAUCUUAACAUCUUUCUCUAUAAUUUAUCAUAACAAUUAAGUGUACCAUUUAAUAUGACCAUGUUAAUUCGUUUUGAGCAGAAAUCAUGAUCGAUUAUAAUCGAAAUAAAAUCCAAAUUAGUCUGUAUUGCUAUAAUUAGGGCAUAAACUUCAAAUCAAUACGAGUAAAGAGUGUACCAGAUCAUGAAGCAUAGGCACUUAAAAUUAUACAAAUGUAGAAUCAAAAUUCACAAGCCUUUUAAGAUAAAAUGAAGGCCCAUUAAGAAUAAAGUGGAAUUAAUUUACCUUAAAUAGAAAAAUCCUCUUCUGUGAGCAUAAUUAAAAGGCCUGACAGCAAAUGAACACGAAAAUUCGCGAUUCCACGAACUUAAAUUGCACUUACUAAACUGCAGUUGACAAUACUUAUGAGAUGAAUUUAAUGAAAACCCGAAUGUUACACACCUCAACCAAAAUUCAGAACAAAGUAUUGCAUCUAGAUCUCAAAUGUUGAAGUUUGUGAAAGAAGAAAGCUCAAAAAAUAAUAACAAACACAUAGAUUUAAAACUGUAAACAAAAAUCAACAACUCUUAAAAUUUCAAACCUUUCCUAUAAUUUGCAGGGGUAUUAUUACAAAUGACCUGCUACUAUUCAUUUUUGAUAAAAUGUCUAUUAUACCCUUAAUGAAAUAAUUUAUCAUAUAUUGCACAAGAUAUCCUUAAUUUAUUGGGAUAGUUUUAAAUUCCUCUAUUUCUCUCAUUUCGAGUUUUAAUAUAUAAUUUCAUUCUUUGAUCUAAUAAAUUAGCAUAAUCUGUAAUAUAAUUGCCAUGUAAUUUACUAAAAUUAUCAAAUUUCUUCGAUAAUAUAUCCAUAAUCUCUAAUUGAGAAUAAAUAUUUUCUAUUUUUUCCAUUAAUCUAUCUAACAGAUUAUCUAAUCCUUUAAUUGUAUAACCUGGCAUUAUUCAAAUAAUUCCUUGCAAACUUUAUGAAUAAUAACAUAUUUAGAUAAGUUUUUUGCAAACAUGAACAAUAAUAAUCCCUACAAUUCUUUCAAGAUAUUAGAAGAAUUCUUUCUAAAUUUAACAAAGACAAUAAUUUUACCUUACUUUUGAUCUUAAAUCUGUAUUCUUAGAACCGAGUGACCUUCAGGCUAUGAAUCUGCAAACUGCUCCCUUAAACGGCCUCUUGCCUCAAUGGGAAUUCUGCUAUUUCAGCUUCUUGCCCUCACUGUAUCUUUUCUUAGAAUUAAGAAUAAAGAUCUUAAGUAAAGAAAAUUCUCUCUUUGUUAAAGUAAGAAAGAGAUUAUCUUCUUCAAUCUAUCAAGAAUCUAUGGGAUAGUAAGUUUAGAAACUCAUAUCUUUCUGAUAUCAAAAGAUUGAGAUUUUAUUUCUAUAAUGAUUUAUACAAGAUUUAUAUUGUAUACAAGGGGUUUCCAGAAAAACUGGUUUUGGAAAAAGCUUAAGGAAAGAGAAUGGUUUCUAACUCGAGAUACCCCAUUCUUUCCGAAAGACCUCUAUUUAUACAUGACUCAAACUUACUAUUAUUGGUCUAUUACAUCAUUGCAUACAUCAGAAAUUUGAAAAAAGGCUCACAUGCCUCUCUAUUCUUUUCCUCCUGGGGUCUACAUUUUCACAUGCAUUCUUUGAAUUUUCAUCAAAGGGACCUCCUUUCUUCUAUAAUUGCCUUAUCAUCUUUGACUUCAUAUGCAGCUGGCUAGAUGCUUUUCUAUUAUUGCUCCUUCAUCUUUGGCUUUAUUUGCAGCUGGCUAGAUGCUUUGGUAGUGGUAGGUCCUUUUCCAUUUAUCAAUCCUUCAAUUUUGUCUACAUGUGGGGCACUCCCUCAAUCUGCAUGAUUCUUGGAUUGUUGUUGGACUUCCACUAAUUUGAUGGGUAUCAAAUUUUAAGAUAUAUUCCUUCAAAAUUGUAGAUUUUUCUUUUCCAUUGUUUGUAAGGAGGGUCCAUCCUUCAUAUUGGCACAAGCAUCUGAAUUUUUUAUCAUAUAAGUUCUUUGCAAUGUUGUAAAGAACUUUCAUCCCCAAAACUCUCCGGGAUUUUAUCCAUGAUCUAUUGAUUUUUGGCAAUGGUUUAUUAUUUCGGCCAACUUCAAUCUGGAAAUCUCGGCCAACAUAUCCAAUUGUAAUGAUAUGUUCAGCAGGAUAAUAUAUCCUUCCAUCAACUUCAGGACUUAUUGAAUAAAAUUUGAUAUAAAUCGAUCUUCCUUGGGCAAAUUUUGAAACUUCUGCCCUGAAUAUAUCAUCAAAUUUUUCAAUUUCUUUUAAAUCUUUUCCUGGAUAAAUCAAAUCCAGAAAUCCAUAAUCUGCUGCCAUUUUGACCAUGAAAGGGUCUGCAUCUUUGGUAAUUAUUAAUCUUGGAUAAACAUGAUCCCCUGAUGAAAUAAAAUAAGAUUCAUUUUCUUCCAAUUCAUAAACAAUUUUGGCAAAUGAUCUAUAUUCUUCUUCUUUUGAUGACAAAGGGGUAUCAUCAUCUUCAUCAGUUUUGAUUCUUAUAACUCUUGUAUGCUCAUCACUAUUUUUUAUAGUCACCUUCCGGGGACUUGAUAUGUCUCUUUUGAUAUUGCUGGGUCCACUGCUGCUUCCUGGCUGUGUACCUGUUUGUAUUUUUGAGAUUGUAUCAAUUGGCAUUUCCUGUUUGGUAUCUAAUGACUCGAAUUGUGAAGUAAUAUCAACAAUUCUGUNNNNNNNNNNNNNNNNNNNNNNNNNNNNNNNNNNNNNNNNNNNNNNNNNNNNNNNNNNNNNNNNNNNNNNNNNNNNNNNNNNNNNNNNNNNNNNNNNNNNNNNNNNNNNNNNNNNNNNNNNNNNNNNNNNNNNNNNNNNNNNNNNNNNNNNNNNNNNNNNNNNNNNNNNNNNNNNNNNNNNNNNNNNNNNNNNNNNNNNNNNNNNNNNNNNNNNNNNNNNNNNNNNNNNNNNNNNNNNNNNNNNNNNNNNNNNNNNNNNNNNNNNNNNNNNNNNNNNNNNNNNNNNNNNNNNNNNNNNNNNNNNNNNNNNNNNNNNNNNNNNNNNNNNNNNNNNNNNNNNNNNNNNNNNNNNNNNNNNNNNNNNNNNNNNNNNNNNNNNNNNNNNNNNNNNNNNNNNNNNNNNNNNNNNNNNNNNNNNNNNNNNNNNNNNNNNNNNNNNNNNNNNNNNNNNNNNNNNNNNNNNNNNNNNNNNNNNNNNNNNNNNNNNNNNNNNNNNNNNNNNNNNNNNNNNNNNNNNNNNNNNNNNNNNNNNNNNNNNNNNNNNNNNNNNNNNNNNNNNNNNNNNNNNNNNNNNNNNNNNNNNNNNNNNNNNNNNNNNNNNNNNNNNNNNNNNNNNNNNNNNNNNNNNNNNNNNNNNNNNNNNNNNNNNNNNNNNNNNNNNNNNNNNNNNNNNNNNNNNNNNNNNNNNNNNNNNNNNNNNNNNNNNNNNNNNNNNNNNNNNNNNNNNNNNNNNNNNNNNNNNNNNNNNNNNNNNNNNNNNNNNNNNNNNNNNNNNNNNNNNNNNNNNNNNNNNNNNNNNNNNNNNNNNNNNNNNNNNNNNNNNNNNNNNNNNNNNNNNNNNNNNNNNNNNNNNNNNNNNNNNNNNNNNNNNNNNNNNNNNNNNNNNNNNNNNNNNNNNNNNNNNNNNNNNNNNNNNNNNNNNNNNNNNNNNNNNNNNNNNNNNNNNNNNNNNNNNNNNNNNNNNNNNNNNNNNNNNNNNNNNNNNNNNNNNNNNNNNNNNNNNNNNNNNNNNNNNNNNNNNNNNNNNNNNNNNNNNNNNNNNNNNNNNNNNNNNNNNNNNNNNNNNNNNNNNNNNNNNNNNNNNNNNNNNNNNNNNNNNNNNNNNNNNNNNNNNNNNNNNNNNNNNNNNNNNNNNNNNNNNNNNNNNNNNNNNNNNNNNNNNNNNNNNNNNNNNNNNNNNNNNNNNNNNNNNNNNNNNNNNNNNNNNNNNNNNNNNNNNNNNNNNNNNNNNNNNNNNNNNNNNNNNNNNNNNNNNNNNNNNNNNNNNNNNNNNNNNNNNNNNNNNNNNNNNNNNNNNNNNNNNNNNNNNNNNNNNNNNNNNNNNNNNNNNNNNNNNNNNNNNNNNNNNNNNNNNNNNNNNNNNNNNNNNNNNNNNNNNNNNNNNNNNNNNNNNNNNNNNNNNNNNNNNNNNNNNNNNNNNNNNNNNNNNNNNNNNNNNNNNNNNNNNNNNNNNNNNNNNNNNNNNNNNNNNNNNNNNNNNNNNNNNNNNNNNNNNNNNNNNNNNNNNNNNNNNNNNNNNNNNNNNNNNNNNNNNNNNNNNNNNNNNNNNNNNNNNNNNNNNNNNNNNNNNNNNNNNNNNNNNNNNNNNNNNNNNNNNNNNNNNNNNNNNNNNNNNNNNNNNNNNNNNNNNNNNNNNNNNNNNNNNNNNNNNNNNNNNNNNNNNNNNNNNNNNNNNNNNNNNNNNNNNNNNNNNNNNNNNNNNNNNNNNNNNNNNNNNNNNNNNNNNNNNNNNNNNNNNNNNNNNNNNNNNNNNNNNNNNNNNNNNNNNNNNNNNNNNNNNNNNNNNNNNNNNNNNNNNNNNNNNNNNNNNNNNNNNNNNNNNNNNNNNNNNNNNNNNNNNNNNNNNNNNNNNNNNNNNNNNNNNNNNNNNNNNNNNNNNNNNNNNNNNNNNNNNNNNNNNNNNNNNNNNNNNNNNNNNNNNNNNNNNNNNNNNNNNNNNNNNNNNNNNNNNNNNNNNNNNNNNNNNNNNNNNNNNNNNNNNNNNNNNNNNNNNNNNNNNNNNNNNNNNNNNNNNNNNNNNNNNNNNNNNNNNNNNNNNNNNNNNNNNNNNNNNNNNNNNNNNNNNNNNNNNNNNNNNNNNNNNNNNNNNNNNNNNNNNNNNNNNNNNNNNNNNNNNNNNNNNNNNNNNNNNNNNNNNNNNNNNNNNNNNNNNNNNNNNNNNNNNNNNNNNNNNNNNNNNNNNNNNNNNNNNNNNNNNNNNNNNNNNNNNNNNNNNNNNNNNNNNNNNNNNNNNNNNNNNNNNNNNNNNNNNNNNNNNNNNNNNNNNNNNNNNNNNNNNNNNNNNNNNNNNNNNNNNNNNNNNNNNNNNNNNNNNNNNNNNNNNNNNNNNNNNNNNNNNNNNNNNNNNNNNNNNNNNNNNNNNNNNNNNNNNNNNNNNNNNNNNNNNNNNNNNNNNNNNNNNNNNNNNNNNNNNNNNNNNNNNNNNNNNNNNNNNNNNNNNNNNNNNNNNNNNNNNNNNNNNNNNNNNNNNNNNNNNNNNNNNNNNNNNNNNNNNNNNNNNNNNNNNNNNNNNNNNNNNNNNNNNNNNNNNNNNNNNNNNNNNNNNNNNNNNNNNNNNNNNNNNNNNNNNNNNNNNNNNNNNNNNNNNNNNNNNNNNNNNNNNNNNNNNNNNNNNNNNNNNNNNNNNNNNNNNNNNNNNNNNNNNNNNNNNNNNNNNNNNNNNNNNNNNNNNNNNNNNNNNNNNNNNNNNNNNNNNNNNNNNNNNNNNNNNNNNNNNNNNNNNNNNNNNNNNNNNNNNNNNNNNNNNNNNNNNNNNNNNNNNNNNNNNNNNNNNNNNNNNNNNNNNNNNNNNNNNNNNNNNNNNNNNNNNNNNNNNNNNNNNNNNNNNNNNNNNNNNNNNNNNNNNNNNNNNNNNNNNNNNNNNNNNNNNNNNNNNNNNNNNNNNNNNNNNNNNNNNNNNNNNNNNNNNNNNNNNNNNNNNNNNNNNNNNNNNNNNNNNNNNNNNNNNNNNNNNNNNNNNNNNNNNNNNNNNNNNNNNNNNNNNNNNNNNNNNNNNNNNNNNNNNNNNNNNNNNNNNNNNNNNNNNNNNNNNNNNNNNNNNNNNNNNNNNNNNNNNNNNNNNNNNNNNNNNNNNNNNNNNNNNNNNNNNNNNNNNNNNNNNNNNNNNNNNNNNNNNNNNNNNNNNNNNNNNNNNNNNNNNNNNNNNNNNNNNNNNNNNNNNNNNNNNNNNNNNNNNNNNNNNNNNNNNNNNNNNNNNNNNNNNNNNNNNNNNNNNNNNNNNNNNNNNNNNNNNNNNNNNNNNNNNNNNNNNNNNNNNNNNNNNNNNNNNNNNNNNNNNNNNNNNNNNNNNNNNNNNNNNNNNNNNNNNNNNNNNNNNNNNNNNNNNNNNNNNNNNNNNNNNNNNNNNNNNNNNNNNNNNNNNNNNNNNNNNNNNNNNNNNNNNNNNNNNNNNNNNNNNNNNNNNNNNNNNNNNNNNNNNNNNNNNNNNNNNNNNNNNNNNNNNNNNNNNNNNNNNNNNNNNNNNNNNNNNNNNNNNNNNNNNNNNNNNNNNNNNNNNNNNNNNNNNNNNNNNNNNNNNNNNNNNNNNNNNNNNNNNNNNNNNNNNNNNNNNNNNNNNNNNNNNNNNNNNNNNNNNNNNNNNNNNNNNNNNNNNNNNNNNNNNNNNNNNNNNNNNNNNNNNNNNNNNNNNNNNNNNNNNNNNNNNNNNNNNNNNNNNNNNNNNNNNNNNNNNNNNNNNNNNNNNNNNNNNNNNNNNNNNNNNNNNNNNNNNNNNNNNNNNNNNNNNNNNNNNNNNNNNNNNNNNNNNNNNNNNNNNNNNNNNNNNNNNNNNNNNNNNNNNNNNNNNNNNNNNNNNNNNNNNNNNNNNNNNNNNNNNNNNNNNNNNNNNNNNNNNNNNNNNNNNNNNNNNNNNNNNNNNNNNNNNNNNNNNNNNNNNNNNNNNNNNNNNNNNNNNNNNNNNNNNNNNNNNNNNNNNNNNNNNNNNNNNNNNNNNNNNNNNNNNNNNNNNNNNNNNNNNNNNNNNNNNNNNNNNNNNNNNNNNNNNNNNNNNNNNNNNNNNNNNNNNNNNNNNNNNNNNNNNNNNNNNNNNNNNNNNNNNNNNNNNNNNNNNNNNNNNNNNNNNNNNNNNNNNNNNNNNNNNNNNNNNNNNNNNNNNNNNNNNNNNNNNNNNNNNNNNNNNNNNNNNNNNNNNNNNNNNNNNNNNNNNNNNNNNNNNNNNNNNNNNNNNNNNNNNNNNNNNNNNNNNNNNNNNNNNNNNNNNNNNNNNNNNNNNNNNNNNNNNNNNNNNNNNNNNNNNNNNNNNNNNNNNNNNNNNNNNNNNNNNNNNNNNNNNNNNNNNNNNNNNNNNNNNNNNNNNNNNNNNNNNNNNNNNNNNNNNNNNNNNNNNNNNNNNNNNNNNNNNNNNNNNNNNNNNNNNNNNNNNNNNNNNNNNNNNNNNNNNNNNNNNNNNNNNNNNNNNNNNNNNNNNNNNNNNNNNNNNNNNNNNNNNNNNNNNNNNNNNNNNNNNNNNNNNNNNNNNNNNNNNNNNNNNNNNNNNNNNNNNNNNNNNNNNNNNNNNNNNNNNNNNNNNNNNNNNNNNNNNNNNNNNNNNNNNNNNNNNNNNNNNNNNNNNNNNNNNNNNNNNNNNNNNNNNNNNNNNNNNNNNNNNNNNNNNNNNNNNNNNNNNNNNNNNNNNNNNNNNNNNNNNNNNNNNNNNNNNNNNNNNNNAAAAACUGAUCUUAGUGUACUAUCAUAUCAAUAGUUAAUUAUGUUAGUUGUCAUUGAAAACUUCCUAAAACCCUAAACAUUGAACAUAUUAACCCUAUCAAAUAUUACUAGCUGAAGAAUGUAUCAAUUUUGUGCUGAUUACUUGCAGGCAUAAACUUGCUAUAUUGUUACCUGUAUUUUUUUACAUGGGAAUAUCCGAUUAAUAUGUAGUAGUUCCCACUUUUGACAAGGUUGUUCUUACAUGUUGCUAAUGAUUAAUGAUUUAUGUUGUACAAAAAGGUAUUUUUCAAUUAUGUGAAUACAAUGGAUUACAAUGAUUACAACAGUGAACAUAGAGAGUAAAACUAUUCUUGGAGAAAAAGAAUGUUUUAUGGAAAUAAACUACAAUAAGCCUAAUUCCAGUGAUAGAUAGCUCAAUUAAAAACUAUAGACGUGUUUCCAGCGUAGGCGUGUCUGUGUUAGACACGUGUCAAAAACACAACCCAUUUCUGACGUGUGUUGGAAAUGCAACCUGGCGUAUUCCCUUAUUGAGCUCCAAUUUUUGCCUCCUUGCCCUUAUUAUAGUUGUAAUAUGUUUAUUAUUUUUACAAGUCCAAUUUUGGUACAAAUUCAGGCUGUGCUUCAUAACCUUUUACUCAACGUGGUUAUGAGUUCUCAACCUUAGAAAUGAGGUUUUGGAUCCCCAAUCUAUUUAAACAUGUGAAUUUAAUUCACCACGUCAUGAAAUCAUCAAUUUGGAUGUUAAAACUGCAUAUGACUUUCAAUUAAUUUGAAAUAAAUGUUAAAUAGUUUGAUGGUUUUGUCCAUUAACUAUGAAUCAUGAAAGUUUUAUGGCAGUGAAUAUAUGAUAAUGUAUUCAUAGAAAAAAUGUAAACACAUGUAACUAAACCUGAAUCUUUUUUUCAUUUCUCAAGAAACAACGUACAAGUUUCUUGAAUUUAUUUGACUUUUAUUCCACAAACACACACACAGUUUGUUCAAGAUUUUAUCUCUCCGUUUAGGUUCCACUACAAAGUUAGGGUUCCAUCAGAUCUGUAAAGUUUGCAACCUUUCUUUGCUCUGCAACAGCUUGUGCACAUCGGAUGAAGCUUGUUUAGGCACUCUAAUGUGCAAACUUUGGUUUUGGCUUCAGCAUAUUCCACAUUAUUUCCCCAGAAAAACAAGCCUGUUACAGAAAUCACCAGCAAAAUGAGAAGAGAGUAAUCAAGUAGAAAUACUUGAAGCUAAGGUUGAGUACGCCAUGCACCAGACCAUUCAGGUUGAGUGAAACCUCAACUCAAAACUAAUAUGACAUUAGUUAAAAGCAGAUCCAAAACAAUCCAAGUCGAUUUAUUUUCAAGGGUGAAAUAUACUUGAAUUUUUAUUUUCCCAAAAAAAAAAAAAAAAAAAAUAAUAAUAAUAAUAUAUAUGUAUAUUUAUUUAUAAAAAAUUAAUUUUAAAAUUUAUAUUUGAUAGAUUAUGUAAUUUGAAGCACAAUCUAAUAUAUUAAGAUUAAAAUCAUUUCAUGAUAAAAAUGAAAUGGUUAUAAAAACCCAUUUCUCAAAAAAUAAAUAUAAUUAUUCAUUUGUUAACAUAUUUGGUCUUCAUUUUUUAAAAUUUAUUUUUCUUCAAACAUAUUUUCAAUUAUAUAUAUAUGGAAUUCACACUUUUACUUUUGAAUUAACCCCCUCAAUAAAUUAUUAUUUAAACAGUUAGUAAACAUUUUGAUUGAUAUUAUUUUUUGAUCAACCAAAUGAUUACUAUAUACAUUUUAUGUAUAUAUAUAUAAAUAAUAUUUUUAUUUAAACUUACUUAUGUGCUAAAAAAUAAACUUUUUAAAGAUACAUGUUGAUAGCGUGAGAAAAUAAUGAAAGAGAUAGUUUGGAGAAAUAGAGAGACAUAGCUGUAACGUGUAAAAAUAGAGAAUGAGUAAAGAGGGCUAUGUGAUAUAAUCCUUCACGUCACGUAAAUUGAGGAAAAGUAACAAAGUCACAGCAUCAAACACGUAAAAUAAACGACGAUGUUUCUUUCUCUCCAUAAAAAAAAGAAGCUACAGUAUGACAAAAUGGAUGAAUCCACUGUUCCUUCUACAGUGCCUCAGGAUCGCCCUUUUUAUAUAAUAGUGAAAACUAAUCUAUGCUACGUGCGAUGCACGAGCUCUGAAUGAAUUAUGAUUUGAUUAGCGUAUGUAUUGAAUAUGUUUGAAAAUAUAUGGGAAGUUGGAAUUACUGUCAAGGAACUAAUCAGUUAUACGAGUCGAUCACUCGUCUUUCUUCCACAAAAUGUCAUUUUUCUAUAAAAAGUUGCAGAGUCAAUAAAAUCCAUUAAUAAUGAGAAUUCAAGUCAUAGUUAGUCAAAGAAAUACUUCACUGGACAGUAAAAGCAUUCCAAGCAAAAAAAUCUAGCACCAUAGUAGUACAUCCUUCAACAAAUUAUAGUAGAUAUAAAUGUAUUAUUGUACAGUAAAGAAUAAUUCAAGGUAAAGCAAAAAUUAGAACCUGAAAAUCCUGAAAUUCUUCAUAAACGGCUAUUUUCCUUAAUAGAAUGUUGAGUACUCCUUAAAACGCUGUUGUUCUACAACACUUAGUUGUCCAUUUGCGAUGAGGAAUUUGAGCAGUGUAACUAAAUUUCAAGGCACUGUAUUGUUAAACGAUGCUCUAAUAGAUAUUUCAUUAACUCAAACUUUGUAGAAUUCAAAAACUCCUUAACAUCACUCAAUACUACAUCUAGUUCUGUCCAAUAUUGAGAUUCAAUAUUUUCGAAAUCUAGAAGUUUAUCCUCUUUAUGUAUACUUCUAACAAUACUCGAAUUUUUCUUGUCCACUUUAGAAGAAGGGAGUGAAUAUUAUAAAAAUGAAGCUCUCCUUCAAAGGAAUCAGCUUCUUUUAGAAAAUCAGUCUUUUAUUACAUAGAAUAUUCUAAGCUGAUAUUGUUCACUAAAUAAACUAAUUGUUGAAUCUCAAGAAGAUUAGGCAAACUAGGGUCACAAAUAGGCAUAUCCUGGAAGAAGUUACAAAUUCACAUACAAACUAAUAAGUGAUAUCUUUAUUCUUAGACUGAAAAAAGUGUGUCGCCAGUACUUCGAGAGAAGUGUACUAUUAGAAAUUAAUAGAAGGUAAUAAUGUUAUCUAGAUUGUGUACAUAUCUAAAGUAUUUAACCCUAUGAGCAACAACUACUAAAAUAGUUGUGGGAACACAAUUCUCAAGGGUAAAAAAAGACUCUAACAUUUAACAAGUUUGAAACAAAUUGCUUCCUUGGGAUAAACUAUAAUGCAUGAUACUUACAAGAUAUCACCCUCCUCCAUUGCCUUUCCUGAGGCAACCCCAAUGGUUUUUAUGUUCCAUCUCGUUCAUUUAAACUAAUAAUUAUAUCUCCAGCUAGUAAAUCAUUAAUGUUCAAAACUGUCAAAUGAAAAAGUUGAACAGUGGAUUGAGAAAAAUAAAGAAUUAUUCCAAUUCUAGAUGCACUUCCACUAGUAACAAAAAGGAUGUUUGGAACUAUCAUGAACAAGAUUCAAUACAUAUGCCUGGAAAUGUGAACAAAAACUUCAAAGCAUUUACCAUAUUACACUUAACCACUUAACUCUAGGAGAAUAUCCAAGUCUUAAUUCUUAUGCUGGUGAAAACAGCUAUAACUAAAGAGAAACUCAGUGAGAAACAUCACUGGUAAUUUGACAUGAUUUUCUUUUAUUAUUUAGACUUUUAGACAAAAUGUUUACAAAGGCACAAAAUUAAUUUGUCUGUGUAAGAUUUUUUAUGUAUAUCAUAUGAUUCAUGAGAUUAGUAAAACUCAAGGUUGUGUCUAGUAAAUAAAGGAAAAAGAAAGGGAAAUAAAAUUAAAUUACAGUUAAUUUAAAAAUUAGAGGAAAAAGGAACAGUGCACUAAUUUUCAUUGGUUUAAUAUUAAACAAAGUGAAAGAGGACAUUCGAAAUUAAAUCCUCAAAUGAAAUGAAAUUGAAAAUCCAAAACUAAAUUUGGUGACUAAUGAAUCCAAACAGCAUUCUGAAUUCGACUGAAAUUUAAAGGGCACUUCUUCAAAACAAUGGUAAUACAAAUAACCGUUUUCCUUGUUAAAAUAGAAAUACAUUUUUUCGUGAUGUAUAGUUAAUGAAAUUUGUAAGAAAGUCAUCAACUUUAAUAAUUUGUGUAACUACAUAAUUUACUUAUGACUAAUGGGGAAGGAAUAAAAUAAAUAGAGAAGAAAGAGAAAAAGGAAAGGAAGCACUUCUAUUGAGACUUACAGUUCAAAAAUAGCUAAUUUGUUCUAGAAAUUUGUUAAUUGUAAUAUUUGGCUAGUGAAUUUUUCCGGUGAACAAUACCUUGAAAGUCAAUAAAAAAAAAGAGAAAAAAAAAAGAGAGGGAAGAUAACAGCUAAUCCUGCAAUAUUGAAAACAAUAAAUAGCAUGGCUUCAAAGUUAGUCAUUUAAAAACUCCAUAAGAAUUAAAUUGUUUUCCUUUCCUACAUUCAUCCCAAAUCAAAAGUAAAUAUAGUAUAAAAAAAUUGCACAGUACCAAAAAAGAGAAGAAGAAGAAGAAUUGAGUAGUGGAGAUUAUAAAAUAGUAACUAUGAUCAAAAGUAAUCAUAGUUAAAAUAGCGUAAAUACGGUAAAACCGUGAUGAUGGAUAGUUUAUUUGACAAACUUCAUAUACAUGUCAUAGUGCUUUUAUAAUUUGAGUUCUAUUCAUAUUCGAGAUAACAAAAUCCAAAUGCUCAUUAUUGAAUAAAUCAUUUCAGUUUAUUGAUGUAAAAUUGCAAUUGGUAAUUUUUAUCGUUUCUGAAAUCAAGUUCUCAAAUUUUAACAAGAUUAUUCCAAAAAAUAAAUAAAUAAACUUUUUACAUUACCUGCAAGUAAAAGAUUAGGUGUGAAACAAAGGGUGCACAAAUGAACAAUAAAUCCUCAUCCUUUUUUAAUAUAGUAGUUUAUGGAGAUUAUGGAGGCUCAAGCAUGAGCCUCUGUUAUUAUGGAGGCUCAUGCUUGAACCUCCGUUAGCAUGAGCCUCCAUAAUAACGGAGGCAUACUACAUAAUGCCUCCAUAAUAAUGGAGGCUCAACACUUUUGAGCCAAAUGCCUACGUAAUUACGGAGGCACAAAUUUCAUUUUUUAUUUUUUUCUUAAUUGACUCUCAAUACAACAAUUUAAUUUUAUUUAAUCAACUUACUUUUUUUUUAUAGACGUGAUUUCUAAAAUAAAUACAUAAAGUAUAUAUCAAUUUUUUUAUAUAUACAGAGAUUUUAUAAAUCAUUCAAAUGAGCAGAAAUAUAGAUAAAUGAUAGACAUAUUAAUCACAUUUUCAAUCGUAACCUUUUGAGUGCAAUCAAAUAAUGUGUAAAACGUGUUAGAUCAAAUAGUUACUCACGUCGAUAGUUCAAUAAUUUUUUUCUCCUCACUUUUAUUUUUGAGAAGAGUAAGAUCAGACUUUUUCGGUAACAUAUUGUCCAUUUCUACAACCAGUGUUAAUCUAUUCUGCUAUUUCUAUACCCAAUUAUAUUUACUCUCUUAUUUACCAACCUAUUUCAUUCAUAUUUCAAUGAUUCUCAAAUAUCUAGAAUUAAAUAAUACAAUAUCAUUCCUUCAUUCGAACUCCUUAAUUGAAAUAUAACGUUCAUAAGAAAUUUGCACACAUAUUACGCAAAUAGAUACAUUGUUCCACCAAAACAUUUGUUUUAUACUCACUUAUAUAGAAACCACCAUAUGCAUAUAUUUAAUUUUUUUUAUAUUUUGAUAUGGAUUCAUUGCAUAUCCAAAAAAAAAAAAAAAAAAAAACCAUUAACACCAAAAAUUCGAAAUGAAACCAAUUCACACAAAAUGCAAGAGAAAAAUCAAUCAAACUCCGUUAAAUGAUAUUGACCCUACCGUCCACAAAUUUCAAUAAAAACAAGAAUAAGAAUUAAAAUUCAGAACAACCAGACCUCAAUCAAUCCAUACAAAAUACACAACAAAUAAUUUGCGUAGUAAAAUGGAAAGAAUAGACAGUAAUGUCUGAAAAUAGAGAAGAAAAAAGAAAGAUCCACCUAACUUGAGGACAAGUGGGUGCAUCACUGUAGCCUACACUUUUUUUUUUUUUGUGUGCAGACGGCGUUAUUUUUACUUGAGAGAUGAAAAAAAAAUUGCUGUGAAAUGGAAAAAUCUACCGUUCUUUCUACAGUAUAAAUAACAUUGCCCUUUUUAUAAAGUAGUGAUAUAUAUACUAGUCGAUGUCACAUGCGUUGCACGAGUAUUGUAUUUAUUGUGUCUUUAUUAGCGUGAUGUAGAGAUUUUAAUUUUUUUAGCGUAAUCCUAACAUACUUUAAAGUUUGAAUUAAAUUUUUUGGCAUAAAUCUUCUGGCGGCUAGUAAAAUAUAGAUUUAAAAUUGUGAGAAUAUAAGUAAAGAUAAUUUACAAUUUUGCUAUAGUAAAGAUGAAAUCUGAAGAUUAUUUAGAAAGCAAAUGAUAUGAAGAGAUUGGACUUAUAAUUUGAAUUUCAACAGAUACCAUCACCAAAUCCACAAGCCAUCUUUGGUUUCAAAGAUGAAGCUAUAUAUUUGGAAGUGUAUGGAGAUGGUUUCUUGGAAGUGGAAGAGAGAGCAACCAUAUACAUGCUAUUAAAACAGGAAAUAAGACUAAAAGUAACAUUAAUCAAUUAAAACAUAUACAUUAUAUUGACAGAUAAAUCUAAACGAUAAAGAAAAAGCACACAAGUCUAAAAUCAAGUAAAAAAGUAUUUCAUAAAUGAAAAUUUUCAAGAUUUAUUAAUUUCUUUUUCUUUAAAUGGAGAUGUUGAAGGAAAAGAAACGGGAAAUCUUUAAAUGAUGUUGGUAUAGUUAACUAUGAGGAAGUGUGACUCGUGUCUAGAAUGAACAGUGUCAAAAGUUAGAGUGGAAAUUAUAGUUGAUAUCAAUUUGAACAAUAGCAUUUACUAAGUUAGAUAGAAAACCAUUCGCAAUUCUCCACAUGAGGAUCAACAACCUGUAAGGUAAAAUUGCAAUUUGCAAUUAACGAUUUCACAUUUUUAUUUAAAAAAAGAGUAAUUAGCACAAAACAUCUCUACCUUUCAAGAUUUUUAUAGAAAACGUCCAUACCUUUCGUUUUUUGGCAAUUUUACCCUCACCUUUGCCUUUCAUCAUGGAAAACGUCCUUCAGUCCAUUUACCGUUAAAAUACUCCGUUAAAUCAAAUAAAAUGAUAUUUUUCUUUUCAAAAGGUAAGGGUAACAUUGUCUAAAUCAAAAUUUCUUUGCUUCCCAAAUUUCAUUGCAAAGAAAUAGUGCUUACAAAGAGAAGCAAUUAUGGGGAAGAUAAAGGAAAAGAGACUGCUAAUUACAAUAUCUUGUUUAAAAUUACUUAUUUCUGCUUUUUUCUCCUUGUAGAUACAAGAUGUUUACCAAUUUGGGAUAUUAGAGUUUGCAAGAAUAUGCAGAAAUAUAUCCUUUGAAUUUUGUAUUAUACUUUGCUUAAAUGUGUGGUUGUUCAUCUCCAUUUUAUGCUUAUGAAGGGUAUAAGUAAAUGGUAAAAUGAGAAGACCAAUUAAAAUGUAAUUUUGUGAAUGGACAGUGCAUAUGAAUGGAGAAGAUGAUGAAGAUGAACAUGUAUUCUUUCCAUUUUAGCAUGAAAUUUAAUUUGUGGUAACAGUCUCUACCUUUACAUUGUCUUUACACAAAACAUCACUACAUUUAAUUUGUAGUUGCGUAAAACAUCCCUACCUUUGUUAAAGUUUAACAAAGGUAGGGAUGUUUUACGCAACGCCAAUUUAAAUGUAGGGAUGUUUUGUGCGAAAACAAUGUAAAGCUAGGGGCUGUUGCCACAAGUUCCUAAAAUAGAAAGAAGGCCGGUUCAUCUUCAUCUUCUUCUCCAUUCAUAUGCAUUGUCCAUUCACAAAAUUACAUUUUAAUUGAUCUUCUCACUUUACCCUUUUAUUUACACCCCUCAUAAGCACAAAAUGGGGAUGAACAACCACAAAUUUAAGCAAAGUAUAAUACAAAAUUCAAAGGAUAUGUUUCUACACUAUUCUUACAAACUCCAAUAUCCCAAACAUUUUGUAUCUACAAGGAGAAAAAAAACAAAAAUAAGUAAUUAUAAAUAAGCCAUUGUAAUUAAGAGCCUCUUGUCCUUCAUCUUCCUCAUAGUUGCUUCUCUUUCUAAGCACUAUUCCUUUGCAGUGAAAUCUGGGAAGCAAAGAAAAAUUGGUUUGGACAAUGUUACCCUUGUUUUUUGAAAAGAAAUUUUUCAUUUUCUUUGAUUUAGCGGAGCAUUUUAACGGUAAGUGGACGGAAGGACGUUUUUCGCAAUAAAAGGUAAAAGUGAGGGUGAAAUUGUCAAAAAACAAAAGAUAGGGACGUUUUCCGCAAAAACCUUGAAAGAUAUGGACGUUUUGCGCUAAUUACCCUUAAAAAAAUAAAAAAGAAAAAAAAAUAACUGGCACCAAUUUGCUACCAUCCAUGAUAUCUAGGCAUAUUUCUACUUUAAAAUAAAAAAAAAUAAAAAAUUUCCUACCUAUAAUUAGGGCGAAAAAAAAAUGGAAAGUGAUGUGUGGAGGAAUGCUCCAUAAAUAGAAAAGAAUUUAGAGAAAUCAAUAGAGAUGGCUCUCCACACUGUCAACGAAGAUUUUCUCCACGCAGCACAAAGAGCCAUCUGCGCGGACUUUUUUUCUCCUCGCAGUGUGAAGAUGGUUCUCCACUCUGCACGGAAACAUAGACGUCUCUACAGCAAGUCAAUUUGAAGGUAGCUAAAUUUUGAAACUUGGAAAUGGGAGUUUCUUACCUUUAUUAAUUGUCGAGUGUGAAAUUUGGAAAGAAAAAAAUUUGUCUUGUCCUUAACAAUUUCUGUUAGGGUGCUUAAAAAAAUGAAAAUGAGAGUUUCUUAAUUGUCGAGUGUGAAACUUGGAAAGUUGUCUCCAAAUUUCAUGUUGAUGACAACUUGUAGGGUAUUUUAAAAAAAAAAAUUGCUCCGCACAGUGCGGGAACUGCGGAGUUCCUGUAAAUCAGUGCAGAGCUAUUUGUUUUUCAUCGAUUGUUUAGUCUUCAUUUAACCAUCGAGAUAACAUCAAUGAGGUAAAACAAGGUUGGUUUUUCAUUUGUGAUUUUACAACUUCUGAGAAUAUAUUACCUCUAAAAAUAAGGAAAAUUUGACAUAUAAUCACAAACGAGGAAAUCUAUUUACCUUUCAAUAACAUAGAUAAAAAUCAAACUACCAAACAUCAGUAAAAAUUCAAAAUCAGAACUAACUAACUUGAAUGGCUGAAGACAUGGCAUUUUUUCCAUUAGAGGAUCUUUUUUCCAUAAUUCUUGUCUUGCCUCCUAAAGCAAAAUAAAAUCCUUAAUCUUCCCGAUUAAAAUGGAACCAACACACAUUCAAUAAAAUCCUUAAUCUUUUUCCACUCUAAAAAAUACCUUGCAGGCGUACAACCACAUAGUAAAAUGGAACCAACACACAUUCAAUUCAUAGCAAAAAUCUAUAUUUACUUACCAAGUUUGAAAACUACCUCUCUGCAAAACAAAGAAAUAGAAUUCAUUCGACUUUGCAAAUAAUAUAUAAAUAGAUCUAUCAAGUCAUAAUCAUUUUUAUCGUAUAAAUGUUAGACCAACUUAAAACACAGUUAUAGUUUGAUAGUAGGAAAAUAUUCUAUUACCACUUACCAGUUGGUUUAUAUGCUCAAUUUUAACUUCUUGCUUCUUACAAAUGCUAUCAAGCUCCCACUUUCUCCAAGCCAUAGGUAAAUCAUUCUCUGUAUCCUAUUAAUAAGGACAAAAUUCAAUAAGUUUAAUGAUUAGGAUAUAACUCAGAUUUUUGUCAUAAAAUUUUACCUGACAAUUUAAAAUGGGCUACUCACUUGUUUCCACCCAAAAAUAGCUAAAUAAAAACUAAUUUGAUAAAAAGUAAAUAAAUAAUACUUUACAAGACUAAUUAUGAGCCAAUUUGUAAAUAACUCCACAACUAAUGCAUUUCAAAUUGGUGUUUAACUAUCAGGAACAAAACCUAUUCACUUUACAAGACUCUUAGUCAAUGGUCAUCCUCUCAAAUGAGUUUGCAUUCAGUUCCCCACACUAAACAUGUUUAAAAAUGUUAUAAUAAACAUAAAAUUUAUCUCAUUUUUUUUUUUUUUGUGAAAAUCAAUCUCACCAUAUAUUUUAAUGGAUAGCUCUAAAGAAAUUAGUAGUAAAUACACACAGAAAACAACAAAAAAGCAAAUUCGUGAUAAAAGACCAAAUAAAAGUACCAGCGACUUUGCGGCUUUUCCACCUUCUUCUUGUGGGGUAAGUGGGUGCAAGGCCCACUCAAAGCAGACAAUACGUAUUACGUAAGAUAACGGCUUGGGCGAGAGGCUCGAGUCGUUACAAGUACCAUGAGAAGUUAUGACAGGGUUCUGAAUAUUUGUGAGAAAGAGUGGCACCUUUCAAUUAUCAAACAUUACUCUUUCUAUUGGAUUUACUAAGGUUGAGGGAGGGAGAAUUUUUACUUCUAAUAGGUUUACUCGUUAGAAACUUUUGCUUGUUUGGUCUAGAAAUAACUCAGUAAGUCUUUCUAUGUGUUCAAUAAGGGAAAGUCUAUUAAAAUGUAACCAGAAGGAACUUAUAAUUAUGCAACCAACUCAUUUUCCGGAUUAAGUUUAAAAUUGAUCAAUGGAAGAAGUGGACUGCAACAAAAUCAAUUAGAAAAUUUCGGUCAUACAAUAGAAAUAUUCAUAAACAAAAUCAGCAAAAUGAAAAAUUAGUUUUUCUUCACAGGAGAUGAAAGAUUACGAAAACCAAACAAUGCCCAUUCUUGGGUUAAUUGCCCCAAAAGUCACUGAACUUUGUCAAAUGCCACCUGGGAGUUCACUGAACUUCAAAACCUUCCUGAAAGGUCACUGAACUUUGCCAAAUGCUACCUGAGAGGUCAAUGAACUUCAAAAGCUUCCUGGUAGGUCACUAAACUUUGCAAAAAUUCCUGGGAGGUCAUUGAACUUUGAAAAAACUUCCUGGGAAGUCACUGAAUUUUGCAAAAAUUUUCUAAGAGGUCACUCAACUCAGUGAUGCAUGGGGUUACUUUUUACAAAGUUCAGUGACCUCCCAUGAAGUUUUUGCAAAGUUCAGUGACCUAACGGAAGCUUUUGAAGUUUAGUGACCUCUCAGGUAGCAUUUGGCAAAGUUCAAUAACCUCUUAGGAAGCUUUUGAAGUUCUGUGACCUCCCAGGUGGCAUUUGGCAAAGUUUAGUGACUAUUGGGGUAUUUAACCCUCCAUUCUUCAUAUCUAAUGUAUACUGGCUAAAUGAUCGUCACUCUCUAGCAUUUUUAGUGAUGUUUCUUAUUCUAGCCAUUCUAAAAAUGGAUUAUUCCAAAAUUUGGUCAUACUAAGCUAUCCAAGUCCCAAGAUAACAUAUUUAAAGAUACUAUAGUCUUCCAAAAAUUAGAUUACGGGCCAAGCAGAAAAUACUACGAGGCUUCCAAAAAAUUGGGUGUCGUAUUGAAGUUUGAAAUUACUUAGUCGUCAUGAAAAUUUUAGAAAUUCAAUUGUGUCAUAGAAAUUUCGCUGUUUUUUUGGAUCUUGGAUUCAAAAAAUUCCAGAAAACAUUCAUUCAAGAAUGUAACCUUAAUUUUGAUCCUAUUUUCUAUUGUAUAAAGUAUUAUAGUGCCCAUUUUAGUUAAAACUUGUAAUUUUGUUAGAUGGUGCUAUUAAUUUGAUCCUAUUUUCUGUCUUAAGUAUUAAAGUGGACUUUAAGUUGAAACUUACAAUUUUGUUAGCAUGGUGCGAUGGAGUAGGCAAUGCUGCCUGAAGUAAGCAAUUUUAGUUGAGACCUAACUAUAUGAAGCGACAAAGGGCUUAGGCUUAGUGGAUCGUGGAAGUAAGGCUACUCACUCCUUUAUAAUACUCCACCACAUGUUUAGUCAUCUGCAUUAUCUUCAAAGUUGCUAAAGUGGCACAACCACCAAGAUGGCUUAGCCAAUGACAUGUUGUUCAAUGUCAGGGAUAUGACGGGAUAUAUGAACUUUUUAAAAAGAUGAAGGUUAGUGAUUUUGGUGGUGUUACUUCAAAAGGAGGGUUGUUGAUGUUUGUCUUCUUUGCCGUUUUCUAUCGGAGCUCAUCGAAGUUGCGAAGAAUGCCACUGGUGAUUAUGUCUUUUGAUUGACUGCUAAACUAAUUGUACAUAAAUUUCUGUUUCUCAAUUGAAGCUGGAAUUUAUGUUUUAUGUCUGUUGAUAAUGCAGUAGAAAUGGGGAGAUUUUCCUUCAAAACUGUAAAAUGCUAAAUCUAUUUGCGUUAUUAUAUGCUUCGUGGGAAUAAAUAUAGAAAGUUAAACAGAUAAUUUAGUUGGACGAAAGUGGGAUGGAAAUUUCAUAAAUGAAAAAGGAAUGAGAGCGAUCGAGUUUGGGUUCAGUAAGAAUGCUAAGCCACAAAGGUAUCACCAGUAUGAGGAAAGGGCGAAGUUAGAAUUAAAGACCACUGAAUCUGCUAGACUCAAACCAGUCAAAGCUACUCAAACUAUAAUCAAGGUAGCAUAAAGAAAAAUAAUGUGAUUUCAAUAGUUAUUUUUUACAGCAAAAUGUUUUUUAGCAAAUUAUGUAAUUCUAGCGUUUGUUAUUUCUCACCUUCAAAUACUAUUUGUAAAAUCUACAAUUUCUACACUAAUAACAAUAAAAUAAAUACAAAACUCGUGCAAUGCACGAGACGAAGACUAGUGUGUGUGUGUGACAUUUGGUAAAUGAGAAUUGUUAUAAUAUUAUUGUUUUUGGUCUAAAUCUUAUUACUUAUACUCUGAAUAAUACUUUUGUUUUAAUAAAAAGGGGAAAACAUAAAGAUUAGACUUGGAAAACAUAAAGAUAGGUUAAAGAAUUUAAAUCAAUUAUCAUUUAUUUAUAGCUAAUGAAAGUAUAAUUUGUCAGGCCAAAAAUUAAUGAUUUCUCAUCUAUUCCAGUUUGAUUAAUUUUGCCUCAAGUAAAUACUCUUAGGUUAGUUGCCUCUUAAAAAAAAUUUAAGGGGACUUCAAUUGAAAAUAUGAGAUAAAGUUAUAAUUGUUGACCUCGUUUUUUGUAAUGGUAAGUGGUAACGUAGACAACAGAUGUCGAGUUUACUUGAUUCCAUGCAAACAAAUUUCAACACAUUUUGAUCGGAGAGAUUACUGUAAUAAACGUGAGAGAUGCUCUAUAACAUGAGACAAUAAUGCUCAAACACCGACAAUAUAUUUAGGAGCGAUUGCAUAAUAAUAAUCAAUCACCAACAAUUCGACUAAAGCAAGAUAAUAUAAACUCCAACAAACGAGAGUAAAUGAGAGAAGACACGGUGUAGCUUUAAGUGUAUUGAGUUGCAUUAGCCUUCAAACGAUACAAGGAAUGGGUAUUUAUAGUGUUACAUAUGAAAUAGUGUCCCAUUGGAUAAAUAUACGCGUGGCUUCAUCUCUUGAAUCAAAGCAUCCAAUCGUAGUCAUUAAUUUGAACUUACUAACCUGUGGCACAUUUAAUGCUCUUAUAGAAAACAGCCAUCUUACAACCUAAAUUGAAAAGAUUUUGAUAUUCCAUUCAUUACCAAUGUUCUAUCAAUCAUCCAAAUGGAUCAUACAUAAAUUCAAGAUCUUUACUAGUGGGUCGUCACUUGAACUUCGAUUUUCACUUUUGUUGAGCUUCAUCGCUUCGGCAGGCAAAUGCGCUUGAGCCUUGAAGUAGCUUCGAGGCUUUGAGGCUUUGUCAAUAAUAUAAAACUGCUUCGAUAAGUAUGGAUUUGGCACUUUGAAUUUACAGAUUCCAACAAUCCAUGUGGCGUCAUUGCAAGGGUUUCAGAGGGUCGGUCACAUGGAGCCUAUGUGGCGAGGCGUAAUAAUAGUCCUCAAAGUCCAUGUAUAAUUAUUUAUAUCAUGCUUGAAUUUUAGUAUUAAGUGAAACGUAUUUUGGGCAAGUUUUCCCAUCAUGGUUAAAUUUUUGACAAACACAAUAGUCCCCAAAGUCCAAAUAUAGAUAUUUAUAUUAUGAUUGGAAUUCAAAGUUGAUCUUGAUUCUUGUAUAUCGUCCUAUUCUUAUGUAGCGCUAAUUUGUUGAGGCUUCUUAUUUUAAUAAAAGCUGAAAUUUAUUUGAGCCAAAACAGAAAAGUGUUGAACUAUUGAGACUCUUUUAUUUCGAUAGAAGUUGAAAUUUACUUAAGCCGAAGUAGGGAAAUGCUAAACUGCCUAGGCUUCUUUAUUUGGAUAGAAACUAAAAUUUACUUAAGCCAAAACAGGGAAAUACUGAACUAUCGAGACUCCUUUAUUUUGAUUGGAAUGACCUUGACAAUGGUGCGAAUGAUAUGAUUUUUUGCACGUUACCAAGAAAAGAUAGCUGAGGCAUUACGACUUUCAAUACAUGUAUGGACAUUAUAUUUAAUGCACAAUGAUGACCAUGUUACAGUAUUCUAAGGUCGAAGGCGCUGAGGCUCCAGCGUGAAGAACAUGUACCAAUUUGAGGUGUUGACAAAAGAAACCAUUUGAAUUUAGCGCCUCAUAUGUAACAAGAAAUGGACGCUUCAGAUGGAAUAGAUUUUGACCCAAUGGCUGUGAUUCACUUUCCUUUUUGUAUAAAACAUAUGUGCCUGUCAUUACUUUAGCUCUACUAAUGCAAAAAAUUUCCAAACUCUCCAACAUUCUAAAUCUUUCCGGCAAUCUCCAUUUUCAGGCGACACCACGUUCUUAGAGUGAUUUAGGUAACUUUUGUGAGACUCUAUUUCCCCAACGUUUCCAUCUUUUCAUUCAAUGGCGUUUGGGUCGAAUGCAAGUAGUGGUAGGGUAAUAAUCACCAAGGGCGGCGAGGAGGAUAUAUGUUUUUUUAAAAGGUUAAACACUAAUUCAAAAUAAUAUAUUCUUCGAAAUAUGUGGUACUUUGAGAGCACGUUGUACUUUGCUAUCGUUUCUUCAAGAACAAUAUAUCAAUAUUCUUAUGGAAUAUUAAAAUUUUAGUGUCAUGCUCUUCAAGAGUAAUAACAUAUUAUUAUUUAAAAUAUAAAUUAUGUAAAGAUCUACUCUUUAGGAGCAAAAACAUAAUUUGUGUUAGAUUUUACUUAAUUAUGCCUUUCGAGAGCAAGUGAAACUAACUAGAACAUCAAUAAUCAUGUGUUAUUUCAGGGGCUACAAUAUUUUAUAAUAGACAGAUGUAUGAGUAUUAAAUUCAUAAAUUAUACUAGGAUUAAAAAAAAAUAUAUAUGAAUGAGAUAAUUAAUCAAACGAUAAAUAAGAAACAUCACAUGUAAAUACGAUAAAAGUUGUUAGGGCUUUGUUCAAUGUACAUAAUUUUUGUACAUAAAGUGUCCAUACCUCUCAUGUGGCGUGAGAGGCAUGGACACCUUUCGUGAGAGACAUGGACAUCUUUAUGGACAAAAAUUAUGUAUAAAUAUAAUUUUCCAAGUUGUUAACUCCAUCACGCAUACAUGUAAAUAUGUAUCAGUUCUAUAGCCCCCAGGGCACAUCUCCAAGUGGUAAAAGGGGAGGGUGGAGAAAUCCAGCUUUGCUUGAGGCUGCUGCGUCAAGGGUUCGAAUCCUGAAAUAUGGAUUUGGCUCUUGGGUAAGUGCAAGUAUACAAGCAGCCUUCCACCCUAUACCCUUGAAGGCAUAACCUGCGAUUUACCUCUCUCAUGAUACUCCAGGACAGGGACGGUGGGGGCCCCUUAAGGUUAGGGUUCAACCUUUUAAAUAUGUAUCAAUUCUGUAGAUGAAUGAAAACAUUCAUUGUUAAGAGCUAAUCAUUAUCCAACAAUAGAAAAAUCAUUUACGUGGAAGGUAGUGGAAAGUGAUCAUUAAUAACCAUUCUCCUUGGUUUUAGGUGCGCGACGAUAGAUUGCAAAUUGCGGUGCACUACUAUUACGAUAAAAAUUACGAAGUAAAUUUAUAUUCUAAAAUUUUAUUCUUGUUUUUGUUGAAAGUUUAUUAUCUUGAUCCGCUCAAUUGGUUUUACAACGAAAGAACAUUACUUGUAAUUCGAGUCAAAGAUCCUUCUUUAAUUAAUAUCUUCUAUUGUAAUGCUCCAAAAUUUAUUUCAUUUUUUUAAAAAUAAAAAUAAACUUGGAGUGUUACAAAAAUCUUCUUUUUCUAAUUUAAACGAAAUUUUACGAUUUCAAACCAUCAAUUUAAACAUAACAUAGAAUGUCAAAUGUUCGAACACUAAAAACAAUUACUAAUUUUAACGUGCACAUUAUUAAACAUAACGAUGUUCUUCAAAUAAAAAUCUGCAAUUAUCAUUUCUAAAACCUUUUCUUGACGAUCCCAUAGACAUUGCUCGUUCAAUCUACCACGCGUUCACACGACCCGUUCUAAUCUGAAAAAUUAUUGUAAGAGUGAGUAUUUUGAAAACACUUGAUAAAAAUACGUGCAUAUUCUUAUUCACAUGAUAUAAGUAUAAAAUGGCACAACAUACUAACUUUUUUUAGAUUUAGAGCAAACUGGUUGCAAUAUCCAAUAGAUCAAGGAAUUUCUUAAUAAUCCUUAUAUCCCAUAAGAUUUACAUAUUUGAUCAAAUGGUCAAUACCAUAGGAUUUAACAUAGAAAUCGAUCCGAUAGUCUUAUAGUAUUUCAUGUCAAAAUUUAUAUAUAGACAUUAAUAAAUAAGAAUUUACAACUUUGCACUAAGUAUUCUUACCUUAGUUGAUAUCACAAGUUCUGAAAAAUAUUUCCUUGAGACAAUAAUUAAAAAUGAGUAGAAUGUUUGUAAGACGGAAAAUCCAACUUGUAAAUUUUUAGAUGUGGUCUGUAAAAUAAAAAUAAUACUCCUAUUUAACAGGUCGGUAUGUUAACGUGUGAAAAUUUCAUUCUGCAUGUGUAAAGAAAAAACUUUGCACAUAUAUUAUUAUAUAAAUAUACCUACUUGUAUGCUAGUCAAUCAUUCAAACGUCUAUCAAUUUUCAAAACGCACAAAAGUUAAGGCCCCGUUCUCUUUACCGUUUUCGGAUCGUUUUCUGUUUUCGAUUUUUCAAAACGGUGAAAACGUGUUCUCUUUCCCGUUUUCGAAAACGAAUUUUCGAAAACGUUUUCGAAAACGAAAAAAAUUUGUGAAGAAAACACAAAACGACUUUUUUGUCGUUUUGGACGUUUUCAGUGUAAAACUUGAAAAAAUUGAAAAAGCGGGAAACACUUAUUUUUUUUUAGUUUUUUUUUGAGGUUUUUUUUUUUUUUUUGGAGGAGGUGGUGUGGUGAUUCUCAAAAUUUCAAAAAAAUUUAAAAAUUAAAAAUUUCUUUUCUUGAGGAGAUAGUGUGGUGAUUCUCAAAAUUUCAAAAAAAAAUAAAAAUUAAUUUUUUUUUUUUUUCGGUGUUUUGAGGUAGUGUUGUGGUGAUUCUCAAAAUUUUAAAAAAUAAAUGAGAUUUACUGCUUCGGAGUGCCCGAGGUACAUACUUGUGUCUGAAUUGUAUAUGAAAUAGAAUAGCAUAAACAACUUGUGAUGAGAUGUUAUGAAAGCGUAUUAAACAAAAUCGCAUGUAAAAACAAAUUUAAAUAAAAAAAAUCGGAGAAACUAACAAUUUUAGCAAUUUUUAAUCAAAAUCAUUCCAAAAUCUCGACCACAUAAAUUAGGCUUGAAUUGUAAUCUCUUGCCCAGAAUUUGUCGUCCCUUCAAUAGCAAAUAAUGAUAAAAAGAUUAUAAAAGUGAUUUUAAUUCAUAUCCAUCUUCAUCAUUCUACUGGAUUGAAGAAUCUAUGUUGAAUUAAAUCCGUUUAAUAGAACAACUCAUUGAACUUUUUUUUUUUUUUGAGAGCCCAAUAUUGAAUUUUUGUAUAUUACUUCAAAAGUAAUACAUAUUAGUUCAAAAAAUUAUAAAUUUAUGUGAAAAAUUGUUAUAUUAAAAAUUUAUACCAAACAUGAUUUAUAAACAUAAGCCCUUGUUUGAGCCCCAUUUUUUAGGAAAAAAUGAAUUUUUGAAUAGUGUAUUGAUGGAAAAUGUGUGGUUAAAAAAUAAAGAAAUUUUUUUAUUUACGUAUAAUAUUAUUUUAUUAAAAAAUAUGUGAUUAAAAUGAUGUCAAAAUAUUGUAGAAGAAUACAUUUUUUUCCAAAUAAUGGAUCUCAAACAAGCUAUAAGUUUACAAACUAAGAUGACAAAUUAAUAUAUUCUUUAUUCCCAUCCAUCAACAAUUGAGUGUGGAAUAAAAAAAACUAAUUAAUUAUUCAUUAAAUUAUAAUAUCUUUUCAGUUUCCAGGGCAAGUACAGGAAAUGAGGUGUUCUUUUUCAUUAUUUUAUAUAUAUAGUUUUUUUUUAAAAUAUAUGGUUUAUAAUACUUUUCUUUCUAUUAAAAUAAUUCAGAUAUAAUUAGUCCAAAAUUAUUUUUUCUUGAGUCCAUUUAAUGUUAUUUAAUAUGAGCUACAAAAUGAGUAUAAUUCGAUAUAUUUUUAUUAACUUUAACAAUAUUUAAAUAUUCUACCCAAAAAACUUGUGAUAAAUUCUAAUAAUACACGUAAGCAAAAUAAAUCAUUUAUGAAAAUAAGUGGGUCGCUUUUAUCACUUCAACUUUUGAAUUUUAGCAUGAUGAUAAGACUGGACGUGGACUGUUUCAUUUGCUAAAUAACUAACAUUAACUUUAGCCCAUAUGAGAAUAUAAUUAAAAUCCAGGGUGUUACAUCUAUGUUUCUAUCCUUCAUGUUUUGAGGACAUGAAUAUACUCAUAGUUGAGUGUAUUAACUCGAUACAUUGGUUUUCCGAUUAAAUAGUAGACCGUCAACUGAGCACAUUUCAUACAAUUUAGUGAUGAAACUAAACCCCUGUCGGGAUAAAAAUUAGAUUUUUAGUAGUUUGGGUAAAAAUUGGUGAAAUAGGUGGUUGAAAUUUUGAUAAAAUAAACAUUCAAAUUGACCAUUAAAAAUGACAAAUUUUUGAUAUAAUGCUUAAUUUCCUUUGCAGUAUUGGACUUUGACGGUAUUUAUCAUGCACUUCUGGGACCUUAAACACUUGGGGAAUCUUUUCCAUUCUUCGGUUAUGUAUGGAAAGAUAGAAAUAAAAUGACCAUAAUUCCUACCAAUCAAUCCUUCAUAAGAGCAUUUCAAAUGCAAUCAUACCUAAGUUCUUAUUUUAUUAUUAUUAUUAUUAUUAUUAAAGAAUAUAAAUCGUAUUUAAUCCUAGCAACAAAAGAGGUUCACAACUUAUAAUCUGAUUUUGUUGGAAUUUUGUAAAAUGAGCCUUAAUCACAUGUGAAGUUAACCAACCUGAACCUCUUUUAUUGUUGAGAUUAAAUCUAAUUUUCUUUUUAUAAAGUUCAUUAGCUAUAAUUGGAUUUGAAAUGCUUUUAUGGGAAAAUCAAUUGGAACCAUGCUACUAGUACAUGGAGGUUGACAUGGUCCCACCUCCCCUUUCACAUGGGAGAGGUCGGUCCCACACAUUUGGGUGUAGGCGCCGAUCUCCCCAUGUGAGAGGUCGGGUGGGAUCGUGUCAAACUCCAUGUCAAAGUUCAUGUACAAAUAGAUUAAUUCAAAUCAAUUGGUAGAAUGAGUAGACUUUUUUGUUUGUCGUGUACUUUUUAAUUUUGUCUCUCAAGUAAAUACUAAUUUAAUAAUUAAUGAUUUCUUGUCUACUCCAGCUUUAUUAAUUUUGUCUCUCAAGUAAAUACUAUUAGGAUUGUUGCCUCUUAAAAAAAUAAAUUAAGAGGACUUCAAUUGAAAAUAUAAGAUAAAGUUAUAAUUGUUGAUCUCCUUUUUUGUAAGGGUGACGUAGACAACAGAUGUCGGGUCUACUCGCGUCCACACAAACAAAUUUCAACACAUUUUUACUGGAGAUUACUGUAAUGGGCGUGAAAGAUGCUCUAUAAUACGGGAUAAUAUUGUUCAGACACCGACAAUAUAUUUAGGACGCGAUUGCAUAAAAAUAAUCAAUCACCAACAACUCGACUAAAGCAAGAUAAUAUAAACUCCAACAAAUGAGAGUGAAUGAGAGAAGACAAAGUGUAGCUUUAAGUGUAUUGAGUUGCAUUAGCCUUCAAACGAUACAAAGAAUGGGUAUUUAUAGUGUUACAUAUGAAAUAGUGUCCCAUUGGAUAAAUAUAUGUGUGGCUUCAUCUCUUGAACCAAAGUAUCCAUUGUAGUCAUUAAUUUAAACUCACUAGCCUGUGGUGUAUUUAAUACUUCAGCAGAGCGCAGUCAUCCUACAACCUAAACUGACAAGACUUUGACAUUAUACUCAUUACAAAGGUCCCAUCAAUAUUUGCAUCAGAAAGUGUGGUACUACCAAAAGCAGCUGGAACAUAUGAACUAAACAACACAAUAUCUGUCAAUGCACAGAUUGCUGCUUAAACAAAGCAGCACAUGGAGCAAAUGCAAUGAUGGUCAGUUCAACGUGUGAGAAUUGUAGGAGAAAUCAUGCUGUCAAAAAUUACUUGAUGCUUACUUCUUCAGAUGAACAAGUGAACUUUAUUCAAAUGGUUCUCGUAAUUUCAAUACAUAUGGAAAUAAUUUUUAGCAAGUAAAGAAUUAGUUUUAGUUGUAUUACUUAUAAACCUUUUGUGAAGUAUCAAACGAUUUCAAUACUUAAUGUGAGUUCAACAAAGUUAUCUAAUACAUUUAGAUAUAUUUUUUUUUGUUUGCUUGUAUCUUAGUAGCCAGUUUUGCACGGGACGAAUAAGAGUUUAAGUUUGGAGGUAUCUACUAAGCGCAUUUGAUGCGCUUAUUUGGGCUUCGAUUCUUAUUCAAUGAUAUAUAAAUUUAGUGAUUAUCUACUUAUUUUAUAUAAAUCAUAUUAGUUGUAGGAAAAUCCCAACUUCAUACAAUUUAUAUGAAAAGAGGCUGUUUGGAGCUUAAUUGGAGUUGACUUAAAGAAAUUGAAGAUUAAUCGAAUUACAAGGUAUCACUUGGUAGUAUUAUUGAAGCAUUCGAUAAAAAAAAAAAAAUUCAUAAGUUUCGGGACUUAAAUUCAACACUUGAAAAGUCUGAGGAUUAAAUUGUAAAUUUUUAAACUUUCUCGAAUCAACUAUUAUGAUUUUUGAAUAAAGAUGACUUAAUUGCAAAAUAAAAGAAGAUGGAGGAAUAAAGUUGCAAGAAAAAAGGAAGUUCAAUUGAAAAAUGAAUUUGUUUCCUUUUAUUUUUUAAACUCUUUAGUAGAAACCAAUUUAAACUCUUUGGCGGAAUUCAAGUUGAACAAGGAUUUUGGAUAAUUUUUUUCUAUAAAUACAUACCAACAAUUCAGGGGGACUUGCAGAGUUUCAUUACACACACACACACACAUUCAAGGCAAGAUUGGGGAUCAUUGUACAUAUAUUAUUCAAGCUAAAGGGGGGGGGGGGGGUCCCAAAAAAAAAGAAAAAANNNNNNNNNNNNNNNNNNNNNNNNNNNNNNNNNNNNNNNNNNNNNNNNNNNNNNNNNNNNNNNNNNNNNNNNNNNNNNNNNNNNNNNNNNNNNNNNNNNNNNNNNNNNNNNNNNNNNNNNNNNNNNNNNNNNNNNNNNNNNNNNNNNNNNNNNNNNNNNNNNNNNNNNNNNNNNNNNNNNNNNNNNNNNNNNNNNNNNNNNNNNNNNNNNNNGGGUUCCAGAAAUCAAUGAGAAAAAAACUAGGGUUUCAAGGAUUUUACAAGAAGAGGCAUAAUCUUGGUGCAAGAUCUUCAUCUUUUUCUUUAAUACCCAAUGAUUUACUUUAAUUCAUUCUUAUAUUUUUAUUCUUAUUGCACGAUGUGUAAUUAAGCCCUUGUUUGAUACUCAUUUUUUUCAAAAUAUAUUUUUCUCUCUCUUUUUUUAACCACCAUUUUUUCAAUAAAAUAAUAUUAUACGCAAAUAAAAAAAAUUCCUUAAUUUUUAACCACACAUCCUCCAUCAACUAUUAUUCCAAAAUUCAUUCUUACUAUAAAAAUGAAAAACAAACAGGAAUUAAGUAUUUAGUUAGGAUGAAUGAUAGUAAUCUAAUUUUGAACUUUAAUUUUAAUUAAAAAGUUUUAAAUCUUCAAUUGAUUUUGUGAAUUGUUUUUUGCUUCUAAUCUUAAUGCUUAGAUUAAUUAGUCACUAAUUCAUUGAUUUCAUGAACAAUAAUUACGUAGAUAUGCGAAUUGUAUGUUUACACCACAUAGUAAAAGUCAGUAAUUAGAAUAAAUGUAGAGAUACUUAUGCUAGUUAUUGCAAUCAUUACAUGAAUUUUUAGAACAUAAUUGCGUUUAACUAAGAUUGAUUCACAUAUAGAUAUGUAAUUAAAUUAGUUAAAUAGACUCAAAGAGAACUCGAGAGGGGUAAAUUGAAUACAUUAGAAGAAUUCGAUCAGGUAAACAUAAUCAAUUAUAUAAAACUUGGUAAUUGAGAUUAAGGGGAAAACCCUGGUAAAAUCAUGAAUCCUAACACUUAAACCAUCAUAUUAAAAAAAUCACUUUUAUUUGUUUUAGUAUAUUUAAAAUAUAAAAUUACAAAAAGAAAAAUGACUAUUUUACUUGUUUUCAAUCAAAUUCAUGUUAGAAAUAAUUGAACCAAUUGCUAAAUAGUAAUCCUUGUGAGAAUGAUAUAUGGACUCAUAAGCUCACUUUAUUACUUGUAAUGAUCCGUACACUUGCGGGAUAUAAAGAUCGAAUACAUGUUUUUGGUGCUUGUAGUUUUAGAACAAAACGAUUGUCUAUUAUGAAUGUUCCAAAAUUGUACUGUUUUAUGCAUGCAUCGACUUGUAAAUCCUAUUAUUCUUUUUCGCAAUGUUUUUCCGAUAGUAUGUGUAUCUUUUACAUUUAAACUUUAAAAUCUCAUCAUUUACUAAAUACAUCAGUAUUAAAUUCAUUUUAUAUUAAAAUCUUUUUCUUUACAAGGCAUAGGACUACAUGACUAUAUAGUUCACUUUACAAAGCAAGCCAUUAAAGUUUGUGAUUCAAGUUUCUACUUUCAUAUGUGGUUGACGAAGAUUUUUUAAGUAGGCAAGGCUGUGUCACACAUACCCCAAAGUCGAGUAGUGACAUUGAAUAUACUUUACCAUCUCCUUGUGUAUGUUUACCUACUCAUUAUAUUAUGUACAAAUUUGCUUACUAUCUCUAUAGAAGAAUACGCAAAAAAGAUGAAACUUUGUACAUUAGUAUUUAUACCAUGCUAAGUCCUGUUAAAUUUCUAUGCAUGUUUGCAUCAGAGCAUGUUCAUUUGAUUGUCGACCGAGCUAAAGAAUGCAUAGGGUCGAGACAUCCCUUGAGAAGAGGAUCAUCUCAACAUAGAAGUCCUUGGAUCUCUUCCAAACAAAAGAUAAACAUAUUCUAACAAGUCUCUUGUAAUAAUAACCAUCAUAUUGGACAACUUAAUAGAUUCGAUUUUAAGACCUUUUUUGCUAUUUAAACCUCCCUACGGAACCUAUAGUGAUGUAAUUUCAAGUGUUUGUUGAUUCUUGAUCAUCUUUUAUCAGCUUACCAAAGCGAACACAAUCAAUAAGAGAACUAGUAAACAAGUUUGCGCUAGCAUCUAGGGUAGUUUAAACAAAAUAUUCUAGAUUGUGACUUGAACGAAAAAAUAACAUCUUUGCAUAGGACUUGGGAAUGAAUCUCUCGAGUAUAGGAAAAUGACGAUAUUCUUAAAAUGUGGGAUUUAGAAGGAGAUUUUGUAGAGCGCUGCAAUUUUCUUGCAACUAGUUUUAGACAUACAUUCGCUAAUUACUCCAACCAUAGUAGUGACAACAUAUAUAGUGCUUGUUUGACAUGAUUUUUGAAAAGUCAAAAUAAAUUUAUAAGGUUCAAAAGUUGCUUUUAAAUCGUUUGAUUAAUUUCAUGAAAGUGUUUCUUUACGUUAGAAGAGCUUUUAGAGGAAGCUGAUCCAUUGUGAUGUCCUCUAAAAGUACUUCCAGAAUAGAAUUUUUUUUUAAAAAUUAGUUUUCAAAUAAAAAUUAAAAUAACUACCUCCAAAAACUCUUUUAUAGGAAGCAAAGCUAAAAGCAAAAGUCACGUCAAACGGGCUGAUCUUGUCCCGGCCCACAUAGUGAUCGACUCUAUUUGCCAAGACGUGCCCUGGAUUAAUAAAACGAAUUGGGCCCGACCUGGUCUGGCACAAAACAUUGGUUGGGCCGGGCCAGCUAGCAGACGAGUAAGGCCCAAUUCUGUUGAGGCCUUUUACUGCCAUUGCUCCAAAAUUCAGGUUCCUCUUAUUCGCAAAUCCUCUCAGUAACGGUAGACUUUGAAGAAUCUGAAAUCCCUCACUGAAGACUGAUUUCACUGAAACAGAUAAAAAAAUGGCAGUUUUUUUCAAAAGACUGAGCAAGGCUGCACCGCUCGCAUUCGGCGGCACCAAUUUCCGCGUGCCUUUUGGAGCUCUUGCCGCGAUUUCUGAUGGCUUCUCGUAUUAUUACUGCUUUCGUCGUCAAAUUUGGUAUUUUCUCAAUCCAAUUUCAUCUCUGUCUAAUAAUGUCGACUGUAAAAGUCGUGGCUUUGAAUUUACUAUAUAAUUUCAUUUUGUUGAUGCUGUUAUUUGAAUUAAUGUAUUUUUGAGCUUGAAAUUCUCUUGUUCUAGUUCUAUGAAUUUUUCUUUGAUAUGAAUUACUGUGAAUUUGUGAUAGCGAGGGCACUGUAAUGUGCAGAAUUACUUAUUUGAUAUUGUGGAAUGAUCAAUUCCCAUUUUCUGGAUAUUAUUUUUUCUGGCUUAGAUAUUUUGUAUAAUGUUGUAUUCUUUUUAAUUCAGGUUCAUUUAGAUCCGAUCAGUGAAGAUGCUUCUCCAAAAAUUGGUGGGUUCUCCUCUUCUUUCUACAAUUGUUAAUAAUUUCAAUCUUAAUUCACGUCUCAUCUAUUUCUUGUGGUGAUUGAAUCCAAAUCUACGUCAAUUACACUGCUGUAACAGUACUUGUACUUGCAACUGGGAUGUAUUGGCUGAAGCAACUAUUUCCCUUUAGACAAAUGCAUUUGGUUAGCAACUCAUAAGAAUGAAGGUAUCUACACUAGUAACAUGGGCUUGCAUAACUCAUCUCACAAGGUCGUCGAGUAAGGAGUUUAUCUCUUGAGAGGUGCAGUGUGAAGACCACAAAAUGUUCACCUUUGAACUUGAAUUAAAACGAAAAGAAAUAAAAAUUCUAGGAACUAAUAUGGACCAGUACGAUUGUAAAAGAUUUCCUGUCCUUGAACCUUGAGACAUAUCUGAUUCCGGCAUGCCAUACCUUGAAGCGAAGUGACUUUGUGUUUAUGAUAUUGACUUUCUUUGCUAAAUGCUUUUCAAAUUUAAGGAGCUGCACACAAAGCAUGCAUUAAAAUCUGGACUAGUUGAUUACUCCAGACACCUCACUGCAAGUAGUUCAGAAGCAUCAAGCUUUGGAAUUCAGGGAGAGGCUUAUGGAGCUAAAGAAUGUCUAGAAGUUCAUCCUUACAUCCAUAGACAAACUGGGAAGGUCGAAACCAAGUUGUGAAUAUGACCUGUAGAAUUAAUUUUUGACUACGUAGAAUUUUCUUGAACUUUUUAGCUUUCGAUUAUUUUGUUGAAGUCGGUUAGAAUAUGCUAUGUUAUGGAGAUUUCUUUUUUUGUCCCCAGCCUAUAUCUUAUGAGCCGUGCACUCACAGUCACAGACACUCAUAUAAUUUGGCUAAAUAAAUUCAUGUAAUUGAAAACUUUCGCUGGUAAGUUAAACAUGUAGCUGAAAGCCAUAAAUUGUUUGAUGAAAUUUUAUGACAAUGUUAUUAUUUAUUUUCAGCACUAAAUCCUGAUAAAUGGAUUGAAUUCAAACUGCAAGACAAGGCACAUGUCAGCCACAAUUCUCAGUUAUUCAGGUUAGCUUAUAAUGUUUUCUAUUUAUCAAAUACAUUAUGGUUCUUUAAAAUGUAUGAUAGUAGACAGGAUAAGGUACAUGUCAUUUUGUUUAGGAAUAUGCCAUAAGUUACAUGAGUUGUAUCUUAACUAUGUGAACAAGGAAGUCUGGAGCUAUGUUAAUGCUGGAUGAGAGUAAACUUUCUAGAGAGGAGGCAGGUGUAAUUUUUGGUUCGGAAUGCGAAUAAUUUGAGGAGUAAUCACAUUAAAUGUAUUAUUUUAAGCAAUCUAGUUCAUAGCAGAAACAUUCUGAGACAUGGUAAUUAGUAGGGGAUAUAGUGGCUUUUUGGGCAAAGAGGAUUCCUUAAUUUGUAACUUGUAGAAAGGGGAUGCUUCAAACUUUAAGGUUCAAAUUCAUUUAUUAUUCAUUAUCAACGUAGCACAUCUCCUUCUUGAUUGGCUAAACCUUGAAGGUAAUUAAUGGAUUUUCGUUCGCCCUCUUUUUUUUCCCCUCUUGGACCAUUCCAGUGACCGCAAGGAAAAAAUUUCUUCUGGUUUCUCGUCAAUUGUGUUUAUUAUGCAUCCUUUCAGUAGCAUCAUACCUAGAACUUAGUGCGAUCUAUUAGAACACACAAUAUCUGGGAUUCUUACCAUAUUCUGUUGGGCUUAUUAACUGAAAUUUGUAAAAUCUUGGUACGGGAUCUGCUUUAAUACUUAAUCAAUUGCAAUAUUUUUACAGAUGUUGAUGCAAAAGAGAUUAUUAUUAGAUAUCUCUGCUCUAUCGUAAUGUAAGUAUAGAUAAUAAUUCUUUUCUUCUAAUAUUCCAGGUUUUCAUUUGAUCCCACUGUGAAGUUAGGUCUUGAUGUUUCAUCCUGCGUUAUUACGAGGUACCUUCGGCUACACUUAAGAAUUUUAAGUAUGAUUAUGUUCUACAAGCCUCAACAAGGUUAUGUGUUUUUUUAAGUAUGACAACUGAAUAAAUCUCAACAAAUGGUUUGCAUUCUUUGAACCCAUAAAAACCAGCAAGGAAGCUAGUGACUAAGGUCUUCAUCAACAUAUCAAACCUGUCAGAUGUAUGAAUCAAUGAUUCGAUGGCCUUAGGCUCUAUUAGACCUUUCUUUGCUUUCUGUUGACCUGCAAAUUUGACUUCCUACUAAGUUCAAGUGACGCCUUUCACCUGGAAUAAAGUUUUGCUCAGGUAGUUGAUUUCUGAGAUGGACAACUUCAGGAGAAAAAGAGACAUUUAUCCAUUACACGGAUGGUGUGCUUCCAUUCCUUUUCUAUGUAUUUCAUUUCUCUCAGUCUAAAGAGAGAGAAAAUCUGUGCUUGUGAAGUUUCAGUAAUAGAAAGCAUCAAGUCUAAAUUAGAAGAAGAAUUUGAAUGUUCUCAUUCUCUCCAGUCACAAGAGUGUUUUUAUGCACAAUAAUUCUGUCUAGCAAAAAUUUACCAAUUUAUGAAGACAUCUAUCCAUUAUGGUAACGAAUUCAUGAAACUCUAAUUAUAUUCUUAAAAUCCUUCUUUGGGAGAACUCUAUUUUGGCAGUGAUGGAGUCUUGAAAGGACAACAGAGAACAUAACGUUGAUCCAGCACUUGUAGGCACUAUCAAUUCCUGCAAAUGGAGCCAAAUUGAUGUACGGAAAACGUAAGGCCAAAAUAUCAUGGUAAAACAAAGAGGAAACAGGUCUGAAUAUUGGUGCAGCAAAAUUAGAAGAAAAAAAAUAACAAGCAGAGAGACGAGCGAUUUCAACACAAGGGUUUUCGACAAAAUCAUACAACAUAGUAUGCUGUUCUUGUACUGGACUCUCUAAUCAAAUAAUGAUUGCAAUUGCUUUAUAUCAGCUCCAAAACUUGGAAGCAUUCUUUGGAAACUGUUAAAUUAUUUUCAAAUACCAAACUAACACUAAUGGUUUUAAAGCCCAAGAAAUAAAACGCCUUUAUAAAGGAAGUAUCUUCCAUAUAUUGUAAAGGAUAACUAACUUGAGCCUAUGCAAAAGAAGUAUCUUCCAGAUAUCACAUGAAUAUACGGUGAAAUUGCAAAAAUGCCUGAAUUUAAUUGAAAAAAUUCAAGAAAAAGCUAAUUUAUAAUACUGUGAAUAGGCGCAACUCGGGAGGAUUUGAGCUCUAGAGUGUCUUCAAAGAAUCUUGCAUUGUUUUAAAGAUUUUUUCUGUAAACUUACUUUACUAGAGCAUUUUAUUGGCUACAGAAACUAUUUGGCUGUCUGCUAUAACUGACUCCUAAAUACGCAUUUUUCUUGAAGAGCACCAACAGGACAAAAUCCUGAAGGAAAACCCAAACAUGUUAUUCGUCCGUGAGUUCGAAUAAUCAUACUUUCCCAAGCUCUACUUUUAUUUUAUUUAUUUAUUUUUCUGUCUUUUACAUACGUAUUUGUAACUAGCACUCAAUUUAUGUGUGCUAACGUGUGUUCAAUUUCAUGAAAAUAAAUUUCUCCUUGCAAUUGCUUCCCCUGACGUUAAUAGUCUGUCUUCACUUGUUCUUGAUACAAUUUUUGGAUGUACAAGUGGGAAGGGAAAAAAAUUGUUUACGCUAUUCUGUCUGUAUAAUCGGUCUUGAUAUUUCAGUAUUGUCAUUGUUAAUUAUUCUCACAUUCAACUGUCUUCAUUUCCUUUCUGGAAUGUCUGCAAAUUUCAACCCCUUUUUAAAUGCUUGAUCACAUCCGGAGAUAUGGAGAAUGCCACACUCCAAGACAAGUAAAUUUGGAAAAAUGGUUGUAAAAUUUUAAAACCAUGAACUGAAAAUUUUAAUCUGUAUGCAGACAAUUCAGAAAUUGAAAAUUAAACCGUGUAGACUGGUUGAAUUGAAGUUCUAUUGAAUGCUAGGUUUUGAGAGAUGAUUUAUUAAUAUGCCAAUCAAUAAUAUUCAAGGGUUUGUUCUUUUCAGUUAUACACCUAUAUCGGAUCCAGAUGCUAAGGGAUACUUUAAUUUAUUAAUUAAGGUAUGGGUCGGCUGUCUAUUUUGCUUUUAUAUUUGGUAAUCUUUGUUUAAUUAUAUGCGUGAAAAUUUCACAGUUGUAUCCAGAAGGUAAAAUGAGUCAGCAUUUUGCCAGCUUAAAACCAGGAGAUGUUGUAGAAGUGAAAGGGUAAGUUGUAUAAGAUUGACUAUCAGGCAAGAACCAUUUUAGUUACGAUCAUACGAAUGCGUGUUUCCUCUUCUUGUUGUCUUGCAGGCCUAUUGAAAAGCUCAGAUACAGUCCCAAUAUGAAAAAACAUAUUGGCAUGGUAAGAUCAUGAUGUUGAAAAUUUACUGCAGAACAUGGUAUUCUUGGGAAUCAAGAUACAAAUAAUAAAAGAAAGGAACAAAUCAAAUUUGGAUCAUUACCAUGUAAUUUCAGAAACUUGCUUUGAAAUGUAAAUUCUGGAACAAGCUGCUUGUUCCAGAAGUUGAUAGCCUUUGCAAAAAACUCAUCGUAUGUGUAUAUGCAAAACACAUGGGAUGCUGCCUAUCACAGAAAUGUGUGAGAAUCUAGGGAUCAAUUACAAUGAAUGUCUGAAUUUAAAAUCAAACAAGUAGUAGUUAUGAAUGCGUUGUAGUCGAAGGUGGGGUUCAUGAUGUUGGGACCAAAUUAAUUUUAUUACUAUGAGGGUGUUAUAACUUAAUAGAAGUGUAGUUACAAAAAUUAUUGUUUUGACGUAGUUAUCCUUAGUGCAAGUGGUAUGGGGUAAAGUGUGGACUACAUUGAUAUAGUGUCGGAAAUAUACCAAGUCAUCUUAAACCUUUAAUGUAACAUAGCAUAUAUUUUGUCUGAAACAACUUUAAAUAAAUAUGUUAUUUCAUCUUAAACCUUUAAUAUAACCUAGCUUAAAUUUUUUGCGAUAUACUAAUAAUUAUUACCAUGUGGUGGCAAGUCCUUAACAUAGGACCUAGAAAAAUUAUUACUUAUUACCAUAAGAACUUCAUUCUUAUUUAUGACUGGCCCAAGUUGGGACCAAAAUUUUUUAUGAAAUGUGGAGGUUAUUUUAUGUAGAGCAUCAAUUACAGAGAGAUCUUACUCUAUCUAAGUUUAUACAAAUGAUACGUCACAUUCUAUUGUGUAAUAUAUCGUAGAUGGUACAUCCGUCGUCCUGAUUUUUUUUUUUUUUUUUUUUUCGUUGGUUGCGGGUUAGGGGAGGAUUCAUUCACGUGUAUGUUGAGUCUAGUGGGAGAGUCCCGAGCCUCUCGAAUGCUCUGGGUUGUUUGGACUCCUUUCUUACGUUCAUUUCAAUAAAAUUACUCAUCUCCAUUUCAGUUUUCAUCUUUAAAUUAAACCAGUCAGCUUUAACAGUUGGGGUUCUAUCAAAUGGUAUCAGAGCAUUAUCCUGGGGACAUUGCUUGUGAUGAAGAAAAUGAAUUAGAAGAUUGAUUUAGUAAUCUGGAAGUGAAGCUUGAGAAAAUGAAUUCAAAAAUAAGAGAGGGAAUAGGAGCCAUGAGAUCUGAAUUUCACAAGGCCAUGACAUCCAUGUUAGAGAAACUGGAAGUAAUGACUUGCAAGUUGGAUGGACAGGAGCGAGACCGAGAGGAGAAUUGGACAAUAGAGAACUCGCCAGAACCUACCUUAAAUGUUGAAAUCUCUCUAAAGUCUGACGAGGUGGGGGAUAGUACUGUGGAUCUGGAAAUUUCACUCAUCAUCAAUGAAGCAGGAGAACGAACAGUUGAAAGGAGUUCUCAUGAGGAGUUCGGGAAAGUAGAGAGCUACAAUCGGCGAAUGGAAUCGCCGAUUCUGCUUCAUGAUAAUUCCAUGGGCUGGUUUCCUGGAAGGGUGAGGGUCUUCGACCUGAAUCAAAUCUCAAAUAGGGGGGAAAUUGAAGCUGCUACAAUUUGUUUCGAGCUGGAGAUAGUGGCUCGGUAUCACAGGGAAGGAAGUGGGCAGCCAUGGAGAUGGGAGAAUGUGGAAUCUCCAUGGCAGGUGACACUAGAUGAAUUAUGGGGUGGAGAUUUAGUCACUGGGCUGAAGCAAUUAGUUACGGUUGAAAUCAGAAAUUUAAAAUCAAAAGGGUUGGGCCAAAUUAUGAAUCUGGCCCAAAGGGCCAUAAAACAAUCAAACUCAAUUUACAGCUCAUCUGAGACUAAGAGAAACACCCAUAGCCCAAAUCCAAACACUCAAUUUAUUCUAAUCCUCCCAUUGAAUCCAGUAGAGAUCGUUGCAAAAUCCAUGACAAUCACAAUACUCCAAGCAAAUAUUUUAAGAUUGAUUGACAUCACAGUGCUCCUGUCGGCGAUCGCGAAUAGAGGGGGGCCACGGUUUAAAAAGCUGAUCAAAAUUGAUUUUCAGUGGAAAGGACGGAAGGGGCUUGCGAUCAACUCUCCACUUAUCUCGACAAGUCGAGUUCAAGACGAAAACAUUUCGUGGGCAAAGGCAACUGACUUCGGAGUUGUGGGGCAUACUAUACUUGAGAUACUUGUGCGAUUGAGCAAGUCUAGCCACUUCAAAAGACAUAAACGUCUCUUUUACGUUGAGACUAGAAUAGGAGUUUUUGUAAAAGAAAUUUUGUGGUUAUAUAACGAAUUGAUUGCUUCCACCUUGAGGACAAGGUGGAUUUUGGGACGGCGAGUAAUGAUAGAUUCCUAGUUGGUUCAUUUGGCUUCUGCCACGUCAUUGUUAGUCUAGAAGGUUCAUUAUUUAGCUAGUAGGGUAAAAAAUGUAAUAUAGCCACAAUCAAGGGAUUGCUUAUAAAUGUGAGAGUUGGGGGUUAAGGGAGGAUUCAUUCACGUAUAUGUUGAGUCUAGUGGGAGAGUCCCGAGCCUCUCGAAUGCUAUGGGUUGUUUGGACUCCUUUCUUACGUUCAUUUCAAUAAAAUUACUCAUUUCCAUCUCAGUUUUCAUCUUUACAUUAAACCAGUCAGCUUUAACAGUUGGGGUUCUAUCAAUAUCACAUAGAUAGUGUGGUAAUUGGUGAAUAUAAUCAUAAUGCUUUCAGAUUGGUAUAAUGAACUAUGCUGUUUUCAUUGGUUUUUUGAAUUUACAAUUAACAUUUUAUAUACAGAUUGCAGGAGACUCUGGCAUCACUCCGAUGCUUCAGAUAAUAAAUGCUAUCCUUAAAAACCCUGAUGAUAAUGGACGAAGCUUCAUGUACAGGGGGUACUCAUAGGGUUCGGCCAGGGCACACACAAGGACGGGGCCUGCACAAUUUUUUUUUUUUUUUUUUUGCAGCUACAGUGAGGGGGCCUGUAAGCCCCCCUAUAGAACAGUGCCCUGUACGCAGGGCAUUGUUCUUGGAAUACCCAGGUAAGACUAAUAUUUUAAUCUUCUUUUUUCACGUUGAAAACUUGAGAGUAUUUAUCGUCACAAUGUGGGCUGUGUUUCAAUAUUAUAAGCAUGCUUUCCUGACAUCUUAUUGGUGAUUAAUACCCUGGAGGUCACAUUGCUCUAUGCUAACAUAUUUCCUGAUGACAUACUUCUCAAAAAGAAGCUAGAUGUACUUGCAGCUAAGCACCCAAACUUGAAGGUGCUUCCAGUAUCAUCACAAAAGCAUUACUAUAUGUUUUGAAUUUUUUUCUUUUAUCUUUUGUAUUGAAAUAUCUUUCGUGUGUGAGAGGUAUUCUACACUGUUGAUAAUCCAACAAAAGAUUGGCAAGGAGGCACGGGUUACAUAUCAAAUGACAUGGUUAAGAAAGGAUUGCCUGGCCCUGGUGACGAUACACUUAUUCUUGUAAGUUCUCUCUGCUGUGCAUACGAUUCUCAUCUUCUAGAAAAAAGUUAUCAACGUAUCUGAAUCAAAUUAGAUCUGCCAUCUAGGUAAACUGCAAAAUGAUUGUUUUAGCCCCUGUACGACCUCCAUUAUUUCAAAUUUUUAUGGGUGGAAUAGUAUUUUUUUGGAGAAUGGAUGGCUGAAAACGAAGAAAAGUUUUUGGUUUAUGUGUAAUAUUAUUUUAUGGUUGAUUGUGUGAUUGAAAAUAUGAAAAAGAAAAAUAAAAAUUAAUUUAAUGGGGCCAAACGGGGGCAUAAUAUAUAAUUGUGACAAAAAAACUGCAAUGUUAAUAUGAUGCUAUAAAAAUAAAAACCAAAAACGAAACCUAAUCCCUAUAGAUUUGGGGUAGCUUGUGUGACUGGUUUGCUACUGUGUUCAACCAAUCACUUCAUCUAUUAAAAUAUCGAGUAAUCAAAUCUUCUAUAACCACAUCAUGACUUGAAACCAUAUUAAUUUUGGUAUGCUUUCUCUCUCUUUUCACUUAUUCUACUGGAUUGCACUGCUCUUCUUUAUGAGAACAUUUUUAGGCAUACAUACUACUACCCCCAAAAUCAUCAUUUCCUUAAAUUUAUCCUCGAUUGGUCCACUUCUACUUACUGUUAUCAUUGAUUAUAUUCUUAUAAUUAGUGAAGGCUUUAUGUGUUCUGGGACAUUCUAUUUGAAUCAUUGCUGUGUGUAAUUUAUCUUUUCUAGAUUAUAUAGAUGUUGAUUACAUGGCACAUUGUCGUUCCAAAAAAUUAAAAACAGCAGUCUUGGUUUCUGCUGGUGAGGUUUGUGGCUAAAUAAUUACUUAAACUACACUGGUAGAAAGGAAAAAACACAAGUUGGGAUUUGGGAGUCUUAAAUCAUAUGUUGGUAAUUCGAAUUUAUCUAACUGAAUCAUUAAAAAUGUUCCAUCUGUUUCCUAUAUUACUAGCCUGCCCAAGACAUUUACAUUGUUUCAUGGUGUUUGAUUUUCCAUUAACCUUGAAGCCGGAUCGAUUCU
This 126566-nucleotide long non-coding RNA is filed under the name Olea europaea (common olive). Its description in RNAcentral is "long non-coding RNA (OEUR_LNC005386)". The record is from RNAcentral. Lineage: Eukaryota; Viridiplantae; Streptophyta; Magnoliopsida; Lamiales; Oleaceae.